CUUGAAAGAAGAGGCCUUUUCUUGUACCAAAUCCGGUCAUUUGAAGUUCAAAACUACUCUAGCACAGCUACUUAUUUGCAUAUUUAUGUGUUCUGUGGGUAUUUUGCUCUGAUAUUUGGUAAUGUUUUUAAUGUUGUCUCUCAGAUAUCAGUAUCUUUGAUCAAGCCUCCAACAACGGAUGAUCAUAGCUAGUGCUUAGUAGUCUGUGUCAACAAUGUCUGAAACACAUCUAAGUGAAAUAAGGAUCGAUCCAUUGAUCAACAAAAAGGAAGGGAUUCGUAACAACCAACCUCAAGAGCUGAAGAUGGAUGGAAGAUUAGGAAAUUACCCACUGAAAAAGGAUGAGCGUUCUUCGUGGUUUAGUUCCAUAAUGGUCAGAGAGGACAAAGACUCUAAGAACAACCAGCCACUCGGGCCAAAGAUUCCGAAAGUUGCAGACAAGCUUAGAAAUGAAAACGAGGAAUGCUACAGUCCCUUGAUGGUCUCAAUUGGGCCUUACCACUCUCCGGGUCAUCAUAACAAUCUCAGAGAAGAGGAGAUUCCAAAGGUUUCGAUGGCUCGCCAAUUCAUCCUAGAUAGUGGAAAAAACAUAGAACUCGUCUACAGAGAAGUAGAAAAGGCUAUCCAAAACGCAAGAGAAUUUUACAACGAGAUCGACAUGAAAGGCUAUGAUGACGAGCAAUUGACCCGGAUGAUGUUUCUUGAUGGAUGCUUUAUUCUCCAAUUCAUCCAUUGUGUGACACAUAAUUAUGAAAAUUUAGAGAUGACUGAUCGGCAAGUUGCUGGUGUGAAGCGGGAUUUGUUAUUACUGGAGAACCAGAUCCCUUUUCCAGUCCUGAAAUCACUGACGAGUCUGAGGUACGAAAAAGAUGGAACUAAUCAUGGAAUGAAACAUGUGAAUGAUUUUCUUUUUUUCAAUAUUCUCAACCCGAAAGAUCAACCAUUGCGGACUCGAAAAUUACUUUGGUCUACCGUUAGUCUCCUGUUAUUGUUUCUUCCAAUUGCUCUUCCAUUUGUUUUAUCACGCACUUCUAUCGGUCAUAAUCAUGGCCUGGUUUUCUUGAGCAUGGUGCCAAUAUUUGCCGUGGUGGAAUUAUGUGUCCUGAUACCACCUUGGCUUUUGUGGUUGCUACUAAGAAAGAGGAGGCGAGCCUCAGGAUAUGAUUCGCAAUGGCAGCCUGAUGAAGAACCUGCCCAUCUUCUUCAACUUCUAUAUUUUCUUUUCAUAGGCAAGUCGUCUUCACGAAGAUGCGGCCAUUGCUUGUCUUAUUUGGCCACUUUUCUUAAGAAAUUCAUUCGUACAAAGUCCAAGCCAGUUGCUCGAGGAAGGCGUGGCCAUUACUUGUAUUAUACUGCCAAGGAACUUAAGAAGGUGGGAAUCCAUUUCAUGUCUAGUCAGACUAGUGCUUUGACGGAUGUCAAGUUCAGGUCAUCAUGUUUCCAUGGAACAUUGAAGCUUCCUUCAAUUACCAUAGAUGAGUCAACAAGGUCCAUGCUCUUGAACUUAGUGGCCUACGAAACAUCUGCUGCACUCAAUCCACUUUGGGUCACUUCUUACAUAUGUUUCAUGGAUUCGCUGAUUGACGAUGCUGAUGACGUGAAAGAGCUGCGAUCAACGGGCAUAAUUAUUAAUUUCCAUGGAGCUGACCAGCAGGUUGCGGAUCUCUUCAACCAUAUGGGCCGUUUUCUUGAACCUGAUACUAGUGUUUAUAAUGAUGUUAAAAGAGAGAUAAAUGAGCAGUGUGAGAGCAUCGUGAAGAAAUGGGUAGCUGAGUGGCGGCAAACUUAUUUUCAGAGUCCCUGGGCCUUCAUUGCAUUUGCUGCCGCCGCUUUGGGUUUGGCUCUUACCGCCACUCAGACGUACUAUACAAUGGACCCACCCAAGAAUAAUUCAACACGCUAAUGCCCAUAUUCUGGUUGUUAGAAUCAGUUAGAAUAAAUAACAGACUACCAAAUUAUCGUUAGCAAUAUCUUUCUGUUAGAGUUUGUUAUUCUAUCUGUUAUUCUGGUAGCAUGUAUUAAAGGUUAUAUAAAGCCAAGAGUUCUUAUUGAAUAAUACAAUUUCCAUUCAUCUCAGUUCACGUAUACUUCUUUAAUCACCCACAGUUCUAACAAAUUGGUAUCAGAACCUCCACUAGGCCUAAAAUUCAAAGCAGCAGACUUUGAAAUCUUUUUGCGGCAGCAUAGCAAGAUGACUACAGAAGGAAGUUUUGUCCAGCCAGCUAUUCCAAGAUUCAAUGGUCAUUAUGACCAUUGGAGUAUGUUAAUGGAAAACUUCCUUCGAUCCAAGGAAAUGUGGGAACUGGUGGAGAUUGUAUAUAUUGAGGCAAAUGGAUCAAUGCAAACUGAUGGACAACAAAAGAAGAACGAUGAGAUGAAGCUGAAAGAUUUGAAAGUAAAAAAUUAUCUCUUUCAGGCAAUUGAUCGAACGGUUCUUGAUACUAAUCUCAAGAAAGACACUGCCAAAAAUAUAUGGGAUGCAAUUCGAAGGAAAUGCAAGGGUUAAGAGAUCUCAUCUUCAAGCUCUCCGUAGAGAGUUUGAAACACUUGAAAUGAGGUCUGGUGAAGGAGUGACAGAGUACUUCUCUAGAGUCAUGACAGUGGCCAAUAAAAUGAGAAUUUAUGGAGAAGACAUGCAGGAUGUCAAAGUAGUGGAGAAGAUUUUACGAUCGUUGACUGAGAAAUUCAACUAUGUUGUAUGUUCUAUUGAAGAGUCAAAGGACAUUGAUGCUCUCACUGUUGAUGAAUUACAGAGUUCAUUAAUCGUCCAUGAGCAGAAAUUUGUGAGACAUAAAAGUGAGGAACAAGCUCUGAAGGUGACAUAUGAAGGAGGCAGAGGUCGUGGCCGAAUUGCCUAUCGAGGAAGAGGAAGAGGCAGAGGACGAACAGACUUCAAUAAAGCAACAAUUCAAUGUUACAGAUGCCAUCGACUUGGACAUUUCCAAUAUGAAUGUCCCACUGUGAACAAAGAAUCACUUUAUGCAGAACUUGAUGAGGAGGAGGAAAUGCUUCUGAUGGCUUAUGUGGAGAAACAUCAAGCCAGAAAAGAAGAUGCAUGGUUUCUUGAUUCAGGAUGUUCUAACCACAUGUGUGGUUAUAAAGCCAUGUUCAGUGAUCUCAACUUAGAAUUUCGACAUUCUAUGAAGUUGGGGAAUAACACAAGGAUGAAUGUAAUGGGUAAAGGAAGUGCGAAGAUACUGCUGACUGGAAUCAAUCAUGUUAUUGCUGAAGUGUAUUAUGUCCCGGAUUUGAGAAAUAACCUCCUGAGCAUAGGCCAGUUGCAAGAAAGAGGGUUAGAUAUCUUAUUCAAAGGUGGAACCUGCAAGAUAUUUCAUCCAAAAAGGGGAUUAAUAAUCCAAACCACCAUGAGCAUAAAUCGAAUGUUCAUCUUAUUGCCUGAUUCCCAAUCUUCUUCUCAAGAACAAGCUGAUCAAUGCUUCCUCACAGGAACACAAAAUUUGUGCCAUCUUUGGCAUCGAAGGUAUGGACACUUGAGCUACAAAGGCCUAAGAACUCUAUCAUCUUUGCCAGCUUUGAUUCGGUUCAAUCUAAUUUCGUGGACAUCACAUGUUAAACAGGAACCUGAAAAUCUUUCGGUCUGUUUAUUCGGAGGGGAAUUAAUGCUCAACUUGUUACGACUUUGACAGAGCAGCUCCUAUUGUGUUUGUUGCCAUUGCAUGUGCAACAAAUGGACGGCACCAACCAUUGUAUCCUUGGCAGCCACCAUUGUCAAAGAAGGAGGCUACAAUGGUGGCUUGUUGGUGGGAGCCACCAACCAUUGACUUUGGCAGCCACCAUUAUUGAAGAAGAGCUGGAGUUUGGCAGCCACCAUUGCUGACAAAGGAGCAAGAAGAGCUGCCAUUGAUGCCUAUAAAAGAGGUAUGAUUUUAGAGAGCAAAAUGAGAGAGAUUGUGAGAAAUGUAGAGAGACCAAGAGAGAAAGUGAAGGGCUGCAAUGGCAGCAGCCUUGCUACCAUUGCAUCAGCUGCAAGGGCAGCAAUGAGAGCUGGGAGUAGAGUAGAGUAAAGUGAUCUUCCUCCUCCAUGUAUUUGUUUUGUAAUCCUUUCUCUAUCUCUAAAUAAAACGAACCUCUCCCGUGGAUGUAGACAAUUUGCCGAACCACGUUAAAUAUUAUGUCAGUAUGCUUCCCCUCCUAUGAGUAAUUAUCAGUACAUCACCGGUCGAAAUCCCUAACAAUUGAUAUUAGAGCAUAUGGUUUAAGUGGUGUUUGAUUUUUUUUUUCUCAAAAAUGAAAGUUGUCAUUGGUGAAAACAACGUCAAAAUCGGACGUCGGACAUGGCCGCACUCUCCAUCACUCUCCGGCAAGGUGUCUGCCCAUGCGCGCGUGCCACGCGUCUUCUUCAAUCGGAUGGGUUGACUUGGCCCGAAUAACAGUUGACCCGACCCAUGUGACUGACUUGGAUAAGGAUGACAUCAGCAUGACGUAAAAGUGACGUCAUCAUGAACAGUACACAUACCAGGGAUGACAUCAGCAUGAUGUGAUUGUGACAUCAUCAUGUACAGUACAUGCAGAGGAUGAUGUUAGCCUGAUGUAACGAUGACGUCAGCAUGCAAUUGCCCAGCAUAGUGAGACCCACUUGCCACGUCAUCAGCUGUGAGCCGAGGGAUUGGAUCCAGUGUAGCUGAUCCUACGUCCAACCGGAUCUGAGAUUGAAUAUGAGCCGUUGAUAAGGCCAGAAUUUUUUAAUCAAUUCUUAGUCGUCUGAAAUGCGAUUUGGACGAUUUCAGACUUGUUUUCAGCUAAUUUGAUCAUUCCGGAUGCAAUGGUACGGUCCGAUUAUUGAUAUUUGAGACCAAAAAGUGGCGGUGGUGAAUUAUUAAAGAGAGAUUGCCCGAUCAGGAGGCAUCUGAAUAUAUUGAUGGAGGUCGAUGGAGAUGAAGAAGAAGAAGAAGGUGCACAUGUUUACCCAAUUAUAUGUGCUGAACUAUUAAAUGGGGAAAUCUAAUGCCUUAAUAGAAGGCAAAAUUAUGACACUCUGGACACCCGGUUAUGUGGACAAUUAGAGGUGUAGAGUGAAAACUGAUGAAGACCAAUCUUGACGAAUCGAAGCACUAGUAGUCUCGUUAAAUGUUGAGAAAUCAUGUAUUAAACCUGUAUAUUCCAGAUCACUUGUAAAGGAAAGCCGCAACAAAGCUAGCAAAUGGUUGUAUAUACGGAAAGACAGUACGAUGGAUAAAUAUGGCCUAAGAAGUUAUGUCUAGGAGAUUGAGUUUUAAGCGGGAACAGUGUGACCCUUCCAAUCUUUCCUGGGAACUUGCUUAGUGGAAGGAUUAUCCAUACAGUACUAUUUUCGUAUAUGUAACAGUUUGUAAUGAAACUGGUGAAGACUAGCAGGAAGACGACACAAGGGGAACAGUUGGGUUCCGUAUGAUCAAGGAUCUGAUGGAGUGGUGAUUUCUCCAAAGAAGGUAGAUUCGGUAACUGUGAUUUCUCGAGGGGAGAAUUGAUGAAGACCCUGAUAAUGGAAGAGAAAUACAUCAAGAGAAUAAAGAUUGACACCCUAUUUUUGACUUGGACAGAUGUUGUGACAGGAUGAGUUGCUGUCAAACAUAAGCAAGGAAUGGAGAAAAUCUGGAGAACAGAAAUUGCACAAAGGCACACAGAGAUUGUGUAGGAGUACCCAUAGGAUCCUAACGAGGUACUAUAUUGAGACAACAUGUGCAAGAAGAAGAAAAGUUCCCAGAUGAAGCUUAGAGCAGAGACUGAGUGAAAAAGUUGUACAACAAGAAGUCUCUUAUGCUCUUGAUAAAGGCAACAAAUGAGGACCUUUCCAAUACAUGCAAGGAUGAAAAGAUGAGUUGUUGCAGAGGCACCUAAUUGGGGGUGCGAACGCCUGUGAUAAAAGGCGAAGACACCAUAGAGGUGGUGUAGGUGGAGUUGUCAAGCAAAAAGGUGUAAAAGCUCCAAACAUAGAAAUCGAGGUGGAGGAUUGCGAGGAGUAUACCGCAACUUUCUCUUUCUAUGUAGUUAGUGGCAGUAAUCUCUCUCAAGUCCACAUGGUGGUAGAGAAUCUUGGAGCCACUAGAGUCAUCCUGAUGAAGGAGGAUGAGACCGCUCCACGACGAGCGAAGACACCUUAGAGGAAGGUGUGAGGGUCGUGAUAGGAGCCCCAUUUCAGACCGCCGCAUGACAACGAGCGGAGACACCUUAGAGAAGGUGUGAGGGCUAGGAUAGGAGCCCCAAUUCAGAACGCCCUAGAGCCGAUAUGAUGGCUAGAUAUAAGUGGACAGGUGGAUAGCCAAUGAAGUGGCUAUGAUGAGUAUGAAGACAAAUACAGGAUUGACUUUCAUGGAUAUUGCCCCCAUGCUAAAGAUCAAUGAGCUAGAAGACAUUUGCCUUGGACAAUAAGUGUGUGACUUGUGGAGCAUUAAGACGUGACUGUUAUGAAUGAGCAGAGGGCAUGUGCAGGUUCUGGGAACAAGUUGACUCUUGUCAAGGUGGUGAGCUCGGUGAUGGCAUUGUAAUACUUAGAGUAUGAAGAUAGAUAUGGAUCAACCUUUAAUGGGUUGCCCCCAUGGUUAAAGGUGGAGAGCUACCUGGACUCUUGAGACUAAGAGCGAGAGACUCACGGAGAAGUAAGGCGUGGUUCCUAGGGUGGAACAGAGGGCAGACACAACUCCUGGAUAACUAGACUCUUGGAAGAGUGGUGAACUUGUGAUCAUAUUGAGAUACUCAGUUAAUGACUGUCGCACUUGGAAUAUCCGUUUGGGGGUGUUGUAAGCCUUGGUGUGAGGCUUGAUGAAACAUUCCGGACCGAGCAUCGUUGAUACGCUCGAAGGGGAAUGUUGUGUCCCAGAGACAAGCGUUAACACUCUUCAGAUGUGAAGUGGCAGACCAUCUGGUUGUAGUGAUCCUUUUGUGUGAGAAAAGGUGUGCUUUUGUGACUCUGGUGAUUGAAAGGUUUGGCGAGUACCUGUAAACUUGGCCACAGACGCUCUCAGAGUGGUAAGCUUAGAAGAGCUGCAAAAUGCAAGUUUGUGCUGAAGAAGUAAGAGGACAGUUGCCCCAUACGAAUGGCAAAUGGGGUGAUUGUUGGAUUGGUUGUCAUUGCAUGUGCAGUAAAUGGACGGCACCAACCAUUGCAUCCUUGGCAGCCACCAUUGUCAAAGAAGGAGGCUACAAUUGUUGGUGGCAGCCACCAACCAUUAACUUUGGCAGCCACUAUUAUUGAAGAAGAGUUGGAGUUUGGCAGCCACCAUUGCUGACAAAGGAGCAAGAGGAGCUGCCAUUGAUGCCUAUAAAAGAGGCAUGAUUUUAGAGAGCAAAAUGAGAGAGAUUGUGAGAAAUGUAGAGAGACCAAGAGAAAAUGAAGGGCUGCAAUGGCAGCAGCUGCAAGGGCAGCAAUGAGAGCUGGGAGUAGAGUAGAGUGAAGUGAUCCUCCUCCUCCAUGUAUUUGUUUUGUAAUCCUUUCUUUAUCUCUAAAUAAAAUGAACCUCUUCUGUAAAAUGAAUUGAGGACAGAGUCUACAAAGUCAUUGACUUCAGGAAUUGUGUUGCACCAAGCAGCGAUGACUCCAUCAGGUUUUUUGAGUAUUCAAAUAUUUUUUUUUAGUAAAUUUAUUAUUGGUUUGAUGUGUUAAUGUUAAAAAUAAAAAAUAUUAUUUUAAUAUAUUUAGAAUAAAAAUAUUUAAAAAUACAACCACUACAAUACUUUUAUUUUGUUUAAGUUGUUAUAAAGAAAACAAAAAUACAGGGUAUCAUAAAUUACCGAGAAAAAAACUUUACAUGGAGAAUGAAAAAUGAUUCGAAAAUAUACUGAAUGCUAAGAAACUAAUGUGGGUGACAUGUAUAUUUUGAUAGAAGAGCUUGGUCCAGUUUCGCUGGUGUGGUCGAUAAUUGAAGCAGGCUAGGAUGAUAGGAUUAACGUCGUGGAUGAUGAGCAAUUUCUUGGAAAGAAGUGACUCUUACCUGUUAGAAUAUGGUCUCGUCUUUUGCCUACUCGGGCAAUUUUCUUGGAAGAAGCCGUAGCAGCAGCAUGGUUCCAAAACAAAAGUCUACAUAUGAGCUACAUAAUUAGACCCAGUAUAGAGGGUUUGUUAAUAUAAUAUUUGUUGUAUUAAAUUUUAUUUUACUAAACUGAGGAUCAACUAAGCAACUAUAUUUCUUUGACCCGUCAACAUCCCUGGGCAUUGAGGGUUUUGUUAAUAUAAUAUUUGUUGUAAUGUUCGUAUGAAUACAACUUCGUUUCCUGUAUUGACACAUGUUAGCAUACUUGUCAAUUAUCUGGAACACAACAACUAGGUAUCAACAUCAUUACGUAAUUACUUGAUUAAUUAUAUCUUAAACUCAAGAAGUAGUGAAUCAAAUAAUCACCCACGUAAUUAAUUAUCUAAUGGUUUAUAUAAUUAGUUGAUUUAUCUUAUUAAUCCGUCUCUCAUGGCAAUCGAAGAGAGUAAUGUAUUUUUUCUAUGAUGCCACAUGUUGGUAUAUGAUAUUCUCUGUGAUGGCACAUGUUCCUAUGUGAUUUUGAUAUUUUCUUUGUUGUUUUUCAAAUUAGUCUUUGCAAUCUCCAUGCAUAUUUUCCACAAAAUCUAAGUUGAUAUUUUCUAUGAUUUCACAUGCUGGUAUAUGAUUUUCUGUUGUAAUAUUGUUCUAGUUGUGUUGAUGCGUUAGUAUCCUAUGUAUAUAUCUAUACAUAUAUAUGUAUGUAUAUAUAUAUAGUAUAUGUAUGUAUGUAUGAGUGGAUGAUGAAUGUAAGUAUAGGAAUUGUUGAAUGCAAUAUAUAGAAACAACUGAGAUUUUUUUUUUUAAGAUACAAGAAGUAAAAGGUGCUGAUUUUGCAAGACAACGGAGGAGAAUAACUCCGCCUUGAAAGAAGAGGCCUUUUCUUGUACUAAAUCCGGUCAUUUGGAAGUUCAAAACUACUCUAGCACAGCUACUUAUUUGCAUAUUUAUGUGUUCUGUGGGUAUUUUGCUCUGAUAUUUGGUAAUGUUUUUAAUGUUGUCUCUCUGAUAUCAGUAUCUUUGAUCAAGCCUCCAACAACGGAUGAUCAUAGCUAGUGCUUAGUAGUCUGUGUCAACAAUGUCUGAAACACAUCUAAGUGAAAUAAGGAUUGAUCCAUUGAUCAACAAAGAGGAAGGGAUUCAUAACAACCAACCUCAAGAGCUGAAGAUGGAUGGAAAUUAGGAAAUUACCCACUGAAAAAGGAUGAGCGUUCUUCGUGGUUUAGUUCCAUAAUGAUCAGAGAGGACAAAGACACUAAGAACAACCAGCCACUCGGGCCAAAGAUUCCGAAAGUUGCAGACAAGCUUAGAAAUGAAAACGAGGAAUGCUACAGUCCCUUGAUGGUCUCAAUUGGGCCUUACCACUCUCCGGGUCAUCAUAACAAUCUCAGAGAAGAGGAGAUUCCAAAGGUUUCGAUGGCUCGCCAAUUCAUCCUAGAUAGUGGAAAAAACAUAGAACUCGUCUACAGAGAAGUAGAAAAGGGUAUCCAAAACGCAAGAGAAUUUUACAACGAGAUCGACAUGAAAGGCUAUGAUGACGAGCAAUUGACCCGGAUGAUGUUUUUGAUGGAUGCUUUAUUCUCCAAUUCAUCCAUUGUGUGACACAUAAUUAUGAAAAUUUAGAGAUGACUGAUCGGCAAGUUGCUGGUGUGAAGCGGGAUUUGUUAUUACUGGAGAACCAGAUCCCUUUUCCAGUCCUGAAAUCACUGACGAGUCUGAGGUACGAAAAAGAUGGAACUAAUCAUGGAAUGAAACAUGUGAAUGAUUUUCUUUUUUUCCAUAUUCUCAACCCGAAAGAUCAACCAUUGCGGACUCGAAAAUUACUUUGGUCUACCGUUAGUCUCCUGUUAUUGUUUCUUCCAAUUGCUCUUCCAUUUGUUUUAUCACGCACUUCUAUCGGUCAUAAUCAUGGCCUGGUUUUGUUGAGCAUGGUGCCAAUAUUUGCCGUGUUGGAAUUAUGUGUCGUGAUAACACCUUGGCUUUUGUGGUUGCUACUAAGAAAGAGGAGGCGAGCCUCAGGAUAUGAUUCGCAAUGGCAGCCUGAUGAAGAACCUGCCCAUCUUCUUCAACUUCUAUAUUUUCUUUUCAUAGGCAAGUCGUCUUCACGAAGAUGCGGCCAUUGCUUGUCUUAUUUGGCCACUUUUCUUAAGAAAUUCAUUCGUACAAAGUCCAAGCCAGUUGCUCGAGGAAGGCGUGGCCAUUACUUGUAUUAUACUGCCAAGGAACUUAAGAAGGUGGGAAUCCAUUUCAUGUCUAGUCAGACUAGUGCUUUGACGGAUGUCAAGUUCAGGUCAUCAUGUUUCCAUGGAACAUUGAAGCUUCCUUCAAUUACCAUAGAUGAGUCAACAAGGUCCAUGCUCUUGAACUUAGUGGCCUACGAAACAUAUGCUGCACUCAAUCCACUUUGGGUCACUUCUUACAUAUGUUUCAUGGAUUCGCUGAUUGACGAUGCUGAUGACGUGAAAGAGCUGCGAUCAACGGGCAUAAUUAUUAAUUUCCAUGGAUCUGACCAGCAGGUUGCGGAUCUCUUCAACCAUAUGGGCCGUUUUCUUGAACCUGAUACUAGUGUUUAUAAUGAUGUUAAAAGAGAGAUAAAUGAGCAGUGUGAGAGCAUCGUGAAGAAAUGGGUAGCUGAGUGGCGGCAAACUUAUUUUCAGAGUCCCUGGGCCUUCAUUGCAUUUGCUGCCGCCGCUUUGGGUUUGGCUCUUACCGCCACUCAGACGUACUAUACAAUGGACCCACCCAAGAAUAAUUCAACACGCUAAUGCCCAUAUUCUGGUUGUUAGAAUCAGUUAGAAUAAAUAACAGACUACCAAAUUAUCGUUAGCAAUAUCUUUCUGUUAGAGUUUGUUAUUCUAUCUGUUAUUCUGGUAGCAUGUAUUAAAGGUUAUAUAAAGCCAAGAGUUCUUAUUGAAUAAUACAAUUUCCAUUCAUCUCAGUUCACGUAUACUUCUUUAAUCACCCACAGUUCUAACAAAUUGGUAUCAGAACCUCCACUAGGCCUAAAAUUCAAAGCAGCAGACUUUGAAAUCUUUUUGCGGCAGCAUAGCAAGAUGACUACAGAAGGAAGUUUUGUCCAGCCAGCUAUUCCAAGAUUCAAUGGUCAUUAUGACCAUUGGAGUAUGUUAAUGGAAAACUUCCUUCGAUCCAAGGAAAUGUGGGAACUGGUGGAGAUUGUAUAUAUUGAGGCAAAUGGAUCAAUGCAAACUGAUGGACAACAAAAGAAGAACGAUGAGAUGAAGCUGAAAGAUUUGAAAGUAAAAAAUUAUCUCUUUCAGGCAAUUGAUCGAACGGUUCUUGAUACUAAUCUCAAGAAAGACACUGCCAAAAAUAUAUGGGAUGCAAUUCGAAGGAAAUGCAAGGGUUAAGAGAUCUCAUCUUCAAGCUCUCCGUAGAGAGUUUGAAACACUUGAAAUGAGGUCUGGUGAAGGAGUGACAGAGUACUUCUCUAGAGUCAUGACAGUGGCCAAUAAAAUGAGAAUUUAUGGAGAAGACAUGCAGGAUGUCAAAGUAGUGGAGAAGAUUUUACGAUCGUUGACUGAGAAAUUCAACUAUGUUGUAUGUUCUAUUGAAGAGUCAAAGGACAUUGAUGCUCUCACUGUUGAUGAAUUACAGAGUUCAUUAAUCGUCCAUGAGCAGAAAUUUGUGAGACAUAAAAGUGAGGAACAAGCUCUGAAGGUGACAUAUGAAGGAGGCAGAGGUCGUGGCCGAAUUGCCUAUCGAGGAAGAGGAAGAGGCAGAGGACGAACAGACUUCAAUAAAGCAACAAUUCAAUGUUACAGAUGCCAUCGACUUGGACAUUUCCAAUAUGAAUGUCCCACUGUGAACAAAGAAUCACUUUAUGCAGAACUUGAUGAGGAGGAGGAAAUGCUUCUGAUGGCUUAUGUGGAGAAACAUCAAGCCAGAAAAGAAGAUGCAUGGUUUCUUGAUUCAGGAUGUUCUAACCACAUGUGUGGUUAUAAAGCCAUGUUCAGUGAUCUCAACUUAGAAUUUCGACAUUCUAUGAAGUUGGGGAAUAACACAAGGAUGAAUGUAAUGGGUAAAGGAAGUGCGAAGAUACUGCUGACUGGAAUCAAUCAUGUUAUUGCUGAAGUGUAUUAUGUCCCGGAUUUGAGAAAUAACCUCCUGAGCAUAGGCCAGUUGCAAAAGAGGGUUAGAUAUCUUAUUCAAAGGUGGAACCUGCAAGAUAUUUCAUCCAAAAAGGGGAUUAAUAAUCCAAACCACCAUGAGCAUAAAUCGAAUGUUCAUCUUAUUGCCUGAUUCCCAAUCUUCUUCUCAAGAACAAGCUGAUCAAUGCUUCCUCACAGGAACACAAAAUUUGUGCCAUCUUUGGCAUCGAAGGUAUGGACACUUGAGCUACAAAGGCCUAAGAACUCUAUCAUCUUUGCCAGCUUUGAUUCGGUUCAAUCUAAUUUCGUGGACAUCACAUGUUAAACAGGAACCUGAAAAUCUUUCGGUCUGUUUAUUCGGAGGGGAAUUAAUGCUCAACUUGUUACGACUUUGACAGAGCAGCUCCUAUUGUGUUUGUUGCCAUUGCAUGUGCAACAAAUGGACGGCACCAACCAUUGUAUCCUUGGCAGCCACCAUUGUCAAAGAAGGAGGCUACAAUGGUGGCUUGUUGGUGGGAGCCACCAACCAUUGACUUUGGCAGCCACCAUUAUUGAAGAAGAGCUGGAGUUUGGCAGCCACCAUUGCUGACAAAGGAGCAAGAAGAGCUGCCAUUGAUGCCUAUAAAAGAGGUAUGAUUUUAGAGAGCAAAAUGAGAGAGAUUGUGAGAAAUGUAGAGAGACCAAGAGAGAAAGUGAAGGGCUGCAAUGGCAGCAGCCUUGCUACCAUUGCAUCAGCUGCAAGGGCAGCAAUGAGAGCUGGGAGUAGAGUAGAGUAAAGUGAUCUUCCUCCUCCAUGUAUUUGUUUUGUAAUCCUUUCUCUAUCUCUAAAUAAAACGAACCUCUCCCGUGGAUGUAGACAAUUUGCCGAACCACGUUAAAUAUUAUGUCAGUAUGCUUCCCCUCCUAUGAGUAAUUAUCAGUACAUCACCGGUCGAAAUCCCUAACAAUUGAUAUUAGAGCAUAUGGUUUAAGUGGUGUUUGAUUUUUUUUUUCUCAAAAAUGAAAGUUGUCAUUGGUGAAAACAACGUCAAAAUCGGACGUCGGACAUGGCCGCACUCUCCAUCACUCUCCGGCAAGGUGUCUGCCCAUGCGCGCGUGCCACGCGUCUUCUUCAAUCGGAUGGGUUGACUUGGCCCGAAUAACAGUUGACCCGACCCAUGUGACUGACUUGGAUAAGGAUGACAUCAGCAUGACGUAAAAGUGACGUCAUCAUGAACAGUACACAUACCAGGGAUGACAUCAGCAUGAUGUGAUUGUGACAUCAUCAUGUACAGUACAUGCAGAGGAUGAUGUUAGCCUGAUGUAACGAUGACGUCAGCAUGCAAUUGCCCAGCAUAGUGAGACCCACUUGCCACGUCAUCAGCUGUGAGCCGAGGGAUUGGAUCCAGUGUAGCUGAUCCUACGUCCAACCGGAUCUGAGAUUGAAUAUGAGCCGUUGAUAAGGCCAGAAUUGUUUUAAUCAAUUCUUAGUCGUCUGAAAUGCGAUUUGGACGAUUUCAGACUUGUUUUCAGCUAAUUUGAUCAUUCCGGAUGCAAUGGUACGGUCCGAUUAUUGAUAUUUGAGACCAAAAAGUGGCGGUGGUGAAUUAUUAAAGAGAGAUUGCCCGAUCAGGAGGCAUCUGAAUAUAUUGAUGGAGGUCGAUGGAGAUGAAGAAGAAGAAGAAGGUGCACAUGUUUACCCAAUUAUAUGUGCUGAACUAUUAAAUGGGGAAAUCUAAUGCCUUAAUAGAAGGCAAAAUUGGGACACUCUGGACACCCGGUUAUGUGGACAAUUAGAGGUGUAGAGUGAAAACUGAUGAAGACCAAUCUUGACGAAUCUAAGCACUAGUAGUCUCGUUAAUGUUGAGAAAUCAUGUAUUAAACCUGUAUAUUCCAGAUCACUUGUAAAGGAAAGCCGCAACAAAGCUAGCAAAUGGUUGUAUAUACGGAAAGACAGUACGAUGGAUAAUAUGGCCUAAGAAGUUCUGUCUAGGAGAUUGGUUUUAAGCGGGACCAGUGUGACCCUCCAAUCUUUCCUGGGAACUUGCUUAGUGGAAGGAUUAUCCAUACAGUACUAUUUUCGUAUAUGUAACAGUUUGUAAUGAAACUGGUGAAGACUAGCAGGAAGAUGACACAAGGGGAACAGUUGGGUUCCGUAUGAUCAAGGAUCUGAUGGAGUGGUGAUUUCUCCAAAGAAGGUAGAUUCGGUAACUGUGAUUUCUCGAGGGGAGAAUUGAUGAAGACCCUGAUAAUGGAAGAGAAAUACAGCAAGAGAAUAAAGAUUGACACCCUAUUUUUGACUUGGACAGAUGUUGUGACAGGAUGAGUUGCUGUCAAACAUAAGCAAGGAAUAUGGAGAAAUCUGGAGAACAGAAAUUGCACAAAGGCACACAGAGAUUGUGUAGGAGUACCCAUAGGAUCCUAACGAGGUACUAUAUUGAGACAACAUGUGCAAGAAGAAGAAAAGUUCCCAGAUGAAGCUUAGAGCAGAGACUGAGUGAAAAAGUUGUACAACAAGAAGUCUCUUAUGCUCUUGAUAAAGGCAACAAAUGAGGACCUUUCCAAUACAUGCAAGGAUGAAAGAUGAGUUGUUGCAGAGGCACCUAAUUGAGGGGGUGCGAACGCCUGUGAUAAAAGGCGAAGACACCAUAGAGAGGUGGUGUAGGUGGAGUUGUCAAGCAAAAAGGUGUAAAGCUCCAAACAUAGAAAUCGAGGUGGAGGAUUGCGAGGAGUAUACCGCAACUUUCUCUUUCUAUGUAGUUAGUGGCAGUAAUCUCUCUCAAGUCCACAUGGUGGUAGAGAAUCUUGGAGCCACUAGAGUCAUCCUGAUGAAGGAGGAUGAGACCGCUCCACGACGAGCGAAGACACCUUAGAGGAAGGUGUGAGGGUCGUGAUAGGAGCCCCAUUUCAGACCGCCGCAUGACAACGAGCGGAGACACCUUAGAGAAGGUGUGAGGGCUAGGAUAGGAGCCCCAAUUCAGAACGCCCUAGAGCCGAUAUGAUGGCUAGAUAUAAGUGGACAGGUGGAUAGCCAAUGAAGUGGCUAUGAUGAGUAUGAAGACAAAUACAGGAUUGACUUUCAUGGAUAUUGCCCCCAUGCUAAAGAUCAAUGAGCUAGAAGACAUUUGCCUUGGACAAUAAGUGUGUGACUUGUGGAGCAUUAAGACGUGACUGUUAUGAAUGAGCAGAGGGCAUGUGCAGGUUCUGGGAACAAGUUGACUCUUGUCAAGGUGGUGAGCUCGGUGAUGGCAUUGUAAUACUAGAGUAUGAAGAUAGAUAUGGAUCAACCUUUAAUGGGUUGCCCCCAUGGUUAAAGGUGGAGAGCUACCUGGACUCUUGAGACUAAGAGCGAGAGACUCACGGAGAAGUAAGGCGUGGUUCCUAGGGUGGAACAGAGGGCAGACACAACUCCUGGAUAACUAGACUCUUGGAAGAGUGGUGAACUUGUGAUCAUAUUGAGAUACUCAGUUAAUGACUGUCGCACUUGGAAUAUCCGUUUGAGGGGGUGUUGUAAGCCUUGGUGUGAGGCUUGAUGAAACAUUCCGGACCGAGCAUCGUUGAUACGCUCGAAGGGGAAUGUUGUGUCCCAGAGACAAGCGUUAACACUCUUCAGAUGUGAAGUGGCAGACCAUCUGGUUGUAGUGAUCCUUUUGUGUGAGAAAAGGUGUGCUUUUGUGACUCUGGUGAUUGAAAGGUUUGGCGAGUACCUGUAAACUUGGCCACAGACGCUCUCAGAGUGGUAAGCUUAGAAGAGCUGCAAAAUGCAAGUUUGUGCUGAAGAAGUAAGAGGACAGUUGCCCCAUACGAAUGGCAAAUGGGGUGAUUGUUGGAUUGGUUGUCAUUGCAUGUGCAGUAAAUGGACGGCACCAACCAUUGCAUCCUUGGCAGCCACCAUUGUCAAAGAAGGAGGCUACAAUUGUUGGUGGCAGCCACCAACCAUUAACUUUGGCAGCCACUAUUAUUGAAGAAGAGUUGGAGUUUGGCAGCCACCAUUGCUGACAAAGGAGCAAGAGGAGCUGCCAUUGAUGCCUAUAAAAGAGGCAUGAUUUUAGAGAGCAAAAUGAGAGAGAUUGUGAGAAAUGUAGAGAGACCAAGAGAGAAAAUGAAGGGCUGCAAUGGCAGCAGCUGCAAGGGCAGCAAUGAGAGCUGGGAGUAGAGUAGAGUGAAGUGAUCCUCCUCCUCCAUGUAUUUGUUUUGUAAUCCUUUCUUUAUCUCUAAAUAAAAUGAACCUCUUCUGUAAAAUGAAUUGAGGACAGAGUCUACAAAGUCAUUGACUUCAGGAAUUGUGUUGCACCAAGCAGCGAUGACUCCAUCAGGUUUUUUGAGUAUUCAAAUAUUUUUUUUUAGUAAAUUUAUUAUUGGUUUGAUGUGUUAAUGUUAAAAAUAAAAAAUAUUAUUUUAAUAUAUUUUAGAAUAAAAAAUAUUUAAAAAUACAACCACUACAAUACUUUUAUUUUGUUUAAGUUGUUAUAAAGAAAACAAAAAUACAGGGUAUCAUAAAUUUACCGAGAAAAAAACUUUACAUGGAGAAUGAAAAAUGAUUCGAAAAUAUACUGAAUGCUAAGAAACUAAUGUGGGUGACAUGUAUUUUUGAUAGAAGAGCUUGGUCCAGUUUCGCUGGUGUGGUCGAUAAUUGAAGCAGGCUAGGAUGAUAGGAUUAACGUCGUGGAUGAUGAGCAAUUUCUUGGAAGAAGUGACUCUUACCUGUUAGAAUAUGGUCUCGUCUUUUGCCUACUCGGGCAAUUUCUUGGAAGAAGCCGUAGCAGCAGCAUGGUUCCAAACAAAAGUCUACAUAUGAGCUACAUAAUUAGACCCAGUAUAGAGGGUUUUGUUAAUAUAAUAUUUGUUGUAUUAAAUUUUAUUUUACUAAACUGAGGAUCAACUAAGCAACUAUAUUUCUUUGACCCGUCAACAUCCCUGGGCAUUGAGGGUUUUGUUAAUAUAAUAUUUGUUGUAAUGUUCGUAUGAAUACAACUUCGUUUCCUGUAUUGACACAUGUUAGCAUACUUGUCAAUUAUCUGGAACACAACAACUAGGUAUCAACAUCAUUACGUAAUUACUUGAUUAAUUAUAUCUUAAACUCAAGAAGUAGUGAAUCAAAUAAUCACCCACGUAAUUAAUUAUCUAAUGGUUUAUAUAAUUAGUUGAUUUAUCUUAUUAAUCCGUCUCUCAUGGCAAUCGAAGAGAGUAAUGUAUUUUUUCUAUGAUGCCACAUGUUGGUAUAUGAUAUUCUCUGUGAUGGCACAUGUUCCUAUGUGAUUUUGAUAUUUUCUUUGUUGUUUUUCAAAUUAGUCUUUGCAAUCUCCAUGCAUAUUUUCCACAAAAUCUAAGUUGAUAUUUUCUAUGAUUUCACAUGCUGGUAUAUGAUUUUCUGUUGUAAUAUUGUUCUAGUUGUGUUGAUGCGUUAGUAUCCUAUGUAUAUAUCUAUACAUAUAUAUGUAUGUAUAUAUAUAUAUAUGUAUGUAUGUAUGAGUGGAUGAUGAAUGUAAGUAUAGGAAUUGUUGAAUGCAAUAUAUAGAAACAACUGAGAUUUUUUUUUUUUAAGAUACAAGAAGUAAAAGGUGCUGAUUUUGCAAGACAACGGAGGAGAAUAACUCCGCCUUGAAAGAAGAGGCCUUUUCUUGUACUAAAUCCGGUCAUUUGGAAGUUCAAAACUACUCUAGCACAGCUACUUAUUUGCAUAUUUAUGUGUUCUGUGGGUAUUUUGCUCUGAUAUUUGGUAAUGUUUUUAAUGUUGUCUCUCUGAUAUCAGUAUCUUUGAUCAAGCCUCCAACAACGGAUGAUCAUAGCUAGUGCUUAGUAGUCUGUGUCAACAAUGUCUGAAACACAUCUAAGUGAAAUAAGGAUUGAUCCAUUGAUCAACAAAGAGGAAGGGAUUCAUAACAACCAACCUCAAGAGCUGAAGAUGGAUGGAACAUUAGGAAAUUACCCACUGAAAAAGGAUGAGCGUUCUUCGUGGUUUAGUUCCAUAAUGAUCAGAGAGGACAAAGACACUAAGAACAACCAGCCACUCGGGCCAAAGAUUCCGAAAGUUGCAGACAAGCUUAGAAAUGAAAACGAGGAAUGCUACAGUCCCUUGAUGGUCUCAAUUGGGCCUUACCACUCUCCGGGUCAUCAUAACAAUCUCAGAGAAGAGGAGAUUCCAAAGGUUUCGAUGGCUCGCCAAUUCAUCCUAGAUAGUGGAAAAAACAUAGAACUCGUCUACAGAGAAGUAGAAAAGGGUAUCCAAAACGCAAGAGAAUUUUACAACGAGAUCGACAUGAAAGGCUAUGAUGACGAGCAAUUGACCCGGAUGAUGUUUAUUGAUGGAUGCUUUAUUCUCCAAUUCAUCCAUUGUGUGACACAUAAUUAUGAAAAUUUAGAGAUGACUGAUCGGCAAGUUGCUGGUGUGAAGCGGGAUUUGUUAUUACUGGAGAACCAGAUCCCUUUUCCAGUCCUGAAAUCACUGACGAGUCUGAGGUACGAAAAAGAUGGAACUAAUCAUGGAAUGAAACAUGUGAAUGAUUUUCUUUUUUUCCAUAUUCUCAACCCGAAAGAUCAACCAUUGCGGACUCGAAAAUUACUUUGGUCUACCGUUAGUCUCCUGUUAUUGUUUCUUCCAAUUGCUCUUCCAUUUGUUUUAUCACGCACUUCUAUCGGUCAUAAUCAUGGCCUGGUUUUGUUGAGCAUGGUGCCAAUAUUUGCCGUGUUGGAAUUAUGUGUCGUGAUAACACCUUGGCUUUUGUGGUUGCUACUAAGAAAGAGGAGGCGAGCCUCAGGAUAUGAUUCGCAAUGGCAGCCUGAUGAAGAACCUGCCCAUCUUCUUCAACUUCUAUAUUUUCUUUUCAUAGGCAAGUCGUCUUCACGAAGAUGCGGCCAUUGCUUGUCUUAUUUGGCCACUUUUCUUAAGAAAUUCAUUCGUACAAAGUCCAAGCCAGUUGCUCGAGGAAGGCGUGGCCAUUACUUGUAUUAUACUGCCAAGGAACUUAAGAAGGUGGGAAUCCAUUUCAUGUCUAGUCAGACUAGUGCUUUGACGGAUGUCAAGUUCAGGUCAUCAUGUUUCCAUGGAACAUUGAAGCUUCCUUCAAUUACCAUAGAUGAGUCAACAAGGUCCAUGCUCUUGAACUUAGUGGCCUACGAAACAUAUGCUGCACUCAAUCCACUUUGGGUCACUUCUUACAUAUGUUUCAUGGAUUCGCUGAUUGACGAUGCUGAUGACGUGAAAGAGCUGCGAUCAACGGGCAUAAUUAUUAAUUUCCAUGGAUCUGACCAGCAGGUUGCGGAUCUCUUCAACCAUAUGGGCCGUUUUCUUGAACCUGAUACUAUGUUUAUAAUGAUGUUAAAAGAGAGAUAAAUGAGCAGUGUGAGAGCAUCGUGAAGAAAUGGGUAGCUGAGUGGCGGCAAACUUAUUUUCAGAGUCCCUGGGCCUUCAUUGCAUUUGCUGCCGCCGCUUUGGGUUUGGCUCUUACCGCCACUCAGACGUACUAUACAAUGGACCCACCCAAGAAUAAUUCAACACGCUAAUGCCAUAUUCUGGUUGUUAGAAUCAGUUAGAAUAAAUAACAGACUACCAAAUUAUCGUUAGCAAUAUCUUUCUGUUAGAUUUGUUAUUCUAUCUGUUAUUCUGGUAGCAUGUAUUAAAGGUUAUAUAAAGCCAAGAGUUCUUAUUGAAUAAUACAAUUUCCAUUCAUCUCAGUUCACGUAUACUUCUUUAAUCACCCACAGUUCUAACAAAUUGGUAUCAGAACCUCCACUAGGCCUAAAAUUCAAAGCAGCAGACUUUGAAAUCUUUUUGCGGCAGCAUAGCAAGAUGACUACAGAAGGAAGUUUUGUCCAGCCAGCUAUUCCAAGAUUCAAUGGUCAUUAUGACCAUUGGAGUAUGUUAAUGGAAAACUUCCUUCGAUCCAAGGAAAUGUGGGAACUGGUGGAGAUUGUAUAUAUUGAGGCAAAUGGAUCAAUGCAAACUGAUGGACAACAAAAGAAGAACGAUGAGAUGAAGCUGAAAGAUUUGAAAGUAAAAAAUUAUCUCUUUCAGGCAAUUGAUCGAACGGUUCUUGAUACUAAUCUCAAGAAAGACACUGCCAAAAUAUAUGGGAUGCAAUUCGAAGGAAAUGCAAGGGUUAAGAGAUCUCAUCUUCAAGCUCUCCGUAGAGAGUUUGAAACACUUGAAAUGAGGUCUGGUGAAGGAGUGACAGAGUACUUCUCUAGAGUCAUGACAGUGGCCAAUAAAAUGAGAAUUUAUGGAGAAGACAUGCAGGAUGUCAAAGUAGUGGAGAAGUUUUACGAUCGUUGACUGAGAAAUUCAACUAUGUUGUAUGUUCUAUUGAAGAGUCAAAGGACAUUGAUGCUCUCACUGUUGAUGAAUUACAGAGUUCAUUAAUCGUCCAUGAGCAGAAAUUUGUGAGACAUAAAAGUGAGGAACAAGCUCUGAAGGUGACAUAUGAAGGAGGCAGAGGUCGUGGCCGAAUUGCCUAUCGAGGAAGAGGAAGAGGCAGAGGACGAACAGACUUCAAUAAAGCAACAAUUCAAUGUUACAGAUGCCAUCGACUUGGACAUUUCCAAUAUGAAUGUCCCACUGUGAACAAAGAAUCACUUUAUGCAGAACUUGAUGAGGAGGAGGAAAUGCUUCUGAUGGCUUAUGUGGAGAAACAUCAAGCCAGAAAAGAAGAUGCAUGGUUUCUUGAUUCAGGAUGUUCUAACCACAUGUGUGGUUAUAAAGCCAUGUUCAGUGAUCUCAACUUAGAAUUUCGACAUUCUAUGAAGUUGGGGAAUAACACAAGGAUGAAUGUAAUGGGUAAAGGAAGUGCGAAGAUACUGCUGACUGGAAUCAAUCAUGUUAUUGCUGAAGUGUAUUAUGUCCCGGAUUUGAGAAAUAACCUCCUGAGCAUAGGCCAGUUGCAAGAAAGAGGGUUAGAUAUCUUAUUCAAAGGUGGAACCUGCAAGAUAUUUCAUCCAAAAAGGGGAUUAAUAAUCCAAACCACCAUGAGCAUAAAUCGAAUGUUCAUCUUAUUGCCUGAUUCCCAAUCUUCUUCUCAAGAACAAGCUGAUCAAUGCUUCCUCACAGGAACACAAAAUUUGUGCCAUCUUUGGCAUCGAAGGUAUGGACACUUGAGCUACAAAGGCCUAAGAACUCUAUCAUACAGGAACAUGGUGCGUGGUCUUCCUCCACUCUCAACCUCAAAUGCCACCUGCACUGAUUGCUUAAAAGGAAAGCAACAUCAUGAUCCCAUUCCAAAAAAAAGCACCUGGAGAGCAUCUCAGAAACUGGAACUCAUUCAUGCUGACAUUUGUGGGCCGAUCACCCCUACAUCCAACAACAACAAGAGGUAUAUUCUGCUAUUUAUAGAUGACUAUAGUAGGAAAACCUGGGUAUAUUUUCUGGUAGAGAAGUCAAAGGCCUUCAGUUCAUUUAAAAGUUUUAAGUCCAUGGCUGAGAAACAAACAGGUUUGUUUGUUAAAUGUCUUCGCACUGACAGAGGAGGAGAAUUCAUUUCAAAGGAAUUCAACGAAUUUUGCAAACACAAUGGAAUUAAGAGGAAGAUGACAACUGCCUAUACCCCGCAACAGAACGACAUAGCGGAGAGGAAGAACAUAACCGUAAUGAACAUGGUUCGAUCCAUGUUAUCUGACAAAAACAUUCCCAAAACCUUCUAGGCAGAGGCUGUAAACUGGGCAGUUUAUGUUCUUAAUAGGUGCCCCACGUUGGCAGUAAGGGAUGUUACACCAGAGGAAGCCUGGAGUGAGAUGAAACCCUCGGUGGAUCAUUUUAAGGUUUUUGGUUGCAUAGCACACGUUCAUGUUCCAGAAGAGAGAAGAACAAAGCUUGACAACAGAAGCAUUACUUGCGUAUUAUUGGGGGUUAGUGAGGAGUCAAAAGGUUACAGACUUUUUGAUCCUGUGGCAAAGAAAAUUAUCGUGGGCAGGGACGUAAUCUUUGAAGAAGAAAAGUUGUGGAAUUGGGGUGAGAACUGUGACCAGCAAUUAGUGGAAAAUUUAAACUGGGGUGAUGAAGAUGAAGUCUUGGCAAGGGAAAAUAGUGACAGAGGAGAUGGUAUUGAUGAUGCAGAACAACCUGGUGGAAACAAUCACAGAGAGGGUGAUGAAGAAGAAGAAUCUUGUGAUACGGGAGCUGGUGAUACAGGAGCUGAAACAAUAAAUUCCAGAGAAAGUGACGAAAGAGUGCGGGAGAGUGAAAUCAUGCAGCAUGGAGAAAAAAGUUCAAGACAAUUACGUGAUAGGCAGCCUCCCACGUGGAUGGAAGAUUAUGUCAGUGGUGAAGGGUUGUAUGAGGAUGAAACAAAUAUGGCACUUGAGGUGUCAACAGAUCCCUCGGUUUAUGAAGAAGCUGUGAAGAAAAUAGAUUGAAGGAUGGCCAUGAACAGUGAAAUUGAAUCUAUUGAGAAGAAUAAAACGUGGACACUACUGAAUUACUAGCGGGAACAAAAAAAAAUAGGGGUGAAAUGGGUGUAUAAAACCAAAUAUGAUGAGAAUGGGAAAAUCGAGAAAUACAAGGCUUGGUUGGUGGCAAAAGGGUAUUCUAAAAAAUAUGAUGUAGAUUAUACAGAAGUGUUUGCUCCGGUAGCAAGAAUGGAUACAGUGCGAAUGAUUAUCGCUUUGGUUGCGCAUAGAAAUUGGAUAAUUUCUCAGCUGGAUGUCAAAUUGGCUUUUCUUCAUGGCGAGUUAAGUGAAGAGGUUUAUGUAGAGCAACCAAGAGGAUAUGAAAAGAAAGGGAGCGAGCAUCUGGUUUACAAACUGCACAAAACACUGUAUGGUUUGAAACAAGCUCCACGAGCUUGGUUCAGUUGAAUUGAAGCACAUUUCAUUGGCGAAGGAUUUCAGAGAUGCGAAAGUGAGCAGACCUUAUUUACAAGAAGAACCCAAGAAGGAAGAAUCAUCAUUGUGAGUAUCUAUGUCGAUGACUUAAUCUUUACUGGAAAUGAUGAGGUAAUGCUAUCUAAUUUUAAAAACUCUAUGUUAAGGGAGUUUGAUAUGACUGACUUGGGAAAAAUGAGGUUUUUCCUUGGAAUUGAGGUGUUACAAAAAUCUGAUGGCAUUUAUAUAUGUCAAAGGAAGUAUGCUUUAGAGAUUUUAAGAAGAUUUGGUAUGAUGGAGAGUAAUUCGGUAGAAAGUCCAAUAGUUCCAGGAUUUAAGAUAAGUAGAAAUGAAGAUGGAAAUACUGUUGAUGAAACCCACUACAAACAGUUAGUGGGUAGCUUAAUGUAUCUUACUGCUACAAGACCCGACAUGAUGUUCGUUAUUUGCCUCAUAAGUAGAUACAUGACAAGACCUAUGGAGAUUCAUCUACAAGCAGUUAAGAGAGCUCUUCGAUAUCUAAAAGGAACUGUGAACUAUGGCAUUCAUUAUAAAAGGGGGGGAGAAGGAGAGUUGUUAGCAUUCACGGAUAGUGAUUAUGCUGGCGAUAUGGAAGACAGGAAAAGCACAUCUGGUUAUGUUUUUCUAAUAGGUUCAAGUGAUGUCUCAUGGUGUUUGAAGAAACAACCUAUUGUGAAUUUAUCAACAACGGAAGUUGAAUUCGUGGCAGCAGCAGUAUGUGCCUGCCAAGGAGUAUGGAUGAAGAGAAUUUUACAGGAACUGAGACACUUAGAUGAAGGUUGUACAAUCAUAAUGUGUGACAAUAGUUCAACUAUUAAGUUGUCUAAAAAUCCCGUAAUGCAUGGUCGCAGUAAGCAUAUUGAUGUGAGGUUUCAUUUCUUAAAAAACCUUACUAAGGAGGGUACAGUUGAGUUAAUUCAUUGUGGGAGUCGGGAUCAAAUCGCAGAUAUAAUGACCAAGCCAUUAAAGCUCGAAGUGUUUCAAAAGCUUCGGAAGUUACUGGGAGUAUGUGAAAUACUACCAUAAUAUAAACUAAUUGCUUCAUAAGCAUUUAGUUUAAGGGAUGGAAUGAAGGGGUCUUCUCGUAAACCACAUUCUGGUUGUUAGAAUCAGUUAGAAUAAAUAACAGACUGGCAAAUUACAGUUAGCAAUAUCUUUCUGUUAGAGUUCGUUAUUCUUUCUGUUAUUCUGGUAGCAUGUAUUAGAGGCUAUAUAAAGCCAAGAGUUCUUAUUGAAUAAUACAAUUUCCAUUCAUCUCAGUUCACGUAUACUUCUUUAAUCAUCCACAGUUAUAACAUUGCGAUGAUGUAGAAACUAUAUAUGGUUCUUAUUCAACAGAAUGUGUAAUGUUUCAGGAAGGGAAUUAAAUUGUAAUGAAUUCUGUCAGCUUGUAAGACAUAAGAUGAUUUCAUUUAGGCUAAUGCUAUGAGAGCAAAUUAAGGGCAUUGUGUGCUAAAUCAAUCUGUUCAGGUUCGCUUUUUACUGAUGUUUUCCUCUUGAGUGUAAUUUUUAGUUAGGGGGCUUUGAAAUGAACUUUCAACACACAUUUAGACAAAAUAAAACUUUAACAUACUACGCAAAAAGUAUAAAAUUUUCAACAUGUAAAUUUCAAUACAAUGGCGAAGAGAAAUUUAAUCUUGAAGCUUGAUUGUUUUUUUUUCUAGAGGGAGCACAUGAUCAUUUAAGGCUCAUAUUUCAAAGAACUUUUAUUAAAGAUCAAUAUUAUAAUAUUAUGAAAUAAAAAUUUAGAUUAUAAUAAAAAAUUAACAAAAAAGAAUCAAAAAUAAUUUUUUUUAAAAUUUUCACGGUUCAAAAACCAUGUUUAAAAAGAAAAAUCACAUUUAUUGAAUUUACUUUUUUUAAAACGAACCAAUUGAGAUCAAUAUUGAUUUUUUUUUUUAAUGAUGACAAUCAAAACUUUUCUUUCUUCUUCUCUUUUUCAAUGAUUUUCUCUAUGCUCUCUCAAUUUUUCAGGCUUAAAAUAUUCUAAAAAUAAAGUAUAAUAUUGUAAUGUAAAAUUCUAGAACAAUAGGGAAACUUCAGUAACUAAAGUUGAAGUUUUUCAUGCCUUCAACAUCGAAAAUGGAAAAGAAUCUACUCUUUUGUGUUGAUUUUAUAAAAUAAUAUUGUUGUGAAGAAGGAUGCAAUGCAAGAAUGCGAUAUCUUAAACAAAUGAUAGCAGGUGUGUUCAUGGCAAGAGUUGGUUAAUUGUGAGCAAACGAUGAACAACCAACUUAUUUAGUAUUGUGAUCCAAUCAUAUUUUUUUAAAAUUUUAAAAUUUGUUUUUUUAAUUUUAAAUUAAUACUUUUUUUAGUAUUUUUAAAUGGUUUUUAAAUAUUUAUGUCAAAAAUAUAAUUGUUGUACUAAUAAUUUUUCUCACGUAUUUUGAAGAAUAGAUUGCCAGAGAAACUUCAUAUCCAGCGUCAGUUUUAAACCCUUUUGUUCAGUAACUUCCCUGCUAAUUUUUCAGCUGUUUGGUUGAACAUCAACUUAUUGAUGGUGGAAGAUUGGACAUUUUGACUAACACAAAGUAAUUAAGCAGCAGCCUUCAAGGGGUAGAGACGAGACAAACCACCAUUCUAAUUCCAUGAGCAUUACAGUGAUCAACAGAGAACUUUUCAUUGAGGAACAUCUUAACUUUUCCAUUUAUCUAGUUAGUGAACCAUUUGAUUUACAGUCUCAUGCAUUUCCCACCUUGCCAAUCCUCAGGUAGACAGGAAACUUGACAACUUUUUGGUCGGGCCCAUCUUCAUUCCAAGCACGCUUGAAACUCUCAAUCAUAUCAUCCCUCAGUAGCUCCACACCUUUGUCUUGGCCGUUUGAUACGCAGACCAUGACCUUAGGUACGUAAAAUACUCAUCUAAAUCCAUCAGUUUCUCUGCUACAAACUUGAAUGGUCCUGUAUGAUCAGCUCCUUCAACUGGCUCAAAGGGAAAAUCAAUGCUCAUAUACUUGUCGUCGAUCAAUUUAAGCUGCGGUUCCCAGUAGGGAUGAGAAUCAAUGGAGUAAAAUGGAUUGAGGACAGAGUCUACAGAGUCACUGACUUCAGGAACUGUGUAGCACCAAGCAGCGAUGACUCCAUCAGAUUUUUUGAGUAUCCAUUUUACUUGUUGGUAAAAUGCAUGGAGAUCAAACCAAUGCAUGGCUUGAGCAAUAGUCACUAGAUCAACACUAGAUUGUGUUGACACAGUCUGUUCAAGUCCACUCUUUGACAUUACUGAAGGCGUAUGGUGGUAGCUCACAUUGGGAAGUUUUGGUGCAAAUUCCAGUUGUUUCAGGCUUGUGUCUGUUCCUGUUACAUGCUAGUAUAUCCCAGCUAGCUGAAAUUAAGAAACUUGGAUUGGUUAGAAUACUAGUCUUAUCAAGAAUUGCAAUCAACACAGAUGUCAGGUAGAAGAACUGGAUAAGAGACAGAGGAGGCAAGAGAACUCACCGAUCGAGCAGCCUGCCCACUUCCUGUGCCAACAUCCCAUACAAGGUCAUGAGCGGGAGUUUUUGAGGCAAUGAAUUGGAACAGUUCUUGAGGAUAACUUGGCCUUGUCUCUGCAUAUUGUUUUGCCUGAUUAACGAACAACUCCGCCAUUUCUUCCUCUUUGUGAGCUUGUUUUGCUAUUUAAAAAUGGAUGUGAUUGUCUUAUCUUGCUCCUCUACCAUUUAUAUGGCUUUCAUAUUUCAAGAUAUUGUCACAAGGGCAACGAAAAACAUAUUGGCAGGCUGGAGGGGAUGAAUAACAGGGGAUGCAUUAUCUAUUUUGCAUGGGUAGCCAAUUUUGAUGCUUCCAUUUGGUUUGACUAAUUAUUCUUUCUUAAUAAUUAUGAAAGACUUUUGACUUAAUUCAAUGUAUCUCAUGUGAUUUCUUCUUCUUCUAAUGGUACCUCUUGUUAUUGGAUUUGAUAUUUGGUUUGAUUUAUCUGCCCAAUACUAAAUGGGUAUGUUUUUAGAGCAUAUGAAAAGGUUGAUAGAAGAUAAUGCAUUAGAUUCUAUUGUUUUUUAUAUUUUAAAAUUGCUUUUAAAACAAUAAAUUUAUGUUUAUUUUUUUGUUGUUUUGAAUAAUUUUUUUAUUGGUGUUUUCAAAUUAUUUUGAUGUAGUGAUAUUAAAAAUAUUUUUUUAAAAAUAAAAAAUUAUUAUUUUAAUAUAUUUUGGAAUAAAAAUAUUUUAAAAAAUAACUAUAAAAAUUCUUUUAUUUCCUUCAAGUUGUUAUAAAGAAAACAAAUAUAGGGUAUCAGAAAAUUACCGAGAAGAAACUUUACAUGGAAGAAUGAAAAAUGAUUCGAAAAUAUACUGAGUGCUAAGAAACUAAUGUGGCUGGCAUGUAUAUUUUGAGAGGAGAGGUUGGUCCCACUUUGCUGGUGUGGUCGAUAAUUGAGGUAAGACCAAGAUUUAACGUCAUGGAUGAUGAGGGCAAUAGAUCUUCAAUUUUCAGUGCGUAGGCGCCAAGUUUGGAAAGGGAGUGAUGGCCAAGUUUUGAAUAAAGUAUUUUUUGUGUUGAAAUUUAUUAAUUUUUUUAUUUUUUUAAAAUUAUUUUUGAGAUUAAUACAUUAAAAUAAUUUAAAACAUAUAAAAAAAAUUUAAUUUUUAAUAAAAUUAAUUUUUAAUUUUUUAAAAUAUAAAUUUAACCCCAUUCUCAAAUAGUCAAUUCAAGAAGCGGCUCUUACCUGUUACAAUAUGGUCUCGUCUUAAUAUCUUAAUUUAAUAAUUUUUUAUGAUACUGUUUAACUCUAUUUUAAUAUCUAAAUAUUAAUUUUUGUACAAAAAAAUAGUUUCACCCAUAGUUAUCAAACUCAAUCCGAGAGUUGAUCGGACCAAAAAGUCGGGUCCCGGGUUUCAUGAGUGAACCCAUAAGAAUUAAAAAAUAUAUAUUAAAAGUUUUAAUAUUUCAUAUAAAAAAAUUAAGAAACAAUUCAUGUGAAUAUAAACUAUACAUGUUGUAAAUAAUGAAGUUUAAAAGAAUACUUCUAAAAUUUUUUUAUCCCACAUUGAAAAAAUACUAUGUCAUCCUUUUAAGUUGAAGUAUUUAAACUAAAAAGUAUUUUAUCCCACAUUGAAAAAAAUAUAACUUUUGUCCUGUGAAUAUAGAGUAUAUAUAUGAAAGGAUUUCAAAUUCCACAUUGAAAAAAUAAUUUUUUUUUCUUGGAAACAUGGAGUUUAUAUACUAAAGGGUUUCAAAUCUUACAUUGAAAAAACGUAAUUUUUUUUUUUGUUAACAUAGAAUAUAUAUACGAAACGACUUCAAAUUCCACAUUGAAAAAAUAAUUUUUUUUCUUGGGAACAUAGAAUAUAUUUAUUAAAGGGUUUUAAAUCUCACAUUGAAAAAACAACAUAUUUUUCUAAUAUUUAUAUAAUGAACUUUAAAAAGUGUUAAUAACCAACUAAAAAAAAAAAAAAAAUAAAGGGGUAUAAGAGAAAAACAAAAAAAAAAAAUCAGGUGUUGUCCGGGUUCGCCCGGGUCAUGGGUCGACUCGCCAGGCCAGGCUGAGUUUAAUAACAAUGGUCUUAAUUGCUCCAAACCAACAAAAAUUAGUUUUAUUUUAACAAAUUGAGCAUCAACCAAGUGCUUUGGAACUUUUCUUUAAUAUUGUGAGAUUCUUAUAUUUAAGCAACAAAAAUAAAUCAUUAGGUAAAUUAAAAAAAGUAUCAAAUUAAAAAAAAAACUUAAGUAAUAAAAAAAAUCAGCCUAAAUUUUUUUCUGGCACAUGCAACCCAGUUUCUAAUAGGAGAAAAUUAAAGGGGUUUAAUAGUUGUCAAAUCUUAAAAUUUAUCAAUAAAUUUUUUUUUAUGCCAAACUAUUCAUCAACUAAGCAAUUAAAUAUUUCUUUAACAACUCAACAUCUUCAUUAAUAGGAAGACGAAGAAAGCUGGCAAGCCCAAAUCUAUAUUAUUGCAAUGUCACAUAUACUAAAAAAAAAAAAAAAAGAUGAAGAAGUUAAAAAAAACUCAAGAAAAAAGAAAUUAAAAUAUUAAAAUAUUAAACGUGGUAUGUUUUGCUAUGAUGCAACAUUUUGGUGUAUGAUAGUGACAUUUUCUUUGAUGCUUUUCAAAGCAGUCUUUGCAGAUUGUAUACAUAUUUCCCUUUCUUUUGUCAUUGUCCAUAAAAAUUAAGUUGAUAAAUUCUAUGAUGACACAUGUCGUAUGUGAUUUUGAUGUUUUCUUUGUUGUUUUUCAAAUUAGUCUUUGCUAGCUGUCUCUCGCAUAUUUCCCUUUCUCUUUGUUAUUGUCCACAAAAUCUAAGUUGAGAUUUUCUCAAAGAUUUCACAUGCUGGUAUAUGAUUUUUUGUUGUCAUGUUCUAAUAGAGUGUUGAUGCGUUACUAUCCUAUAAUACUUUUUUCUUGUUGAUGAUUGUUAUAUUUUUUUCUUAUAUAUGUAUGUAUGGAUGGAUGUGCAUGUAUGUAUGAGUGGAUGAUGAAUGUAAGAAUAGGAAUUGCUGAAUGCAAUAUAUAGAAACAACUAAGAUACAAUCUUUUUAGAUACAAGAAGCAAAAGGUGCUGAUUUUGAAAGACAACGGAGGAGAAUAAGGAGCCACCUUGAAAGAAGAGGCCUUUUCUUGUACCAAAUCCGGUCAUUUGUAAGUUCAAAACAACUCUAGCACAGCUACUUAAUUGCAUAUUUAUGUGUUUUGUGGAUAUUUUGUUCUGAUAUUUGGUACCGUUUUUAAUGUUGUCUCUCAGCUACCAGUAUCUUUGAUCAAGCCCCCAACAACAGAUGAUCAUAGCUGGUGCUUAGUAGUCUGUGUCAACAAUGCCUGAAACAGAUCUAAGUGAAAUAAGGGUUGAUCCAUUGAUCAACAAAGAGGAAGGGAUUCAUAACAACCAACCUCAAGAGCUGAAGAUGGAUGAGAAUUGGGUUCGUUCCAUAAUGCAAAGAGAGGACAAAGACACUACGAAGCCACUCGGGCCAAAGAUUCCGAAAGUUGCAGACAAGCUUAGAAAUGAUCAAAACGAGAAAUGCUACAGUCCCUUGAUGGUCUCAAUUGGGCCUUACCACUCUCUGGGUCCUCAUGACAAUGUCAGAGAAGAGGAGAUUCCAAAGUUUUCGAUGGCUCGCCAAUUCAUCCGAGAUAGUAAAAAAGAAAUAGAACUCGUCUGCAGAGAAGCAGAAAAGGGUAUCCAAAAAGCAAGAGGAUUUUACAACGAGGACGUCGUGAAACGCUAUGAUGACAAGGAAUUCACCCAGAUGAUGUUUCUUGAUGGAUGCUUUAUUCUCCAAUUCAUCCAUUGUGUGACAAAUAAUUAUGAAAAUUUAAAGAUGACUGAUCGGCAAGUUGCUGGUGUGAAGCGGGAUUUGUUAUUACUGGAGAACCAGAUUCCUUUUCCAGUCCUGAAAUCACUGACGAGUCUGAGGUACGAAGAAGAUGGAAUGAAACAUGUGAAUGCUUUCCUUUCUUCCCAUAUUCUCAACCCGAAAGAUCAACCAUUGCGGACUCGAAAAUUACUUUGGUCUACCGUUAGUCUCCUGUUAAUGUUUCUUCCAAUUGCUCUUCCAUUUGUUUUAUCAUACUAUAUUCCUGACCUGGUUUUCUUGAGCAUGGUGCUAGCGUUUGCCGUGAUGGAAUUAUGUGUCCUGAUACCAGCUUGGCUUUUGUGGUUACUACUAAGAAAGGGGAGGCGAGCCUCAGGAUAUGAUUCGCAAUGGCAGCCUGAUGAAGAACCUGCCCAUCUUCUUCAACUUCUACAUUUUCUUUUCAUAGGUUCUCACUACAUAAAAGGGAAGUCGUCUUAUUUGGCCACUUGUCUUGAGAAAUUCAUUCCUCCAAAGUGCAAGCCAGAUGAUGCUCCAGAAAGGCGUGGCCAUUACCUGUAUUAUUCUGCCAAGGAACUUAAGAAGGUGGGAAUCCAUUUCAUGUCUAGUAAGACUAGUGCCUCGACGGAUGUCAAGUUCAAGUCAUCAUCUCUCCAUGGAACAUUGAAGCUUCCUUCAAUUACCAUAGAUGAGUCAACAGAGUCCAUGCUCUUGAACUUAGUGGCCUACGAAACAUCUGCUGCACUCAAUCCACUUCAGGUCACUUCUUACAUAUGUUUCAUGGAUUCGCUGAUUGACGAUGCUGAUGACGUGAAAGAGCUGCGAUCAAAGGGCAUAAUUAUUAAUUUCCAUGGAGCUGACCAGCAGGUUGCGAAAAUCUUCAACGAGAUGGGCAAAAUUCUUGUACCUGAUACUAGUGUUUAUAAUGAUGUUAAAAGAGAGAUAAAUAAGCAGUGUGAGAGCAUCGUGAAGAAAUGGGUAGCUGAGUGGCAGCAAACUUAUUUUCAGAGUCCCUGGGCCUUCAUUGCAUAUGCUGCCGCCGCUGUUGGUUUGGCUCUUACCGCCACUCAGACGUACUAUACAAUGGACGCACACAAGAAUAAUUCAACAGGCUAAUGCUGUUGCGAUGAUGUAGAAACUAUAUAUGGUUCUUAUUCAACAGAAUGUGUAAUGUUUCAGGAAGGGAAUUAAAUUGUAAUGAAUUCUGUCAGCUUUUAAGACAUAAGAUGAUUUUAUUUAGGCUAAUGCUAUGAGAGCAAAUUAAGGGCAUUGUGUGCUAAAUCAAUCUGUUCAGGGUCGCUUCUUACUGAUGUUUUCAUCUUGAGUACUGUAAUUUUUAGUUAGGGGGCUUUGAAAUGAACUUUCAACACAAAUUUAGACUAAAUAAAACCUUAACAUACUACGCAAUGGGAUAAAAAAAAAGUAUAUAAUUUUCAACAUGUAAAUUUCAAUACAAUGGACAAGAGAAAUUAAUUUAAUCCUGAAGCUUGAUUGUUUUUUCUUCUAGAGUGAGCACAUGAUCAUUUAAGGCUCAUAUUUCAAAGAACUUAUGUUAAAGAUCAAUAUUAUAAUAUUAUGAAAUAAAAAAUUAUAUUAUAAUAAAAAAUUAAUAAAAAAGGAUCAAAAUUAAUUUUUUUUUAAUUUUCACGGUUCAAAAGAUAUGUUUAAAAAGAAAAAUCACAUUUAUUGAUUUUUUUUUAAACGAACCAAUUGAGAUCGAUAUUGAUUUUUUUUUUUAAUGAUGACAAUCAAAACUUUUCUUUCUUCUUCUCUUUUUCAAUGAUUUCCUCUGUGCUUACUCAAUUUUUCAGGCUUAAAAUAUUCUAAAAAUAAAGUAUAAUAUUGUAAUGUUAAAUUCUAGAACAAUAGGGAAACUUCAAUAACUAAGUUGAAGUUUUUCAUGCCUUCAACAUCGAAAAUGGAAAAGAAUCUACUUUUUGGUGUUGAUUUUAAUCUUUUUUUAAAAAAAAAAAAAUUCUCAACAACAACGUGAAAUUUAAUAAUUUUAUAAUAAUGAUCUUUUAAGUUCAAUGGUUGAAAUGAGAAAACAACUUAACAUCGUUAUUUGAAUAGUGACAUCCAUAAUAGUUUCUUGUCUUACAACAAUAUAACAACAUAUUAUUUUAGUAGAUACAGAAUGGAUGUAAUGUGUGAGGCAGCAACAAGUAAUUUUUUUUCUUCAUAUCCUAGCCAUUGGUUUUGCGUCAGUAAUCAAUAUUAAUCGAGAAACAUUACACAUGCUCUUGCAUUAAAGAAUAUUGUCUUCAAUGUUAUAUGUUAACAGAUCAUGAUGGUGAUCUAAUUUUUGUCUUCAUGAACAACUUAGAAGCUGAAAGAUUUGGCCUUGUCUUGUUUCUCUAUGUGCUUUCAUUCAUCUUCUUUGUAUGCACCUCUGAACUUACAAUUUUGUAUGAAUUUGGGAAAAGGUGAUUUUUAACUUGUUUUAUGAACAGUUGUGUAGUCUCUUUGUUGUUUGCUGUAGUAGAUCAAAUUUUUUCUUUUUCUUUUUGUAAGUUUGUUUUUUUUUUCUUUCCUUUUUUCUUUUUUCUUUUUUUCACAUCCUUAUAUUUCACUUUGGCUAUUGCCUUUAUGGCCUUUUCAAUAAACUCUCAAUGAUUAUUCAAAAUAAAAAUAAAAAUAUGCACCUCUGAACUUACAAUUUUAUAAGAAUUUGGGAAAAGAUGAUUUCUAACUUGUUUUAUGAACAGUUGUGAGCUUGGGUGCAUCGGCGACUGAAGAAAAUGGAGAGCUAAUAGCUAAAUUGUUUGGAUCAGUUGGAAAGAUAUGGAGAGCUGAUGAAAAAUUUAUUUGAUGCAAUUACUGGUCUAAGGUAUGAUGUUUCUGCAAAGGGGGAUAUUUAUAUUGCUAGUUUCGUCUAUAUUUUGAGUAAGGCUCUUAAAUCUGCCAAGCUAAAUGCACUACCGUCAGUUGUUUUACACAUGCUUUUCUGCUUAAAUAAAUAGAGAUUGCAUAAUUGCGUUUUGCUAUAGCGUAAUUCUCUUUUUGUAUAAAUGAUUAGUGGAAAAAGGGCUUCCAUAUACCUAUAGAAACUUUGGCUGAUGGAGUGACAGCAGGUCUGCUGAGAGAACUUGCAGCGGGCCUUGCUUCUAAACUUGCAUGUCAUUUAUUUUCAAUGGCAAUGAUUGUUCUUGGUAUAACCCCCUUGAAUAGGAAAGAAAAGAAGGGAAAAAAAAUGAGAGAGCCUUUGAUGGUGUUUUAUAUCACUGCUGCCACUGUUCACCAGAUUAGCAUGCUUGCAUUUUUAAUGUUUCAAAGCUCUGCUUUUGACAAGGGAAUAUAUUGUACAUAUAUUCUUAGUCAUUCCUACUUUAUUUUAGAGUAUUUUGUAUGAUUUUUAGCAAGUUAUCUAGAGUUUUAGGUAUCUCUGAAAAUAAUUUACUUUUUGAUGAUUCAAUAUAUUUUUUAGAUAUUUAACUACUAAAGCAUGCUGAAUUUGAAAUGAUAUGAGGAGGCAGAUAAUGGGUUAAGCUUAGAGUUCAAACAUUGAUUAGUUUGUCAUAACAAAAGUUAUACAACUCCAUUUCAUGUGUUAUAUACCAUUCUGAAAAGCUAAGACAAAAGCUUAUAAUUCUUAUAAAGAAAAAGAUCCUACUUUUUGUGUUUGAAAGCCCAAAUAUCAAGUCAAAAUAAAGAGUUUGAAUCAGACUAAAAAUCCCUAUGACUCAUGUCAUAACCUAAUUUUUGAACAAAUAAUAAAAAUUAAAUAUAGUUGACAAUGGGGUUAAGACAACACAAAAUGUGAAGUUUGGGGAUGUAAUUAUAAAAUUUGAGAGUUAAUUGAUCAAUUUUGAAAGAUUUAAAAGUUAAAGAUUUAAUUAAAGGCUAAAUUGAACAAUCUAGAAAUUAAGGACUGUUUUGUAAACAAUGUUAUAAUUUAGGGAUUUAAUUGAAAUUAAUCCAAAAGGGCAAAAUUAAAAGAAUUAAUUAAGGACCAAAUUGAACAAUCCAGGAAUUAAGGACUGCUUUGUAAACAAUGUUAUAAUUUAGGAAUUUAAUUGAAAUUAAUCCAAAAUGACAAAAUUAAAAGAAUUUUUUAAUUGCUUAGAGGUCCAAUUGCCGAAUUUCCAAAGAAGCAGAGGUCAAAAUGAAAAUGUGUCUUUUGGUCGAAAUGUCGCCGUUGCUGGGAACAGUCGUGUUCGUCUUCUCCAUCCCGAUUCAACAGGCUGAACAUCUGCAACGGAGUCGAUCCAGUCGUGGACCACGUGUCUCUCCCAUGAUCUCGUCGGGGAAGAUAACAGUCCUGCAAAGGCAGGACUGGUUAGAGGCAAGCAGCUAGGUCUUUAUAAAAGGGGAAGAAAAACCCAGAACAAGGACGAAGAAAUCAACCCAAAAAUACAGAGUCAAGAACAAUAAUAAUAAAAAAAAAAGCAGAGAAAACAGAGCAUAAAUUCAAAUACAGAGAGAAAGAGAGAACAAGAGGGGCAACACAUAGUGACGAGAAUUAUCCUUGAAAUUGUCCUCGUACCUGCAAACAAAGAAAAAACCCGGAUUUAGUCAAAGAACACUCACAGCAAACCGGCAUCUUCUUUGUAGUUUUAAAAGCUAUGGAGAAAUCAAGAAGGAAAGCACAUACAAGUGAUCACAGAAGGAAGACCAGGGGAAGCAGUAGGCGAGAAUCAUCAUCAACGCUGCAAGCAUCUUCGGUCUCCAGAAGCAGGUAUGACUUCAUCCCCUUUGAAUCUUCAUUUCAAAAAGUAAUUGUCAGUGUUACAAGAACACUGUGUGAAGGUAAUUUAAUUAGGUAAUUUAAUUACCUUCACUAGUGUUCGUGCACACGUGAACAAUUCACGCGUGCCUUUAAUUUUGGCCUAGCUCAAAUGUAAAUAAAAAAUAUUAAAAAAAAUUAUAAAUUUUUUUAUGUACGUAAAAAAAUAAAUAUUAAUUUAUUGUUGUUUUUAUUUUUUCGUUGAUGCUAGAGUUAGAAUAAAAAUACCAAUUCAAAUUUAUUUUAUUGUCUUUUAUUUAGUUAUAUAAAAUGUGCAUGCCAAAAAAUAAAUAACAUAAGAUAAAAUAAAAUAAAUUUAUUGGUUUAUUCACUGACGCCAGAGUCGGGAAUAAAAAUACUAAAGUAAAUUUAUUUUAUUGUAUUUUGCUUUUAUUUAGCUACAUAAAAAUAAAAAUAAUGUGUAUGCAUAAAAAUAAAUUGAUUUUUAUUUGUUUAUUCACUGACAUCAGAGUCAGAAAUAAAAAAGAAAUAAUGAUUUAAAUUUAUUCAUUUUUGAUACCUACGUAAUAUUUACCAACGCCAGAGUUGGAAAUAUUCAUAGUUGAAUAUUCACUGACGCCAGAGUCAGGAAUAUUGCGAGUAAACCAUCAAAGCAUAAACCAAUAAAAAUUUAGCAAUUUAAGACAAAACCAACAAUGCAGUCUGUCUCCGGCAGAACGUUUAAGGAGUGAUAAUAUCUUCCAUUUUACGUAACCAGUCCCGUACCAUAGAAUCUCUGUUGACCAGUUAGGGUUUCUAAUGACCAUAAUACUAGGUAGCGACUUCUUAAACAAGACUUUUUUCCUAAAAGAACAAGAUGACAGAAAUCUGUUCUUUUUCCAUAAUCGAUUGAUUUUUUUAAUUGGUCGCCGUGAUGUCCAGGUGUGACAACCUAGAUACUGUCUCUGUUUUUGGCCCACAUAUCGAGUUCUAGAUGUUUAAAAAUUGCAAGACCAAUCUUGUUGGAAAGAAACCUUGAUUCUUUACAAUUGUUCUAGAAAUGAUAAAAAAAAAAAAAAGAAGAAGAAGAAGAAGAAGAAGAAGAAGGCAAAUAAUACACAUAUGUAUUAUGCAAAUGCCACUUAAAAAUAAGAUAAGGAUGAACAUCUAGCUAUUUGUCUAGGAUUCGAGAAAGCAGUUAUUUAGAGUAACUUAAAAGGUUGUGUUUGUUUUUCUGGUUUUAAAAUAAUUUUUUUAGUAUUUUUAGAUUGCUUUUGAAAUAUUAACUUUCAGUCGGACUUUAAUUUCCAUUUAUCUAGUUAGUGAACCAUUUGAUUGACAAUCUCAUGCAUUUCCCACCUUGCCAAUCCUCAGGUAAACAGGAAACUUGACAACUUUUUGGUCGUGCGCAUCUUCAUUCCAAGCACGCUUGAAACUCUCAAUCAUAUCAUCCCUCAGUAGCUCCACACCCUUUUUCUUGGCCGUUUGAUACGCAGACCAUGACCUUAGGUACGUAAAAUACUCAUCUAAAUCCAUCAGUUUCUCUGCUACGAACUUGAAUGGUCCUGUAUGAUCAGCUCCUUCAACUGGCUCAAAGGGAAAAUCAAUGCUCAUAUACUGACAUUACUGAAGGCGUAUGGUGGUAGCUCACAUUGGGAAGUUUUGGUGCAAAUUCCAGUUGUUUUAGGCUUAUGUCUAUGAUGUCAAAAACAUAGUUUUGACACGACACGAAAAAUAUAAUACAAACUCAGAUCGUAAAAACGGAUCGUAAAAUUAUAAAUUCAUAAGGAAAUUUUUUUACAAUACUUGCAAUGAACAUUUUUUAAAUUCUUAUCAAUAUCUAUACCAUGUUGUCAUCCCAAUAAUUAUUUCUAAAUGCUAGGGGUGUUCAUGGUUCGGUUCGGUUUAGACUCAAAAAACCAAUCGAAUCGAAUUACAGUAUUUUUGUAUAAAAUUAACCGAACCGGUUCAAAUCGAACCGGUCCGGUUUGGUUAAAUCCGGUUUUUUAAGGAAAAAACCGAGAAAACUUAUCCCAUAGGUUUUUUUUUGUUUUUUUUUUUAAAUUGGUCCGGUUCGGUUAAAUUCAGUUUUUUAAGGAAAAAACCGGGAAAACUAACCCCAUGGGUUUUUUUUUUUGUUUUUUUUUUUUAAAAUUGACUUAGCCUUACAUUAAAUUAAGCUUUCAAUUUUAAAGCAAACUUUUAAAGCAAACUGAUGUUAAAAUUGUAAAUUUAAUAUGAAUAUAAAACCAAAACCACAACAUCUCCAUCCUCCACAUCAAUAUUGUCAAUGAGAUUGCCCCUGAAAGGCUGGUACUGCUACUGCUUUAUAUUCAUUCCCCUCUAUCACCACCUUCUUGUAAUUUAUGGCGUUCGCUUGCAAAGAAGCAAUCAUAACAAGACCUAAGCAAACUGAUGCAGCGACUCCUGAAGAGAAACACAGAGAAGACCAAAGGAGAGCACAUAGACGAAGAAGAAGAAUGCAGACAAAAAUUCAACUUUUCAGUUAUUUGGAAUACAUACUCAAAACUAACGCAUAAAACUUACAUCAAUCAACAAAACAAACUAGAAAAAACAGAUAAAAGUAAAAAUCAAACCCGAUCUAAUCAAUUGUCUCUCAAGAUCAAAGAAUCAUAACAAGAGCAAAGGAUGAGAGAGAGAAAAUAGAAACAAUAUUACCUGUCAACGAUACCUAGAGACUAAUUACUUUGAUCUAGCAAGGUUUGAUUUUCUAAAUUUCUAUAAGGACAUAAGAGAGAGAUCGGUCUGGUGGGAGCUGUGGGUUAUUUACUUAUUGAUCGGCUAGAGAAGAGACAGAUGCAGGGGGCAAGAGGCAAAGAGAAUGAAAAUUGAAGGGGAAAGGAAGAAGGCUGGUCUGGUGUGAGCGGCGACUUUAGAAGAAAAUUGUAAUGUCAUUUAGGUUUAGGUUUACUGUACUAUUUAUACUAGGUGGUUUACUCGUUUCUAACUUUAUUUUUAUAGGUGGCCGGUUCGGUUCACCGGUUUUGGUGGUAAAACCUAAACCGAACCGAAUCGAAAAGAUUUCUGAUUUUAGUAAUCGGUUUAAUCGGUUUUUCAUCUCGGUUCGGUUUUCUUGGUUAAUUUUCCAUCGGUUUUCUCGGUUUUUUUGGUUAUUCGGUUUUUUUGAACACCCCUACUAGAUGCCAUGUGUUCAAUAAUUCAAGAAUCAAUUUAAAUUAGCCUUAUAAUCAGUUCAAACAUGAUUAUUAGAACCAAAUUAUGAUCAAUACAAACACAACUUAGAUAUUUUAUAAACAUAUUUUAUUUUGAAAACAUCAUCAAUAAAUAGUCAAUAAAAUUAUGACUAUAUCAAAUUGCAUAUCAGCACUAUGUAAAUAUUAUUCCAUUUUAAUUUUUUUAAAAAAUAUUUUUAAAAUGUAAAAACAAACAGGGUUCAAAAAGACAUUAGGUGCUAUAGAUGUUGGUCUAGAAUUCAAUAUAUGUACAUGAGUUUAUAUGUGAGUUUCAAUCAUGGUUUGUUAAACUCGCAAGUUGACUUGUAAAAUCAUAUAAUUUUACGAGUUAAUACAUGCUUAAUGUGCAAAACGCUUUAAAAACUCGAAAUCGGGUGAAAUCGGAUGAAAUCACGAGUUUGAAACCGUUUUUACGAUUUUAACCAAAAAAAAAAAAAUCAUAUACUACAGUAUUCUUGAAAUUUCUUGUGUAUAUGUCAUCUCACCAUUUAUUUAAUGCUAACGUAACUUGUUUAGCAGUGUGGUUACGGUUGCUUUUCAAAUAAUUUAUCAUGCUAAAAUACAAGCUAAUAAUGUUUUUUUUUAUUUUUUAAAAAAUUAUUUUUGACAUUAACAUAUCAAAGUAAUUUAAAAACACUAAAAAUAUAUUAAUUUAAAGUUAAUAAAAAAAUAAAAAAAUAAAAAAUUUUAAUUUUUUUUAAAAAUACUUUUAAAAUACAAAAUUAAACAGAUUUAGGCCUUGUUUGUUUCCCGGAAAGUAGUUUCCGGGAAACCAUUUUCCAAACUUUCCUGUGUUUGUUUGUCAUUAGGAAAGCUGGUCAACGGAAAACAAUUUCCGGUCAGCAGAAAACACUUUCUAGUCAACGGAAAACAUUUUCCAGUCAAUUUUAGUCAAAAAAAAAAAAUUAACUUAGUUUUCAGGAAACUGUUUUCCUUUUCUGUGUUUGUGUUUCCGGAAAGUGGUUUCCGGGAAAGCACUUUCCAAACUUUCUUGUGUUUGUUUGUCAGUAGGAAAGUUGGUUAAUGGAAAACACUUUCCAGUAAAAGGGAAAUUUAGCUUGGUUUUCAGGAAAGUGUUUUCCUGAAAAAUUUGAGGGGAAAACACUUUCCGGAAGUUGUGAAAAAUUUAGAAAUGUUAUUAUUUGCUGAUUAUAUCAAAUUUAAUCCUCAAACUUUUGAUUGCUAUAUAUAUUUUGUUUUGUUUGUUUUGAAUAUUUAUUUUUCAAUUUCAUCUCUUAAAAUUUUAUUUUUAUAUUAACUUUGGUCCUUAUUUUUAUAAUUGCUAUUUGCUUUUUUCUUAUCAUUUUUUUAUUGAAAUUUUUUAUUUAUCAAAUUUGAUCCUCAUUCUUUUGAUUGUUACUUAUUUUAUUUGAAAUAAUUUAUGAAAUGUUGAUUAUUAUUAUUUUUAAUUUCUUCAUUUUUCAUUUUUUUUAAUUUUUUAGAUUUGAUCCCUAUUAUUUUGAUUAUUAUUUGUUUUAUUUGAGAUCAUUUAUGAAAUUAUAUUUUUUUUUUUUCAAUUUCAUUCUCAUUCAACUUUUUAAUUUGUAAGAUUUGUUCCUCAUUAUUUUAAUAAACUUGAGAAAAAUAAAAUAUUAAUAAGUUAUUUUCCAGCUCAUUUUCCAUGACAUAACCAAAAACUGGAAAGUGUUUUCCAGUUCAUUUUUCAUAACACUACCAAAUAUCGGAAAAUACUUUUCCGGAAUUCACUUUCCAGAAAUUCACUUUCCAAAAGGAAUUUACUUUUCUGCAAACAAACGGAGCCUUAUUAGCAAUCGUUCAGAUAAAACAUUGCUAGCCACACGAAGGAACUCCAAGCACAAACCACUAGAUGUAUGUUAGUGGUUAUAAUUGUUGAAGGAAAAGCGAGAAUCUUAUAGAGGGCCCAUUUUAAAAUUCACGUUUAGUUUUUGAAAUAAAAAUGAACACUUUAACAUGACAAUACCAAAAGCCAAGAGCCCACAACUGUGACACAGAUGCUUUUUUCAAUUCAGUGAUAAGUGGCCCAACUUUUUUAACUUUUAAAAAUUCAGUGAUAAGUGGCCCAGCUUUUUUAACUUUUAAAAAUUCAGUGAUAAGUGGCCCAACUUUAACUUUUAAAGUGCGUUGAACUGUAAUAAUAAUUAUAUUUAAAAAAUAUUUUUUAUUUUUAAAAUUCAAUAUUAAUAUAUUAAAAUAAUUUAAAAAUAUAUUUUUUUUUAAUUUAAGAUAAAAAAUCAAAUUAAAAAAAGAAGAUUGUAAGUUGUGUCUGUUCCUAUUAACAUGCUCGUAUAUCCCAGCUAGCUGAAAUUAAGAAACUUGGAUUGGUUAGAAUACUGGUCUUAUCAAGAAUUGCACUCAACACGGACGUCAGGUAGAGAAGAACUGGAUAAGAGACAGAGGAGGCAAGAGAACUCACCGAUCGAGCAGCCUGCCCACUUCCUGUGCCAACAUCCCAUACAAGGUCAUGAGCGGGACAUUUUUGAGGCAAGGAAUUGGAACAGUUCUUGAGGAUAACUUGGCCUUGUCUCUGCAUAUUGUUUUGCCUGAUUAACGAACAACUCCGCCAUUUCUUCCUCUUUGUGAGCUUGUUUUGCUAUUUAAAAAUGGAUGUGAUUGUCUUAUCUUGCUCCUCUACCACUUAUAUGCUUUCAUUUUUUUACAAUAUUUUCAUAUAUAUUUUUUUAAAUUCUUAUCCACAUCUAUAUCAUGUUAUCAUCUCACAUCAAGCUUAUUAUCAGAAGAAUUGUUUCUAGCUGCCAUAUGUUCAAUAAUUCAAGAAUCAAAAUUUAAAUCAGCCUUGUAAUCAAUUCAAAUAUGAUUAUUAGAACCAAAUUGUGAUCAAUACAAACACAACUUAUAUAUUUUAUAAACAUAUUUUAUUUUGAAAAUAUCAUCAAUAAAUAGUCAAUAAAAUUAUGGCUAUAUCAAAUUGCAUAUUAGCACACUGUAAAUAUUAUUUUAUUUUAAAUUUUUUCAAAAAUAUUUUUGAAAUAUAAAAACAAAAAGAAUUUAAAAAGAUAUUAGGUGCUAUAUAUGUUGGUCUAGAAUUCAAUAUAUGUAAGGGAGUUUAUAUGUGAGUUUCAAUCAAGGUCCUUAAACUCGAGAGUUGACUCGUAAAAUCAUACGAUUUUACGAGUCAAUACAUGCUUAACAUGCAAGAUGCUUUAAAAACUCGAAAAUAGAUAAAAUCGGAUGAAAUCGUGAGUUUGAAAUCAUUUUUACUAUUUUAACAAAAAAAAAAUCAUAUAAUGCAGUAUUCCUGAAAUUUCUUGUGUAUAUGUAACCGCCCUAUUUAUCCUUCCAAGCGACCGUUCAGGCAAAACAUUGUUGGCCACACGAAGUAACUCCAAGCAUAGACCACUGGAUCCAUGUCAGUGGUUAGUGUUGUAACCCAUUUUCGGGUCCCCACAAAAAUAAAUAAAAUAAAUAGCCAAAGGAAGUUAGAAAAAUAACAGCAGGCAGAAACGCUCAGAAAAUGGUCAGAAAAAUCGGUGAAGGAGGUUAAAAAUACAAAGAUGGAUUUUUGACAAUAUAUUCUUGAAUGAUAAGAGCCCUGGUGGAUAAGAAAAUUCGAUUUUUGAGGAGAAAAGUCCAAAUUUGGAGUUUUAUGGACUUAAUUGGAUUUUUAAUUGAAUUUAUAGAGGAUUUGAUUGCAAGAAAAAUUGAUUUUUAAGUCAAUUUGAGCUUUAAUUAGAAGAAAUUUAAGUUCUGGGGCCAAAAUAUAUUUUUUAGGAAUUUAUUAGGUCCAAUCAGGGGCUUAAUUGCAUAGAUAUUGAAGUUUAAUGGCCAAUUAGGAACUUAAUUGAGAAAAUCCGAAACCAGGGACCAAUUUGGAAAAGGGGCGUAAAUAGGGGUGCUGUAUUGGAUUGAUCCGGGGUCAAAUUGAAGAAAUUGAAAACUUGAGGAUUAAUUUGAAAAAUGGCGCAAUCAGGCGACACGUCGCCUGUUACUGUUCACUUUCUUCCUCGAAAAGCUACCCGAGUGGCUGCUUUCCAGGCGCGUUUUCCGGCUCGUAUGGCCUCCAAAUCCGACAAACCGUGCACCAACAUGUACACCUGAAACCGCUUUAUCCCGGGGAAGGGUCCGGUCGGGUCGAAAAAUUUAGAAACGGGUCCGUUUAUUGGCUCGAAGUGGCCACCUCGGGCAGUCUGCAGCCUUGGAUUGCCAAAUUCGGCAGUUCAAGGUACACACUUUGAACCAGUGGCUUGGAUUCCUCGGGUCUAAUCAAGGGUUGAAAAUUUUCCCCAACGUAGACAGUGUUGCCCUCUUGCAUCGCCUAUAAAUAGAAUCUCUAUUGAAGACCUGAAGGAGGAGAAAAAUAAAACACAAAGUCGGACGAAAACCAACCAUUACUGCCCAGUUUCCCUGCAACCAGCCUCUUUUUCUAUUUCCCUCUCCGCCGUUGGCCCUCAUCAACCACCACCAUCAUCACUCGUCUUCUCACCGUCAUACCCACCUCCAGCAGCCAUCAAAGCGUCACACACGGUGGUCUCACCAUCUCUCUCUCUCCUCUGUAAAUUUUUCUCCCCAGUCACCGAGGCUCCAGCAGCAGCAGCAGCAGCCGCAGCAACCACCACGACCAACAGCUUCUGCCUUUGCCAAAGACCGCCAGGACAACAACUCUCUCUUCAGCUGCUCCAACAGUUACAACCAUGAGCCUUCCUUCACCUCUGCAGUACCUGUUUCGUUGUUCUUCCAGCUAGGACCAGUGCACGCCGCCAGCCUCGCCGCCUUCAGCCACACCGGCCUCCAUCGCAGCACCACCAGCGACCGCCUCCUCCAUGCCAGGUAAAGUCUUCUCCCCCCCCUUGCACCUGUUCGUUGAAGGACCUUCCCUCCUGCAUGCAUAAUUGUGUUGCAUGCAGGAGAAGGGGAGGGGAAAUUAAUUCCCCUCCCGACCGUUAUUUAUGCUGGCCCAGUCAUGCAUACUGGGCCAGGUCUGGCCCAGUCAUAGAUGAAACCUUAAAUGGGCCAAUCUCGGCCCAAUCCCCUCCUGGGCUGAGAUCGGCCCAAUCCCAAUUCCUGUUGGGCUGUGUUUGGCCCAUUCAGUUGGGCCGGCCCAACCCACAUAAUAUAUAUUAUAUUAUAUUAAGUAUUGUAAUAUAUUAUAUUAUAUAUGUAUGUAUAUAUAUAUAUAUAUAUUCUUUAAAAAAUAUAUAUUCUGAAAAAUCUUUGAAAAAAUAUUGUUGAUUUGCUUGCAUUUUUGUCAAAAUGGCUUAAUAAUGGUUUGUAUUUCUAUAAUGUAGAGAUAUAAAUUCAAUAUUAAAAUACCCGGUUUUUGUCAAAACAUCAAAGAUUUUCAAAAUAAAAAAUGUUUUUACUUUCAAAAAAAUUCCAAAAGUCCUUAAAAAUAUUGUUGAUUUUUCCUGCAUAUUUUUAUUAGGGUGGAUUAAUAUUGGUCUGUAUUUUUAUACCGUAAGAAUACAAACCCAGUAUUAAAAUACCCGAUUUUCGUUAAAACAUAAUAAAAAAAUAUUUUUCCAAAAACUGUUUUUUUGUUUUAAAAUACGGCCUAGUCUCUCCAAUAUAUAUAUAUAAAUAUUAUAACAUCAUAUUUUUACACAACAAAGGAAAUUUUCAAAACAAUAUAUGUAUUAGCAUGCAUUUUGGCUUUAAUAACCAGUUUAUUCAAGCCAUGAAAACUAGGCCAAUAUUUCAAAAUACACACAUACACUUUCACUAUUUUUUGUUUCUUUUCUUUUCUUUUUCUUUUUUCUUUUCUUUUCUUUUACAUCCAUAUUUACAAAAUACAAAUAAAAAUUCAAAUUAAACAAAUAUUACAUCAAACAAUUAAAAAAAAAUACAAAAUAGUCCCUAAAAUUCAGGAGAAACAAUUCUGGGAAGCAUUCUGGCCUGCUGAAUGACACGACCAAAAGAUUGAUGUCUUCUCCCAAGUGCAGGAGUGUCGAAGUAAUAAAUAACCCGGCAAGACCGGGGUCGAACCACAGAGAGGUUAAUUGUAUAAAUUAUAAAUAACAAGAUAACAACAACAACAAUAACAAUAACAAUAACAAUAAUAAUAAUAAUAAUAAUAAUAAUAAUAAUAAUAGUAAUAAUAAUAUUAAUAGUAGUAGUAGUAGUAGUAGUAAUAAUAAUAAUAAUACUCAGUACGUGGCGUUGUUAUACCUGAGAAUGAUCUAAAAGAUCGGGUCACAGGUUUCCAGCCUAUAUACUGAUUUUAUGAUAAUAAUAGUAAUAGUAAUAAUAAUAAUAAUAACAAUAAUAAUAAUAAUAAUAAUAGUGUUAGUAAUAGUAAUAGUAAUAACAAUAAUAAUAAUAAAAAAGAAGAGGAGGAGGAAGAGACAACAAUAACAACAAUAAUAAUAAUAAUAAUAACAACAAUAAUAACAAUAACAACAAUAAUAAUAACAAUAAUAAGAAAAGCAGGAAGAAAUUAAUGAGAACUUUGAGAUGGAAGAUUAAUGUAAGGAUUAAACAAUAAUAAAGAUAAAUGUCAAGGUUAGAGGAUCCACCAAUGGUAUUUCAAACAAGUAUAGUAUAAACUCUUAUUACUUAAUUUGGAAACCACACACGAAGGAGGUUCUAGUCGGAUGAUUUGUCAUUAAUAGCUCAUUAUAAAUUAUUAACAUGAUCAUAUUAAUUAUCUUAUUUACAUAACACCAAACUUUUAAAUAUUGUCAGGAAUUCAUGAUGUUAACUGAUGUUAACAACAAAUCAAGUACCUUUCAUAGCCCCAGGUGUAGGUAAAACCAUAUGGUUGGGUUAUGAGAGUGCCAAGCAUUUGUUGUACCAAGUAUUAUACAACACAAAUUUAGAUUAACCAUUUAACAAGCAAGGUAUUAAGAAUUAGUAAGAUAAAAAGAUAAGACAUGUUAAUAUUAAACAUUAAGGUCCAUAUUGAGUUUACACCAUACUUGUUCUUACACCAUUAGUGUAACCUUUUCACAUUGACAUAAUAAACUUAGCUAAACAUAAUGAAGAAGAACAACAUAAAUAAAUAAAACAAGAACAUAAAUAAAAUACAAGUUAACUAAGGAAAGGAAAGGAAAUGAAAAGCAUAAACAAGAAAUUAAUGAAAGCAAAACUUAAGAAUUACAAAAAAUAUAAAGAGAGAAAUAAAGAGCAUGAACUUGAUAUGAACAACCAAGCCCCUAAAUACAUGGCAAAUUCCUCCUUUUAUAGGCCAAAAUUCGGAAUUAUUGAUUUGAUGACUAAUUGUUGAGUGGGUGGCCACCUUUUGACUUGGUAAAAAUCCUUAUCUUCUUGUCUUAAUAAAACAAAAAUUCUAGAAUCAGAACUGGGUCCAGAUGUCCAAAUAAAAGUUCUGAGAAAUUCUCUUAGCUUUUCAGCAAAAAAAAGAUGAGGUCAUUUGGACUUCUAGAACUCAAGAUAUGGGCUGAACACUGAAUAGUAUUUGGGCUGCAGGACAGAUUCGGACUUCUCCAUUGUUGCUAUAAUUUGGACUUGAAAACGGCCUUCUUAGAUCUUGAUGUCCAAAUGAAAGUUGUAGGCCUAUGUCUUAUCAAAUCUCUGUAAACAUUUCAGAUCAUUUGGAUAUCUAGAACUCGAGAUAUGGGCUGAACACUGAACAAUGUUGGGCUGCAGGACAGAUUCAGACUUCUCCUUUCUAGGCUUCACCCUUCUUUAUCUUCAAAAUUUCAGUAGUUGAAUUCAUCAAUCAAUCCUUAGAUUUAUGUGAUAGACCUGCAUUUAAGAUGAACAUUUACCAUAUAUUAGGGUAUUUUAUAGUAGUAGACUUGUUAUUAUAAAACAUGCUUUAGUUAAGGAGUUAUUGAUACUUUAAGUGCAAAAUGAUGAUAUAAACCCUUGAUAAACAUGGACUUUUAAGUACUAAUCACUGAACAGUAGCGGCGCGUCUCCCCACGCGCCGCCGCCACUAGCAGCGCGUGGGUUCACGCGCCCCCGCAGGGAAAGAACUGGGAUACAGCAGAUCACGACUGGCUUCUCCUUCGGUCUUCCUAGACCAUCUGUGACCUGUGAAACAAGAAGAAAAACGUACACAACAGUCGAUUUUAGAUUUUAGAUUUCUUGGUUUUUUUAGAUUUGAUUUUUGUUUCCUUCCUCUUCUCUGCUGUGGACGGGUCUGCUGCAGAGCAAACCCUUUACUUUGGUGGCCACAAUUUGCUAUACACGAAGGUUACUCCAUGGUUGCAGAUCCAGCGAUGAGAAGGAGUGACGGCCGAGAGGGGGGUGGCGUUGCUGCUGUCGUCCAUUCGGCGGCUUCGUUGUCGAUGGAGAUGAAGAGAUCGUGGGAGGAGAAGCAGGCAGCCGGUGAGAAGAGAGAGCAGAGGGGGACGGCGCUAGUCUCUGUCCGGCGUGAGGCUGAGCUCGGGCUGUUGAAGCUACGGUGGAGAGGGUAUCUUGGAGCUGCUCGUGGUCGAUUGCUCUGACCGCUGCUACUGGAGGCCGAACGAAAGGGGAGACUUGCGUUGUGUGGCUAGCGGCUGGUCUUUGAGAAGGAGAAAAAUGAGCAGCCAAGAGAGGGGCUAUGGGAGGCUGCGGUGGAGGGGACGAGAAGAUAGUAUGUGGGGAGGAAAAUUCCCAGCCGGGGGGAAGAAAGGCAGAGUCCGGCUGUUUCGGUAAAAAAAAUCAAUCUCCGGGGAAGGGGGCGGCUGUGUUUGGGAUGAGGGUGAUUCAACUGUCUUGGUGUUGGUGAGAGGGAGAGGUCUUGUCAGGAGGCCGCUGUCUUUGGCUCCGGGUGAAGGAGAAGAAAAAAAAAAAAAACAAACAAAGGGUAGGGGCUGCUGUGUUUUUUUUGGUAGAGUUAAGUUUAGGUUUAGGGUUUUUUUGUGGUUUCUUCCCCUUUACAAAAUUGCCCCCCCCCAUUGUGUGAGUUAAAGACCAGUAUGUAUAGGCAGAAUGUUGCUAGGUUUUUCAACUUGGUCCCUCAACUUUUUGUUUUUUUUUUGUAAAUUUUGAUUUUUCUUAUUAUUUUUUUGAAUUUUUUUGAAAAUGAGCAACAUCAACGUCGACUCAAUGAGGAAAAUCAAUGAUUUUAAAAAUGACGCGUGAAAAGUCGAACGCAUUUGAAAAUUUAAAUUCUUUUUUUUUAGACGACGCUGAAAAUGCUAAAAUGACGAGAAUAUAUUAAAAAAACAUAUUUUUUGGAUUUUCAUUGUUUUUUCUCUAUUUUUGGAUUUUUUGAAAAUAUAUCAAAAACAUGGGUCAAAAAAAGGGUAGCAACAGAUGUCCCCUCUUUACAAUGCUUACGAAGCAAAAAUCCUCAAUGUUUUGCAUAGUAAGCUUUGUAAAGAAAAACUUGUCUUUCUGUUUGCUCAAUAUCCACUUCAUCUAAAACCCUUACUCUGUUCUUUUUUUUUCUCUCUCUCUCUUUCUCUCUCUAUUUUUUUUUCAUUAUCCUAAGAUCCCAUCUAGCGACCUCCUUUAACCAAAACCAAAGAAUGUGUGUAACUCGGUCAACCUGAAAUCCCAUAUGGAGAUUCCCUUUAACCAAAGCUACAUGAGAUCCCAUCUGGCGACCUCAUUCAACUAGAACAAAAGAAUGUGUAAAAAGUGGUCUCAUUGUAAUGGGUGACCAACCCAGGUGGAAAAAAUGUGAAAAAAUGAUCUCAUUAUGAUGGGUGACCUACCCAGAAAAAAUGGUGGUCUCAUUGUAAUGGGUGACCUACCCAAGUGGAAAAGAGGAAGAGUGGUCUCAUUCUUAUGGGUGACCUAACCAGGGGGGAGAAUGGCCUCAUUAUUAUGGGUGACCUACCCAGGUAAAAAAAAGAUGGAGAAUGGUCUCAUUCUAAUGGGUGACCUACCCAGAAAAAAUGGUGGUCUCAUUGUGAUGGGUGACCUACCCAAGUGGAAAAGAGGAAGAGUGGUCUCAUUCUUAUGGGUGACCUACCCAGGGGGAAGAAUGGCCUCAUUAUUAUGGGUGACCUACCUAGGUAAAAAAAAGAUGGAGAAUGGUCUCAUUCUAAUGGGUGACCUAUCCAGAAAAAAUGGUGGUAUCAUUGUGAUGGGUGACCUACCCAGGGGAGGAAUGGCCUCAUUAUUAUAGGUGACCUACCCAGGUAAAAAAAAAAAUGGAGAAUGGUCUCAUUCUAAUGGGUGACCUACCCAGAAAAAAAAUGGUGGUCUCAUUGUGAUGGGUGACCUACCCAAGUGGAAAGGGGGAAGAGUGGUCUCAUUCUUAUGGGUGACCUACCUAAAAGGGAGGAAUGGCCUCAUUAUUAUGGGUGACCUACCCAGGUAAAAAAAAAUAUGGAGAAUGGUCUCAUUCUAAUGGGUGACCUACCCAGGAAAAAAAAUGGGGGUCUCAUUGUGAUGGGUGACCUAUCCAAGUGGAAAGGGGGAAAUAGUGGUCUCAUUGUAAUGGGUGACCUACCCAAGUAAAAAACAUGGAGAAUUGGUCGCGUUGUAAUGGGUGACCUACCUAGAAAAAUGUUGGCGAGGGCUCAAAGGCGCACUCGAAAUGAGGUAGGGUUAGAAAACGCACUACCCGAGAGGUGAAAGCUCAAAUGGCGCACUCGAAAUGAGGUAGGGUUAAAAAACGCACUACCCGAGAAGUGAGGGCUCAACGGCGCACUCGAAAUGAGGUAGGGUUAGAAAACGCACUACCCAAAAGAUGAUGAUGAAACAACGAUUUGACAAUGUUAAAAGCAAUGCAUUAUGAUCAAUAUGCAUGUAUACUUACCUGAGAAAAAUAGGUCCCCAUUUCUUCAUGGUGUUUUUCUUUUCUCAAAAGUUGGAGUGUUGGCAGUGAACUUCAAUGGCUUUUCGCUCUUGCUUACUCGAGUCAUCUCUUGUGAUUUUGACCUCUAGGAAAGACUUGAUAUCAUCAUACUUCUUUGUACUCCGCCUCUUUAUCUCAAGGGUUGCCAAUUUUGUUCGACAUUUUCUUAGAAUGGGAAUCAUGGAGCUAGCCCUAUCAUAUGUUUCUUUAUUGCCCCCUAGCUUGAUCAUGCCCCCAAGUGUUCAAUUCGGGUUUGGGGAUGAGGCUAUGUGAAGGAAGGUUUGACAAGGAGUUGUUUUUAUGCAAAAUUUUUGAAAUUCCAAAGUUAUUCUAGGCACAUAAAUUAUUUUGACAUCGAUUCAAAGCAAACUCAUUCUAAAAAAAAUUCAAGUGUUUCCUAUGGAGAGGUUUUCAGAAGUGAUGAAAACUUUUUCUUUUUUUUGUGAAAAAUAUAUGAAGUGACAUUUGGCUAGUCGAAAUGGUUCAAGAUUUAAUGAGAGUUUCAAAGAAUCGGUCUUGAAAGCAUUCAUUUUAUUUGCAUGAAUAAUGAUUUCGUUCACAUGAGAAAGCACUGCCUACCGAUCCAGAUUGCUUGCCUUUGAUCAGAAAGGGCUUGAUUAGGCAUGUAAUGUAGGCUUGGGCUACUGGUUAUGAAGAAAAAAUGAUAUUUGUAGGCUCAAAAGGUGUUUAAGGGAUUUGAAGACUAAGGAUCACUUGUGCUUAUUUCUUGACCUUUUGUCAUUUGACUGUCUUUCAAAAAUUGUCUAUCGUGCCCCCUUGUGUUGGGCUUGGGCUUGUUCUCUUUGCUUUUGUUUUCUUCAUAUGGUUUUGAGCAUCAUUUUUAUUUAUUUUAUUUAUUUAUUUUUUAUGCUCAAAACUCUUGAUCCUUUGGAUUUUUCUUUAUGCCCCCCUAGAUUUGUUCGGGCACCUUUGAUGAUUGAGAAUUUUCUUUUAUGCCCUCUAGUGUUGCUUGGGCACUUUUGAUCAUUAAGGUUUUCUUUAUGUCAUCGCACUUGCCCCCAGUGUGGGGUGUGAUCCUAGCCAAGGUUAUUUUUUAAGAAAAAUUUAUUAGGCUCAAAAGGGGACUACAAAUGAUAUAUUUAAGCCUUGUGAAAGGAUUAUCAAGGAUGACCUUUCUUCAUCUCAAAUGCAUGCAUUUAGGAUCGGUAAGUCUUGCUUUCAUGCGAGUAUGCAAAGUGAUUUCUCAUUAUUCAUUCAAAUAAAACUCAGCUUUUAGAGUCACUUCAUAGGUUUUUUUUUUUGUUUUUUAGGUUUUCUAGGUGUAUGGUUACCUUUCUAAGGAAACACUUGAAUUUCUAGAACUCGUUUGUUUUGGACAAACAUCAACAUGAUUUAUGUUUUUGUACUAAACUUUGAAUUCCCAAAAAUCCUUGUGAACAUGUGCGAUCAUGUACAAUUUUGGAAGGAAAGGGAAACACACCCAAAGAUUCUUUGUGAUGGUUUCAUGCUUAAAGGUUAUGCUCAAUAUGUUAUUUGCAUGAAACAACAACAAAAUUGAAGGUAUGUUAUAAACACAUGAUCUUAUUAACAAGAAAGGCUCAUUUGACAAGGAAAAUGUUGCGGAAUUUUGAGCCAAGUUACCAACAAAAACUGGAAUAGGUUGAAACAAAAAUCAAGAAAUUUUGCAGGCAUGAUCAAACUAAGGUUUUUUUUUUUUUGCAGAACAAGAAUAGGCUCCAUUAUGCACCGGUAGUGCAAUUCCCUUUGGUUAGCCUUCCCACCAAAGCUUUUGCGAAAAUACAUGAUUGCGCCGAGGCUCUUGACAAAUUUUGCCCCCAAUUUCUUCGGGCUGAGUCAUUGUUGGGUUUUGAACAAAGAUGAUAGGUCGGUUGGAAGGAACUUUCCUAGAGUUAUUUUUCAGUAUCUACUCGAGUAAGCUAGAAGCAAGUCACACAUGUCUUCAAAAAUUACGACGAGCAUACUCUUCAUCUUCCGAGUUUUUCUUCAUUCAAAGUCGGGUGUUGUAGACUCGUAGGGGACCUACUUUUCAUUCUGGUGCAUGCAUGACAAAUGUAUGAACAUGUAAUCUAUAUGAUGAACUCGCCCUUCGAGGGGUGACAAUAUGGUCGUAACUCUUGUAUGAUGGAGCAAGAAUCGUGAUUUUUGCCCAAACUCUACAAUGAAAAUUUUUGGAGUGACGGCCAAUGUGUCACCCACAAGUCUUGAGUUCAAGAUGCUUCAAGAAGGGUUUGCCCUAUGCAAAAAACGAUAGCACAUACAACUUAAGGAAGUUCUAUUUAUUAUGUGAACAUGAGUAAGUUUUCUAUCUGGUCUCAAAAGGGUCUCAUAUCUGCCCAGUGAUGUUCUUCGUAAAGACAGUAUGGGGGCGUUGCAAGGAAUGGUUAAAUCACGUAUACCCACCAUUACCAAGCAGGCACUCAGAUAUGAGUGGGUGUUUCACGCAUCUGAACCUUGACCAAUAGUCUUAGGGCAGAUCACUAGUUCCCCACCUAACCUAGAAGCUUGUGUGUGCUUUCAAAAAUAAAUACAGGUGAUGCAUGACACAAUUCUAUAAAAUGCAUGGAAAUAAAUAUUAACAAAAAAGAUAAGAAAAAAUGCAAAAAUUUAAACACAUCAAAUACACAAAGCUUAGUCCGAUAAUGUCAGAAACAGUACCUUCCCCAGUGGAGUCGCCAUUCUGUCGCACGUCAAAAAAUCCACGCGGCAUCGGCUGGCGAUUUUUAUCGUUGUUGUUGCGUUUUUCUUGAAUCGGUUUGGAGUCGCCACCUAGUAAUUAUUGAAGGCUACUAGGAAACCAGAUGUACUGGUCUUGUCAGAGACUCGCGGGUAAGGGACUGGUUGUGGUUAGGGAAGGUAUUAGCACCCCUAACGCACCCUACCUGAGGUAAGCUGCUUCGCGAAUUUGAUGUGUUAAAGAAGUUUUAAUAAUUGUCUUUUCAUCGGAAAUUAGAAAUAUCACUUACGUAUAAGUUAAUAAUUCUUAACCGUGAUCCAAUCAAAAUAUUAAAUUCUUCUUUAAUCUUUGCAAUUUUAUCAUAAAUAAGAAAAUAAAUAAAACAUUCAUAAAACAAAUACAAAAAAAAAAAACACACAUACACUUUCACUAUUUUUUGUUUCUUUUCUUUUCUUUUUCUUUUUUCUUUUCUUUUCUUUUACAUCCAUAUUUACAAAAUACAAAUAAAAAUUCAAAUUAAACAAAUAUUACAUCAAACAAUUAAAAAAAAAUACAAAAUAGUCCCUAAAAUUCAGGAGAAACAAUUCUGGGAAGCAUUCUGGGCCGCUGAACAGUAGAAAAACAAGAAGAAAAACGCAGAUCACGACUGGCUUCUCCUUCGGUCUUCCUAGACCAUCUGUGACCUGUGAAACAAGAAGAAAAACACACACAACAGUCGAUUUUAGAUUUUAGAUUUCUUUGUUUUUUUAGAUUUGAUUUUUGUUUCCUUCCUCUUCUCUAUCGUGGACGGGUCUGCUGCAGAGGAAACGCUUUACUUUGGUGGCCACAAUUUGCUGUACACGAAGGUUACUCCAUGGUUGCAGAUCCAGCGAUGAGAAGGAGGGACGCCCGAGAGGGGGGUGGCGCUGCUGCUGUCAUCCGUUCGGCGGCUUCGUUGUCGAUGGAGAUGAAGAGAUCGUGGGAGGAGAAGCAGGUGGCCGGCAAGAAGAGAGAGUAGAGGGGGACGGCGCUGGUCGCUGGUCUCUGUCCGGCGUGAGGCUGAGCUCGGGCUAUUGAAGCUACGGUGGAGAGGCUGUCUUGGAGCUGCUCGUGGUCGAUUGCUCUGACCGCUGCUACUGGAGGCCGAACGAAAGGGGAGACUUGCAUUGUGUGGCCGGCGGCUAGUCUUUGAGAAGGAGAAAAAUGAGCAGCCGAGAGAGGGGCUGUGGGAGGCUGCGGUGGAGGGGACGAGAAGAUAGUAUAUGGGGAGGAAAAUUCCCAGCCGGGGGGAAGAAAGGCAGAGUCCGGCUGUUUCGGUAAAAAAAAUCAAUCUCCGGGGAAGGGGGCGGCUGUGUUUGGGAUGAGGGUGAUUCAGCUGUCUUGGUGUUGGUGAGAGGGAGAGGUCUUGUCAGGAGGCCGCUGUCUUUGGCUCCGGGUGAAGGAGAAGAAAAAAAAAAAACAAAGGGUAGGGGCUGCUGUGUUUUUUUUUGGUAGAGUUAAGUUUAGGUUUAGGGUUUUUUUGUGGUUUCUUCCCCUUUACAAAAUUGCUCCCCCCCCCCAUUGUGAGUUAAAGACCAGUAUUUAUAGGCAGAAUGUUGCUAGGUUUUUCAACUUGGUCCCUCAACUUCUUUCUUUUUUUUGUAAAUUUUGAUUUUUCUUAUUAUAUUUUUGUAUUUUUUUGAAAACGAGCAAUAUCAACGUCGACUCAAUGAGGAAAAUCAAUGAUUUUAAAAAUGACGCGUGAAAAGUCGAACGCGUUUGAAAAUCUUUUGAAAAUUUAAAUUAUUUUUUUUUAGACGACGCUGAAAAUGCUAAAAUGACGAGAAUAUAUUAAAAAACAUAUUUUUUGGAUUUUCAUUGUUUUUUCUCUAUUUUUGGAUUUUUUGAAAAUAUAUUAAAAACAUGGGUCAAAAAAUGGGUAGCAACAAUCACCAGGACAUGUAUCCGAUUUUUCUGCAAGCACUAACAUUGUUCCAUCGUAACCUUGAAAGCUAAAAGCAAAAUUUAUAUAUUUUUUUAUAUUUUAAAAUUGUUUUGAUAUGCUGAUAAUAAAAAAUAAAAUUUAAAAAUUUUAAAAAUUAUUAUUUUAAUAUAUUUUAAACAAAAAUUAUUUUAAAAAACAACUACUACAAAAAAAUUAAACACUAUAAAAUACUAGAAUAAAACCAGAACACAUGAAUAACUGAAGCAUGAGUUUCUCAACCGUCAAAUACAUAUUUAUUAUAAUUAGAUAACAUGAAAAACUUAGCAAAUAUAUUUAAAUGAACAUGUCCAAGAUAAGAUGAAAAAGAGAUUUCGUACAUCAAAUAAUUUGUAUGAUAAAAACAAUUACAACUUUUGAUCCAAUAAUUAUCAAAAUUAAAGGGUGUGUUUUUUGACAUCAAAUUAAAGUGUUAGGGUGCAUUACAGGACUGUGAAUAAGCCAGAAAAAAAAUGUCAUUAUGUAUUGAUAACUAUGUAAAAAUACUGCAUAGAGCUUGCAAAAUUGAAACUUAACUUCUUCUAAUAUUAUCUCAUUUAUGAUGGCUGAUGAUUAUCAUUUGCUAAUGCACAAAUUAUAGAAUAAUAAUUAUUAAGAAAUCCCUAGUAAUUAAUUGUACACAGUUCAAAAUGAGAUAACCAUGUUAUUGCAACGAGGCCAUGUCAAUCCUUGGAAAUCAUAAAGAUUGGAUGGCUUAGGUAAAAUGUCAUUCACAAAAUUGAGUUCGUUCUUGGCUAAUAAAGCUAUUAUUAUCAUCCUUUUCCAUGAAUUAUAGUUUUCAUCAUUGAAAUGGUUUGAGCCGAUCAUGGUUCCAGGAUUGUCACCAUGAUACAAAAAGAAAGGAUUGGAAAAAUCCAUCUAUGAUGUAGGGUUGCUAUUGACAGCUAUUGUCAAGAAAAUAAAGAGAAAAAAAGAAUUGAUGAAGAUGCGGAAAUAAAACUUCAAAGAAAAUGCUCUGACAAUAUAAUGGAAAUAGAAAAUUAUAAACUGAAUGUUUUAUUUUCUUAAGUUAUAACUAUUGUCUAUUACAUUUGUUUAUAUAGACUAAUCUGAAAAAAUAAUAAGCAGGGGUUACUUUAACAGAAAUAACACGCUUCUAUAACAGCUUCAACUUUAACAAAUGUUUGAUGUACUGCUGGCUUUAUUGUGGACGUGAAGAAGAUUCAACUCAAUAAAUACAACGAAACGUGGGGAAAUCUGACCCUUUCCGUUGGUUGUCAUCAUGAGUGGUCUCUUCCGGGUCUGCAUUCAUUGUCUCUAUCUGGCACUUAUAAUGUUUAGAGGAAGCAGAACGGGCAUCAUUGUUAAUAGUACUGUCGGACAUUGCUGACAGUACUUUUCUACUCAUUAAUUAACGCACGUGAACAAUAGGAUACGAUUAUAUAAUAUUACAACAAAGACUCUAGAAAAGCUACAGCUUGAUAUUGAAGUAGCUGCAAUUUUGGAACAAGUAUUUUAGCUUUACUUGGAGAUCGAGCAAAUUUUUUCAUUCGUUUUCUUUUUGUGCUAAGUAAGCUUAGACAGAUUUUUCUUUAAUUUUAAAAAAGCCUGGAAAGAAAUUCCUUUGUCGAGAGACAAGGAUUGGAUUUAAAGAGACGUUCCGCCCUUUUCCUGUUCACAUCUCAAUACUUUCUUCAUUAACUUUUUUUUUUUUUUAAUUCGAGGAAACCUUACUUCUUAAUUUUUUUUUUUUAAUUCGAGGAAACCUUACUCCUUAAAAAACAUACUUUGUGGGUAUAAGUGAGCGAGUAAAACCCCGGUUGUUCUAGGCUCUUAUAAGAGAUGCACUUUCUGACUCGAACUCGAAACCUACUGUACAGAUUUCAAACCAUUUGUCAUCAUAUUAUGCCUCUUGAGGACCUUUCUUCAUUAACUUAUUUAUUUACUAUCAAUACAUAUAUUUUUUAGGAUGAUCACUUAAAAUUGAAGUAGCUUUUAGAUUAGAGAAAUUAUUUUAUGAACUUGGAAGUGGGCUUACUUUCUUCUCCAAAGCAUGGUCCUGUUUUUAACAAGUGAACAAAGUUAAAACUAUCAUAAUCAAUAUAAAGUUAGCAUUUUGGACGGACGUUAUAUUAUUAGUGCUUUCCUGCCAUGAUGGAAUUAUGGAUUCUAAGCCUAAGGAAAGUUUUGCAACUAUUUAAUUACGAAAGAGAAGAAAUUUAUCGAGCGUUUCUAUUAUUCAAUGAAGUAAUUGCAGCAUGUAGAAACUCGUAUAUGUUAUAUCCUCCAAGUUCUUGAAUCUUAAUUAAUCUGUCCUUCUACUGAAAUUUUAUUUUUUGGAUGAACUAAAAUUUGGUUUAGUUAAAUGACUUGCUUGGUCCCUCAAUUUUCUUUUUAUAGAAAAUCCAGGAAAGCCAAGAAUGAUUGGCAAAACAAGAUCUUUUCAUCCUAAUUUCAUGAAAUUCAUGUGUUGAAUAAACCAUCAAAGUAGUUCUCUUUGACGAAUCUUCUAUUAAAAUUUGAGUUUAUUUAUAAAUCAAAUAAAACAUUAUAAUAUUUUUUAAUUUAUAGCGCAACCCAUUCUCAAUUUAAUCUUUUUUCACUUGUCUAAGAAAGUAUUUGUUUAAUCCGUCUUCAAGAUAAAUCAAUAUAUUCUAUUUAAGAAUGUGAUUUUCAUUGAUUUUUAAAAUAUUUUUUAUUUAAAAAUAUUAAAAUAUUUUUUUUAUUUUAUAAAAAUAAUUUUUUAAUUUCAUCGCAUUAAAAUAAUCUAAAAUAUUAAAAAAAUUAUUAAUUUAAAAUAAUAAUAAAAAAACAGUUCUAAAUGCAUUGAAUAAUAAUUCUGGGCUUCUGGGCGAGUCGACUGCAUCAAGAAAUGUUAAAGGUAAUUCUUGUAGUUUUAGUGUUUGACAAAUGUCACAUCAACUUUUUUAUCUCAAUUCAAUUAGAUUUUAGUUUUGUUUCCUUUAAAUAAACAUAAUUAAUCUCAAUCUUUUUAUUUAUAUUUAUAGUAAUGAUUAAUCUGAAAUGACAUGUGGCCUGUAAAAAGUUGGGUUUAUGUUUUUGAAAUGACAUAUGGUCAGUAAUGAAUAAUCUGAAAUGACUUGUGGUCAGGAAAAAAUUUGAAAGGCAAUUUUUUUAAAAAAAAAACAUUAAAAAAAUUAAGGUGCAUCAUUGUUCACCAUUCAUGCUUGAGUAGAGAGACUAAUUUUCUUCUAAGAAAAAAAUAUAAAUAAGACUUCGAUUGUGUUAAUGAGUUAAACAGAGUAUUGUUAAAAGUAUACGUAGAGGGGAAAGACUUCAUCAGGAGUAUCUAAUGCUCCGAAUUCUAUUUCUUUGAAUUAAAAUGCGCUAAUUGGUUUAUCAUAUUAAAUUUUAUAUAAUUUUUAUUUUUAAAUUCAUAUUAUUUUUUAUUUUUAUAAAUCAUUUAAAUCAUAUGACCUUUAAUAUGAUUGACAAAUAUUAGGGCAUAUUGAAAAUGUUUUCAUCAUGACAUUUACGUUAAAUUUAUUUUCCAAUUUAUUUUUCUAUUUUUUUUUAAAUUAGUUACUUUCUUUAUUUGAAUUUAUCAAAGAGAAUAUUUUUCUAUAAAUAAAUUAUUUUUAUUUAAUAAUUUUUGAAUGUUGGAAGCAAGAUAAAAAAACAAUUACAUAAUAUUUAUGAUGGUAAUAAUAAUAAUAAUAGUUAGAAAAUAUAUAAUAUUUGUUGUUGUUGUUUGAGAAUUGUUAGAAAACUUUCCAACAAUUUGGUAAUCUUGGCAGCGCCCAAAAACUUGUAGCAUCACCACUACCGGCGUGUGGAAUCACACAUUAUCUCUAUUGGAAGAGCACAUGAUGAAUCUAAAACUCAUUUGUUUCUUUUUUGAUUUCUCACUGACAGUGCAGCAAACAAACACCUGUGGAGGAAGUUCUGCUCUGUUGAAGUUUCAGUCUUCUUUCGUUUUUCAUAUCAGCAUCCUAUGUUCCUGGACCGGAAUGGAGUUCACAAUAGAGAUGGCUGGAAAUAAAGUCAACGCACCAGGCACAUAAAGCUAGUAGCUAUUAGGUGCUCUUGGGACAUAUGAAGGCUUUCAACAACUAUCAGUACAGUUGAACAAGAAAAAAAAAAGUCGUCAUUAGUUGAUGACUGAAGGCAAUGCUGCUGUUCUUUACUGAAAAAGAGAGGUGCAACUUGUGUUCUCACCGAAGACUGUGCAAACAUUCCCUUUCUAUUUCUUAAAGCUCAACGCUUGCUCAAGCAAAUAUGCGUUUAGCCACUUCACCUUUGAUGAUCUCCACUUUCUUUUGAUAAUGAGCCUCGCUCUGACCCUUUUCUUUAUUAUCCGUAUUUUCCAGUCUAGUGUGGUAGACCUUGGAUGGGGGAACCUAUUUUUCAUCCACGUACAUGCAUGAUAAAUGUAUGACAUGUAAUCUAUAUGAUGAACUUGCCCUUCGAGGGGUGACAUAUGAUCAUAACUCUUGCAUGAUGAAACAAGAAUUUUUAUUCUUGCUCAAACUCUACAAUAGAAAUUUCUUGAGUGAUGACCAGUAUAUCCCCGUAAGUCCUGAAUUCAAGAUACUUCAAGAAGGGUUUGCUUAGAUGUAAAAGAAAUAUGUAUGGAGCAUACAUCCUAAAGACAUGUUCUAAUCUUUUUACAUGAGACAAAGGUUAGGUUUAUUACUUGGUAUCUAAAAAGGGUCUCUUGUUGUCUCAGUGAUUACCCUCGUUAAGGCAAUAUAGGGGCCCAGUAGGUAAUGGUCGGCACGUGUACCAAUAUUUACCAGUCUAAGCACUCAAUGAAGAGUUGGGGUUUACACAAACUUAAACCUUGACUCAAGUCAUAAGGCAAGCUGUUAGUCCCCCACCUAAUCUAAAGCUUGUGUGUGCUUUCAAAAAUUAAAACAUGUGAUGCAUGAGAAAUUUUAUACAAUGCAUGAAUAAAACAUAAAUAAAAUAAAACAAAGCACAAAAAAAAACUUGAACACAUCAAAACACAAAGCUUAGUCCGAUAAACUUGAAAACAAUACUUGUCCCUAGUAGAGUCGCCAUUCUGUCGCAUGUCACCCGCGCGACGAUUCUGGCGAUUUUACAUUCAUUUUGCUUGAUUUGGGAGUCGUCACCUAAUAUUUAAUGGAGGGUUACUAGGAAACCCAGAUAUAUUGGUCGUUGCUAGGGAUUCGAAGGUAAGGGACCGGUUAUGGCUAGGGAAGGUAUCAGCACCCCUAGCACACCCUACCUGAGGUAAGCUGCUUUGCGGUUUAAUGCGAUUUGAAAAUUUGAAAUAUUAAUCAAAUUCUUAAGGCUUUAAUAAAUCAAUUAUUAAAUCCCAUAAUAUAUAUAGAAACUUGUUCUUACAUAUUUAACGAAAAUACAACUUGAUUUUAUUUAUCCUUUGAGAUAUUUAACCAUAUUCAAAUUAAACCAUUAAUUUUUUUGUCUUUUUUAUUUUUAUAAUUUAAUAACAUAAAUAAAUAAAAAUACAAACACACACUUCCACGUCACGUUUUACUAUGUUUUUCUAUCACAAUUUUUUACAACAUAACAUAAACUAAAAACAUUUAACAACCAUUUAAAUACAUAUUCAAAUAUGUAAAAAUUACAAAAAGGUCCCUAAAAAGCCCAGGAACUGCAAAGGAGGCCCUCAGGAACUGUGGAAGCAGUGGGAGCAGUGGCGGCACGUUUUUCCCACACGCCACCGCCACUAGCGGCGCGUGGGUCCAUGCGCAGCCGUAAAAAGACUGGCAACAAAGGAUAUCUAGAACAGCUUCUUCCCCUCUUCACUUUCCUUGUUGGCGGUGACAACAACCAUUAUCUGCAAAAGAAGAAACACAACAAACAGUCGAUUUUAAUUUUCUUUUUCCCUUUUGGAUCUGUUCUUGGGUCUGUUUUUUAUCUGGUUUACUGCAGAUCAGUUUGUUUGUUCGUCAUCUUCUCCUCUGUUCCAUGUACUGGCGACAAGGAGGAGUGCUGGAGACCGGAGCAGCGGGUUGCGCCGCUGGGGGAGGAGCUGCUGCGGGAGGCCGAAGAUGGGAAGAUCUGUGGUGUGCAAAGGGGCAGUAUGGGCGGUGGUUUCAGUGGUGUCGGGGGAAGCUGGAAUGGGCCGACUGAUCUGACUCCGUGGGCGCCGCCGUGCUCGGGCUGCUACUGGAGGCUCCAAUUCGGUCUGGGUGAGCUGUAGCUUGGAGAGAGAGCGUGCUAAAAAUGGCAGAAGGAAAAAAAAAAAAGGCCGAUCAAGAGACUAGGGAUGGUCUCUGCUUUUUUCAGGUAAAGGGGUGGCCGGUCUCUAUUUUUGACAGAGAGGGAGUGAGCGGCUGGCUGCUCUAGUUUUCGGAGAAGAUGGAAAUGGGGGCUCUGGUUCUGUGAGCUGGAGGAUGGCAGAUCGGUGAGGAUGGAGAAGGCUCGUUUGGGUAGUCUGUGGGGAUGGUUUUGGGGGGGAAGGUCUGUCGGUUGAGGGAGAAGAAAAUGGGGGGUAAAGGGGGGGCUGCUUUUGUGCUGGGAGCAGGAAAAAUCAGGGGAACAGGGGGCGGCGGCUUCUUUUUUUGGUUUUUUUCCUAGAGGGUGGCGGUUGUAGAGUGGGUUUAGGUUUUUUAGGGUUUUCUUUCUUUUUCUCCCCCAUGUAAAAUUCCCCCUCCCCCUUUUUUUCUUUUCACUGUAGCUUAGUAUUUAUAGGAUGAGUUUUGCUAGGUUUUCAAACUAGUCCCUUAACUUUUCCUUUCCUUUUCUUUUUCUCUUUUUUUUUUUUUUAAAUUUUGAUUUUUCUUAUUUGUUUUUGUAUUUUUUAAAGCGAGCAAUAUCAAUGUCAACUCAACAAGAAAAAUCAGUGAUCAUAAAAUUUACACGUUAAAAAUUGAACGCGUUUCAAAUAUCUUUGAAAAUUUAAAUUCUUUUGAGAUUACUUUGAAAGUGCUAAAAACAAUGCAAAUAUAUCAAAAAUAUAUUUUUUUGGGUUUUUGUCGUUUUUUUGCUAUUUUUUAUUUUUUUUAUAAAUUUAUUAAAAAUAUAGAUAAAAAAUUACGUAACAAUAGCUUUAACAGAAAUAACACGCUUCUAUAACAGCUUUAACUUCAACAAAUGUUUUAUGUAUUGCUGGCUUUAUUGUGGACGUGAAGAAGAUUCAACUCAAUAAAUACUACGAAACGUUGGUGGAACCCUUGGGAAAUCUGACCAUUUUCGUUGGUUGUCAUUAUGAGUGGUCUCUUCCGCGUCUGCAUUCAUUAUCUCUAUCUGCCACUCAUAAUGUUUAGAGGAAGCAGAACGGGUAUCAUUGUUAACAGUACUGUCGGACAUUGCUGACAGUACUUUUCUACUCAUUAAUUAACGCACGUGAACAAUAGGAUACGAUAAUCAAUGGUCGUUUUGAAAGAUAAAUGCAUGUAUUGUCGACCUCUAACAUACAAAAACAUAAUUACAAAGCUGCCGUUGGUUUUGCCGUUGGCAAACGUCUCUCCUGUUCUCUGCCGACUUCCUCCUAUCAAUUCUAACUCGCAUGAAAAACUCACUUACAGUCAUUUGAAGAGUUUAAAGACUCAUUUCUUUUUGCCAUAUAAUAAGUUUCACGAAUAAGAAGAAAUUAUAUAUUAUUCUUUAAGUAAUUAUCAAUACUUUCUUCAUUAAAAAUGUUUUUUUUUUCACUUUCACUAUCUUCCUUGAAUGUAUCUUACUACUCAUGACAUAGGCAUUAAUAGUUACUUUCCAAAUUCUAUAAAAACAAUUUCACCAUUAAAGCCUACAUAGCAGUAUAGCAAAAAUAUAUAAAUAUAGCAGUAUAGCAAACGUAACCCACAUAUGGUGUUGGGAAAUAAUCAAGGCACCCAAUUAUAUCCAUAAAUAUUUUAAGAGCUUCAGCUGUGAUUUUAUAUUAAUUCUAACACACGUUUUUUAAUAAAAAAAAUUUAAACUUAAAAUUAACAUAUGAGAACCACCUUAUGCUAAUUUUCUUUAUUUACUUAUUUAUUUAGAAGAAUGGAGAUAAAAUAUAAACUAUUAUUAUAUCAUGUAAAAGAAUUAUUUUUAAUUCUAAAAUUUAAAUAAUUAAGUGAGGCUUCAAUAAUUACUUUAUAUAAAUUUUAUAUCAUGUUUGUCCCUUAAUAACUACAUUGGCUAUGUGCACUGUUGCUUUAGGUUCCGUUUAAGAACUUUUUAAACAAAAAUUUCGUUGGACCAUUUCUUAUUUCUUCCUUACUCAUUUUCUGUUAUGUAAAAAUAUAAACAAAAAUGCCAAUGCUUCGUUACUCAUUUGUUGUUACGGAAAAUUAAAAAAACAAAAAAAAAAUCAAUUCCAAGGGUGUGUUUGGAGUAUUAAAAUUGCAUGUACAUAUUAAAUAUUAAUAUAAAAUAAUUAAUUAAAGUUUAAUUAACAAUUUAAACUUGAAUUAAGAUGAUUUUUUAAUAUAAUAUAUAUUAAAUUUUUUAUAAUAAAGCGAAUGAGUAAUAGUUUAAAUUUAAUAAUUUAAAAUUUAAAAUUGAUAUAAUUUUUUAAUGUUUUGUACAUAAUAAUUGUCUUAUUUACUUAAUUAUUUUACUAAUGCUAUUUGCAUUGAAUAGGAAUCAAAGAAACUUGCUUGCAUUUUGUUUUUUUCACUGUUUUUAAACUCGGUUCGGUGGUUAACUCGACUCAAGGUCUGGGUCACAAGUUUUGAUCGGGUCACUAGGUUUUGACUGGGUCACCAGGUCAACCAAUUUUUUUAUAAAUCAAAACAACGUUGUUUUGGUUAAAAAAUAAAAAAAAUAAUCAAUAGGUUGCAACUAGGUUUUUGAUCGGGUCUUGUCAGGUCAAUCGAGUCGACUGGGUUUUUAACUACCCCUAUUUUUUUAUAAGCCGACCCGGUUCCAGCCCCAAGUCAGCCGAAUCCCAGGUCGACCUGCCGGGUCAAAUUUUAAAAAUAUGGUUUUUUUAUAUUUUUUUCAAUCAAGGCCCUUUUUUACUUUUCACCGAUAAAUUUUGAUUAAAAAAACACAAGAUUUAACUAAAUUCUGACCAAUAUUAUUUAGCACAAAAAUAAAAGAGCACGUCUAUAAUAACCUAAAAAAUAUAUAUAAAAGGAUAUACCAGGUAUGAUUAGACAUACAAACCAACAUCAGGUAUGUGUGGAGUUUAGGGCUGAAAUUCCAGCCAUUUAAGCUAAGCAUAAUAUUUGGCUGUGUUAUUAUUAUUAUUUUUUUUUGGAAAAACACCUUUUUUUAAACAUCGGUAUCUAUUGCACUGCAUUCUAAAUUCCACACUACCUAUGGUUGCUUCAUGAUCACCAGGACAUGUAUCCGAUUUUUCUCCAAGCACUAACAUUGUUCCAUCGUAACCUUGAAAGCUAAAAGACAAAUUUAUAUAUAUAUUUUUUAUGUUUUUAAAUUGUUUUAAUGUGUUAAUAAUAAAAAAUAAAAUUUAAAAAAUUAAAAAAUUAUAAUCUUAAUGCAUUUCAAGCAAAAAUUAUUUUAAAAAACAACUACUAUCAAAAAAUUAAACACUAUAAAAUGCUAGAAUGAAACCAGAACACAUGAAUAAUUGUAGCAUGAGUUUCUGAACUGUCAAAUACAUAUUUAUUAUAAUUAGAUAACAUGAAAAACUUAGCAAAUAUAUUUAUAUGAACAUGUCCAAGAUGAAAAAGAGAUUUCGUACGUCAAAUAAUUUGUAUGAUAAAAACAAUUACAACUUUUGAUCCAAUAAUUAUCAAAAUUAAAGGUUGUGUUUUUUGACAUCAAAUUAAAGUGUUAGGGUGCAUUACAGGAUUGUGAAUAAGCCAGAAAAAAAAAUGUCAUUAUAUAUUGAUAACUUUGUCAAAAUACUGCAUACAGUUAGCAAAAUUGAAACUUAACUUCUUCUAAUAUUAUCUCAUUUAUGAUGGCUGAUGAUUACCAUUUGCUAAUGCACAAAUUAUAGACUAAUAAUUAUUAAGAAAUCCCUAGUAAUUAAUUGCACGCCAGUUCAAAAUGAGAGAACCAUGUUAUUGCAACGAGAACAUGUCAAUCCUUAAGAAUCAUAAAAAUUAGAUGGCUUAGACAAAGUGCCACCGAUAAAAUUGAGUUUGUUCUUGGCUGAUAAAGCCAUUAUUAUUAAAAAAAAUUCAUGAAUUAUAAUUUUCACCAUUGAGAGAUUUUGAGACGAUCAUGGCUCCAGGAUUGUCACUAUGAUAGAAGAAAAAAGGAUUGGAAAAAUCCAUAUCUAAUGUAGGGUUGAUAUUGACAACCAUUGUCAAGAAAAUAAAGAGAAAGAAAGAAUUGAUGAAGAUAUGGAAAUAAAACUUCAAAAAAAAUGCUAUGAUAUCAUAAUGAAAAUAGAAAAUUAUAAACUGAAUGUUUUAUUUUUUUAAGUUAUAACUAUUGUCUAUUACAUUGUUUAUACUUUAUACAGACUAAUCUGAAAACAGAAUAAGCAACGGUUACUUUAACAGAAAUAACACGGUUCUAUAACAGCUUCAACUUUAACAAAUGUUUUAUGUACUGCUGGCUUUAUUAUGGACGUGAAGAAGAUUCAACUCAAUAAAUACUACGAAACGUUGGAAAAUCUGACUCUUUUCGUUGGUUGUCAUCAUGGGUGGUCUCUUCCGCGUCUGCAUUCAUUAUCUAUAUCUGCCACUCAUAAUGUUUAGAGGAAGCAGAAAGGGCAUCAUUGUUAACAGUGCUGUCGGACAUUGCUCACAGUACUUUUCAACUCAUUAAUUACUGCUGUCGAAAAACCCCGCGCGGCAUCGGCUGGCGAUUGUUCUUCGUUAUUAAUGCGUUUGCUUGAAUUUGUUCGUUCGUUGGAGUCGCCACCUAGUAAUUUAUUAAAGGCUACUAGGAAACCGGAUGUACUGGUCUGGUCAGAGACUCGCAGGUAAAGGACUGGUUGUGGUUAGGAAAGGUAUUAGCACCCCUAACGCACCCUACCUGAGGUAAGCUGCUUCGCGAAUUUGAUGUGUUAAAGAAGUUUUAAUAAUUAUCUUUUCAUCGGAAAUUAGAAAUAUCACUUACAUAUAAGUUAAUAAUUAUUAACCGUGAUCCAAUCAAAAUAUUAAAUUCUUCUUUAAUCUUUGCAAUUUAUCGUAAAUAAGAAAAUAAAUAAAACAUUCAUAAAACAAAUACAAAAAAACACAUACAUACACUUUCACUAUUUUUUGUUUCUUUUCUUUUCUUUUUCUUUUUCUUUUCUUUUCUUUUCUUUUACAUCCAUAUUUACAAAAUACAAAAAAAAAAAAAAAAAAAAACAAAUAAACAAACAUUACAUUAGAAUUACAAUAAUAGCCCCAAAACAAUCUGAAAUUACAAGGAAACCCUUCUGCAAGCCGAAACAGUGUGCAGGAACAGUGGAAGCGCAUCCUCCCACGCGCCACCGCCACUGGCAGCGCGUGGGUUCAUGCGCCGCUGCCGAUGAAGGCCAAAAACUAGUGGAUCAGGAACGCCUUCUUCUCCCCUUCCUUUUCCUGCCGGCGAUGAGGGUCACCGUCACUUGCAACAACAAGAAAAACGCACAAAAAACAGUCGAUUUUAGUUUUUUUCGUUAUAGAUCUGCUUCUCUUUCUGAUUGCAGGUCCGACCGUUGAUUCUCGGUCGGAGCUGAGGCCGCUUCUGUGGUUGCUGCUGGGCAGCUCUGGCGAUGGGUCUGUGGGCGAUGGCCGCCGAUCUGUGGACGACGGCUGACCGAGAGAACAAGGAGACAAGGGAAAGUGCUGGGGCAGGGGCUUUAGAUGUGGCUGACGGCUGUGGCUUGGAGGCGGUGUCGUCGUGUUUGGCGGUGAGAGGAGAAGCUGGUGCUGAGGAGAUCGGGUCUGUGGCCGGCUGUUGUGGUCCUCGCUGGGUUCUUCAGUUGUGGGGAGAUCAGUGGCGGUGCUGAGGAGAUCGGGUGCUGCUGUGGAAGGCUGGCCGGCGAGAGAGAGAAGAAGAAGAUGGUGAGCUGCGGGGACUGUUGGGGGUCGGCUGUGAGAAGGAAAAAAAAUCAAAUCGGGGGGAGGGGGUUGGUUCGCAAGGGAGCCGGAGAAGGAAGAGGAAACCGCCGUUGGAGGGGGGGCUGCUUGGCCGUUUUUUUUUAUUUUUAGGUAAGGGGGCGGCUAUGUAUGAGAGGGUUUAGGUUUAGGUUUUUUUUGUAUUUUUUUUCUGAUGUUGUCAAAACUACCCAUGUAUCAAAAUUGCCUUCCCUUGAAUGUGUUGAGGAAACCAAUAUUUAUAGGCAGAAAUAUUCCUAGGUUUUCAAAAUUGGUCCAUCAACAUCUUCUUUUUGUAAAUUUUGAUUUUUUCUUAUUUUUUUGUAUUGUUUUGAAAACGAGCAAUAUCAGCGUUGACUCGAUGAGAAAAAUCAAAGAUUUUAAAAAUGACGCGUGAAAAGUCGAACGCGUUCAAAAGUCUUUUAAAAAUUUAAAUUCUUUUUUAGACGACGUUGAAAAUGUUAAAAUGACGAGAAUAUAUUAAAAAACAUAUUUUUUAGAUUUUCUUUGUUUUUCUCUAUUUUUGGAUUUUUUAAAAAAUAUAUAAAAAAAUAUAGGUCAAAAAAUAAUAGCAACAAUUAGUUUUUGUCUUUUUGACAUAAAAAAGAGACUUUAACAUGACAAUAUCAAAAACCAAGAGCCCACAAUACUGACACUGAUGCUUUUUUCAAUUUAGUGAUAAGUGGCCCAACUUUAACUUUUAAAGUGCGUGGAAGUUUAAUAAUAAUUAUAUUUUAAAAUAAUUUUUAUUUUUAAAAUUCAAUAUUAAUAUAUUAAAAUAAUUUAAAAAUAUAUAUAUUUUUUACUUUAAGAUAAAAAAUCAAAUUUUGUGAGCUUGUUUUGCUAUUUAAAAAUGGAUGUGAUUGGCUUAUCUUGCUCCUCCAUUUACAUGGCUUUCAUAUUUCAAGAUAUUGUCACAAGGGCAACGAAAAACAUAUUGGCAGGCUGGAGGGAAUGAAUAACAGGGGAUGCAUUAUCUAUUUUUCAUGGGUAGCCAAUUUUGAUGUUUCGCUACCUGAGGAAACCACAUGUGCCACCAGAGCACAUGCAUUAAUUUUUGUACACACGAUCGCAUUGUCACAUAUUUAAUAAUUUUUUAUAAUACUAUUUAACUCUAUUUUAAUAUAUAAAUAUUAAUUUUUGUACAAAAAAAUAGUUUGACCCAUAGUUAUCAAAUCCAAUCCAGGGAUUGAUCCGACCAAGAAGUCGGGUCCCGGGUUUCAUGAGUAAACCUAGAAAAAUUUUAAAAAUAUAUUAAAAAUUUUAAUAUUUCAUAUAAAAAAAUUAAGAAACAAUUCAUGUGAAUAUAAACUAUACAUGUUAGUAAAUAAUAAAGUUUAAAAGAAUACUUCUAAAAGUUUUUUUAUCAUACAUUGAAAAUAUACUGUGUUAUCCUCUUAAGUUGAAGUAUUUAAACCAAAUUUUUUUUUUUAUCCCAUAUUAAAAAAGCAUAAUUUUUUUCUUCAGAAUAUAGAGUAUAUAUGCUAAAAGGUUUCAAAUCUUACAUUGAAAAAACAUAAUUUUUUUUAUUGUGAACAUAGAGUAUGUAUACAAAAGGGCUUCAAAUUCCACAUUGAAAAAAUUAUUUUUUUCUUGAGAACAUAUAAUAUAUAUACUAAAGGGUUUCAAAUCUCACAUUGAAAAAAUAACACAUUUUUCUAAUUUUUAUAUAGUGAACUUUAAAAAAUAUUAGUAACCAACUAAAAAAAUUUAAAAAAAGAGGGGUAUAAGAGAAAAACCAUAUUUGAAAAAAAAAAAAUCAGGUCUCGUCCAGGUUCGCCCGGGUCAUGGGUCGAUCACAGGGUCAACCCGCUGGGUCGGGCUGAAUUUAAUAACAAUGGUCUUAAUUGAUCCAAAUCAACAAAAAAUAGUUUUAUUUUAACAAAUUGAGCAUCAACCAAGUGCUUUGGAACUUUUGUUUGAUGUUGUGAGAUCCUUAUAUCCAAGAAAUAAAAAUAAAUCAUCAAGUGAAUUAAAAUAAAACAACAUGUAGAAAGAUCAAAUUAAAAAAAAAAACUUGAGUAAUAAAAAAAAUCAGCCUAAAUUUUUUUCUCGCCCAUGCAACCCAGUUUCUAAUAGGAGAAAAUUAAUGGGUUUAAUAGUUGUCAAAUCUUAAAAUUCAGUUUUCAAAGCUUUAAUUACUAUAAAUUAAUAAAAUUAAUUUUUUUUAUGUCAAACUAUGCAUCAACGAAGCAACUAAAUAUUUCUUUGACAACUCAACAUCUUCAUUAAUAGGAAGACAAAAAAAGCUGGCAAGCCCAAAUCUAUAUUAUUGCAAUGUUAAAUAUACUAAAUAAAAAAGAAAUUAGAAGAUGAAAAAGUUAAAAAAAAUAAAGAAAAAAGAUAUUAAAAAAUUAAAAUGUUAAAUAGUAAAUAAAUAAAUAAAUCAACCUGUAGUGAAUCAAAUAAUUAAUCACCCACGAAAUUAAUUAUUUGAUGGUUUAUAUAAUUAGGUGAUUUAUCUUAUCAAUCCGUAGUAUCUCAUGGCAGUCAAAAGAGAGCGAUGUGGUAUGUUUUGCUAUGAUGCAACAUUUUGGUAUAUGAUAGUGUGACAUUUUCUUUGUUGCUUUUCAAAUCAGACUUUGCAGAUUGUAUACAUAUUUCCCUUUCUUUUGUCAUUGUCCAUAAAAACUAAGUUGAUAAAUUCUAUGAUGACACAUGUCGUAUGUGAUUUUGAUGUUUUCUUUGUUGUUUUUCAAAUUAGUCUUUGCUGUUUUUAUCAAGGUUGUCAAUUCCAUUUCGUUUCGUUCAGAAUAGCUGAAACAUUCCAUAUCAAUUCAAAAGACGGAACAAAUUUCAUCUUAUUUUAAAUCUCGGUCUGUUCUGGAUUUUUCAGCUAAAUUCCGUCCGAAACAUUCCAGUUUUAUUCCACAUGUUCCGUUCCACUCUUGAAAAGCCAUUGAAUCAAAUUGAACCUUGUUCAAUUUCAUUAAUUAAACCACUCAAAUAUAAAAAGCUCUAUUUCAUUACUAUUUUCAAUAAUAAUGAUAUUAAUAAUAAUAUUGAAAAUUAUUAUUACUAUUUUCUUUAACAAUGAUAUUAAUUUUUUAAAAUUAGAUUUAUCACUAAUCUAUAUGAUUUAUAUUCAUGUUGUUUUUUUCAUGUUUAUACUUUGUAUGAAUUUGAGUAAAACACUGGAUACUUUAGAUUUCAUUAGCCUUGAUAACAUUGACCUAACUUUAUAUUUAAAAUAUUUUUGUUAAAACAUUUUACUUUCAUAAUUUUUUGAUAUUUUAUUUAAGUUGAAUUACUUUUAAGUUAAAGAUCUAUUUAAUCUUGACUAUUUAGAAAUAUUUUAAAUUUUGAAAUUAUAUUUGUUUGGCAUUGUGUUUGUAUUGCAUAAUUUAUAAUUAAUUUAUCUUGAAUUUGAAUUAUGUUUGUUGAAUAUAUAUAUAUAUAUAUAUAUAUAUAUAUAUAUAUAUAUAUAUAUAUGUGGAUGGAUGAUGAAUGUAAGUAUAGGAAUUGCUGAAUGCAAUAUAUAGAAACAACUAAGAAAUAAUCUUUUUAGAUACAAGAAGCAAAAGGUGCUGAUCUUGAAAGACAACGGAGGAGAAUAAGGAGCCACCUUGAAAGAAGAGGCCUUUUCUUGUACCAAAUCCGGUCAUUUGUAAGUUCAAAACUACUCUAGCACAGCUACUUAUUUGCAUAUUUAUGUGUUCUGUGGGUAUUUUGUUCUGAUAUUUGGUACUGUUUUUAAUGUUUUCUCUCCGCUACCAGUAUCUUUGAUCAAGCCCCCAACAACGGAUGAUAAUAGCUGGUGCUUAGUAGUCUGUGUCAACCAUGUCUGAAACACAUCUAAGUGAAAUAAGGGUUGAUCCAUUGAUCAACAAAGAGGAAGGGAUUCAUAACAACCAACCUCAAGAGCUGAAGAUGGAUGGAACAUUAGGAAAUUACCCACUGAAAAAGGAUGAGCGUUCUUCGUGGUUUAGUUCCAUAAUGAAAAGAGAGGACAAAGACACUAAGAACAACCAGCCACUUGGGCCAAAGAUUCCGAAAGUUGCAGACAAGCUUAGAGAAAAAAACGAGGAAUACUACAGUCCUUCGAUGGUCUCAAUUGGGCCUUACCACUCUCCGGCUCAUCAAAACAAUCUAAAGGUUUCGAUGGCUCGCCAAUUCAUCCUAGAUAGUGGAAAAAACAUAGAACUCGUCUACGGAGAAGUAGAAAAGGGUAUCCAAAACGCAAGAGAAUUUUACAACGAGAUCGACAUGAAAGGCUAUGAUGACGAGCAAUUCACCCGGAUGAUGUUUCUUGAUGGAUGCUUUAUUCUCCAAUUCAUCCAUUGUGUGACACAUAAUUAUGAAAAUUUAGAGAUGACUGAUCGACAAGUUGCUGGUGUGAAGCGGGAUUUGUUAUUACUGGAGAACCAGAUUCCUUUUCCAGUCCUGAAAUCACUGACGAGUCUGAGGUACGAAAAAGAUGGAAUGAAACAUGUGAAUGAUUUUCUUUUUUCCCAUAUUCUCAACCCGAAAGAUCAACCAUUGCGGACUCGAAAAUUACUUUGGUCUACCGUUAGUCUCCUGUUAUUGUUUCUUCCAAUUGCUCUUCCAUUUGUUUUAUCACGCUAUAAUCAUGAACCUGGUUUUCUUGAGCAUGGUGCCAAUAUUUGCCGUGAUGGAAUUAUGUGUCCUGAUACCAGCUUGGCUUUUGUGGUUGCUACUAAGAAAGAAGAGGCGAGCCUCAGGAUAUGAUUCGCAAUGGCAGCCUGAUGAAGAACCUGCCCAUCUUCUUCAACUUCUAUAUUUUCUUUUCAUAGGCAAGUCGUCUUCACGAAGAUGCUGCCAUUGCUUGUCUUAUUUGGCCACUUGUCUUAAGAAAUUCAUUCCUACAAAGUGCAAGCCAGUUGCUCGAGGAAGGUGUGGCCAUUACCUGUAUUAUUCUGCCAAGGAACUUAAGAAGGUGGGAAUCCAUUUCAUGUCUAGUCAGACUAGUGCUUUGACGGAUGUCAAGUUCAAGUCAUCAUCUCUCUAUGGAACAUUGAAGCUUCCUUCAAUUACCAUAGAUGAGUCAACACAUUCCAUGCUCUUCAACUUAGUGGCCUACGAAACAUCUGCUGCACUCAAUCCACUUUGGGUCACUUCUUACAUAUGUUUCAUGGAUUCGCUGAUUGACGAUGCUGAUGACGUGAAAGAGCUGCGAUCAAAGGGCAUAAUUAUUAAUUUCCAUGGACCUGACCAGCAGGUUGCGGAUCUCUUCAACCAGAUGGGCAGUUUUCUUGAACCUGAUACUAGAGUUUAUAAUGAUGUUAAAAGAGAGAUAAAUGAGCAGUGUGAGAGCAUCGUGAAGAAAUGGGUAGCUCAGUGGCAGCAAACUUAUUUUCAUAGUCCGUGGGCCUUCAUUGCAUUUGCCGCCGCCGCUGUUGGUUUGGCUCUUACCGCCACUCAGACGUACUAUGCAAUGCACCCACGCGACCCACCCAAGAAGAAUUAACUAUAUAUUGCAAGCGAUGAUGUAGAAACUAUAUGUAGUUCUUAUUCAACAGAAUGUGUGAUGUUUCAGGAAGGGAAUUAAAUUGUAAUAAAUUCUGUCAGGUUGUAAGACAUAAGAUGAUUUCAAUUAGGCUAAUGCUAUGAGAUCGAAGGGCAUUGUGUGCAAAUCAAUCUGUUCAGGGUCGCUUUUUACUUGUGUUUUCUUGAGUGUAAUUUUGAGUUAGGGGGCUUUGAAAUGAACUCUCAACACAAAUUUAGACUAAAUAAAACUUUAACAUACUACGCAAUUAUGGGAUAAAAAAAAAAGUACAGAAUUUUCAACAUGUAAAUUUCAAUACAAUGGACAAGAGAAAUUUAAUUUUGAAGCUUGAUUGUUUUUUUCUUUUAGAGUGAGCACAUGAUCAUUUAAGGUUCGUAUUUUAAAUGAAGUUUAAAGAACAUAAAUUAAAGAUAAAUAUAAGAAAUAAAAUUUUAGAUUAUAGUAAAAAAUUAAUAAAAAAGGAUCAAAAUUAACUUUUUAAAAAUAAAAUCUCUUAAUUUUCACGGUUCAAAAGGCAUGUUUAAAAAGAAAAGGCAUAUUUAUUGAAUUCUCUUCUUUAAGACGGUUUUUUAUGAUGCCAACCAAAACUUUUCUUUUCUCUCUCCCUUUUUCAAUGAUUUCCUCUGUGCCCUUUCAUUUUUUCAAGGUUUAAAUAUCAUAAAAAUAAAGUAGAAUGUCAUAACGUAAAAUUCUAGACCAAUAGGGAUCAAAUAAUGCAUAAAGUAAGACUUUAGUAACUAAGUUGAAGUUUUUCCUGCCUUUAAUAUAGAAAAUGUAAAAGACUUGUUUUUUUUUUGUGUUGAUUUUAGUUUUUUGUUUUUUUUUUAUCUCAACAACAUGAAAUUUAAUUUUAUAAUAAUGAUAUUUUAAGUUCAUUGGUUGAAAUGAGAAAACAAAUAUAACAUCGUUCUUUGAAUAGUGACAUCCAUAAUAGUUUAUGUCUUGUGUUAAAAACAAAUUAUUUUAGUAUAUACUGGAAUGGAUGUAAUGUAAUGGGGGUUCACAGCUGAUUUAUUGGUGAGGCAGCAACAAGUAAUUUUUUUUCUUCAUAUCCUAGCAAUUGGUUUUGCGUCAGUAAUCAAUACUAAUAGAGAAACAUUACACAUGCUAUUGCAUUAAAAAAUAUUGUGUUCAAUGUUAUAUGUUAACAGAUCAUGAUGGUGGUCUAAUUUUUGUCAUCAUGAACAACUUUCAAGCUCAAAGAUUUGGCCUUGUCUUGUUUCUCAAAAUGCUUUCAUUCAUCUUCUUUGUGUGAUAAUAUGCACCUCUGAACUUACAAUUUGUAUGAAUCUAGGAAAAGGUAAUUUCUAACUUGUUUUAUGAACAGUUGUGAGCUUGGGUGCAUCUGCGAUUGAAGAAGAUGGAGAGCUAAUAGCUAAAUUGUUUGAAUCAGUUGGAAAGAUAUGGAGAGCUAAUGAAAAAUGUGUUUGAUGCAAUUACUGGUCUAAGGUAUGAUGUUUCUGCAAAGGGGAAUAUUUAUACUGCCAGCUUCAUCUAUAUUUUGAGUAAGGCUUUUAAAUUUGCCAAGCUAAAUGCACUACCGUCGGUUGUUUUACACAUGCUUUUCUGCUUAAAUAAAUAGAGAUUGCAUAAUUGCAUUUUUCUAUAGCGUAAUUCUCUUUUUGUAUAAAUGAUCAGUGGAAAAAGGGCUUCCAUAUACCUAUAGAAACUUUGGCUGAUGGAGUGACAGCAGGUCUGCUGAGAGAACUUGCAGCGGGCCUUGCUUCUAAACUUGCAUGUCAUUUAUUUUCAAUGGUAAUGCUUGUUCUUGGUAUAACCCCCUUGAAUAGGAAAGAAAAGAAGGGGAAAAAAAUGAGAGAGCCUUUGAUGGUGUUUUAUAUCACUGCUGCAACUGUUCACCAGAUUAGCAUGCUUGCAUUUUUAAUGUUUCAAAGCUCUGCUUUUGACAAGGGAAUAUAUUGUACAUAUAUUCUUAGGUGUUGUUUGGUAGUGUGGUUGCGGGGGAGGUUCACUCGCAACCACACAUUUUAGUGUUUGGUAACCAAGCAAAAUUAAUUUUCCUUGGUAGGGUCCACAUUAUUUCUGCUGGCCAGCCGUAGGAAUUGAGAAGCAGCAUUUUGCUGCUUCUCGUGGGUACUAUAACAGUGGAGCCAUGCUCCACUGUCACCAUGUCUUUUUUUUUUUUUAAAUCAGUAUAAAAAGUUUAUUUAUUUAUUUAUUUUUAAAAAAUCAGUGAGCAAAGUUUAUUUUUUCCUCCAAAAAACCAGUGCCAUUAAUCGUAAAUAAUAUUUUUUUUUGUUUUUUUUUUUAAAUUAGUUUAAGAUGAAUUAAAUUUAUUCGUACUGUAAUCUUAAUUUUAUUUAUGAUAAUAUUUUACCUAAUUUUAUUGCACGCUCAAAAAAUCAUGAAAACUUUAGUUGUUGAAUAACUUUUGUACGUAAUGAAAUUGUAAUUUUUUUAAAAAAAAUUGUGUUUUACUCGAAAAAUUAGUAUUUAAUAUUAUAUAAUAACACUACAUAAAUUAGAAAGAUAUCGCAUGAUGACGUAGUAUUUAUGGAAUUUGAUCGCAAUUCCAAUAAUAAAUAUAUCACAAUCUUUAUUAUUUAAUAACACUACAUAAAUUUAAAAAAUCAGUUUUUGUUGUUGCGCGCUUAAGAAACCAUGAAAAAUAUAGUCCUUAUUUGAUAGAUUUCGUAUGUAAUGACAUUACAUAUAGUUUAAUGAAAUAAUAAAAAAUAUUUGAUAUUAAUAUUAUUUAUUUCAUGAUGUAAUAACAGUAGUUAAAUCUACAAUAUUUAAAUUAAAAAUCAUUAAUAUUAGUAUAUAUAUAUAUACUAAUUAUUUUAUAACCUCAAUUUGAAAAUCAUUUUUUUAACCAAACACAUUAAACUACUUUUUGUUCAACCUCAAUUUCAACCACAGUUUUAACCAAACACCUAUUUUUUCAAACCAACCUUUAGUCAUUCCUACUUUAUUUUAGAGUAUUUUGUAUGAUUUUUAGCAAGUUAUCUAGAGUUUUAGGUAUCUCUUAGAAUAAUUUACUUUUUGAUGAUUCAGUAUAUUUUUUAGAUAUUUAACUACUAAAGCAUGCUGAAUUUGAAAUGAUAUGAGGAAGCAGAUAAUGGGUUAAGCUUAGAGUUCAAACAUUGGUUAGUUUGUCAUAACAAAAGUUAUACAACUCCAUUUCAUGUGUUAUAUACCAUUCUGAAAAGCUAAGACAUAAGCUUACAAUUCUUAUGAAGAGAAAGAUCCCACUUUUUGUGUUUGAAAGCCCAAAUACCAAGUCAAAAUACAGAGUUUGAAUCAGACCAAAAAUCCCUAUGACCCAUGUCGUAACCUAAUUUUUGAACAAAUAAUAAAAAUUAAAUAUAAUUGACGAUGAGGUUAAUACAACACAAAAUGUGAAGUUUAGGGAUGUAAUUAUAAAAUUUGAGAGUUAAUUGAUCAAUUUUGAAAGAUUUAAAAGUUAAAGAUUUAAUUAAGGGCUAAAUUGAACAAUCUAGAAAUUAAGGACUGUUUUGUAAACAAUGUUAUAAUUUAGGGAUUUAAUUGAAAUUAAUCCAAAAGGGCAAAAUUAAAAGAAUUAAUUAAGGACCAAAUUGAACAAUCCAGGAAUUAAGGACUGCUUUGUAAACAUUGUUAUAAUUUAGGGAUUUAAUUGAAAUUAAUCCAAAAGGGCAAAAUUAAAAGAAAUUUUUAAUUGCUUAGAGGUCCAAUUGCCGAAUUUCCAAAGAAGCAGGGUCAAAAUGAAAAUGUGUCUUUCGGCCGAAAUGUCACCGUUGUGGGAACAGUCGUGUUCGUCUUCUCCAUCCCGAUUCAACAGGCUGAAAAUAUGCAACGGAGUCGAUCCAAUCAUGGACCACGUGUCUCCCAUGAUCUCGUCGGGGAAGAUAACAGUCCUGCAAAGGCAGGACUGGUUAGAGGCAAGCAGCUGGGUCUAUAAAAGGGGAAGAAAAACCCAGAACAAGGACGAAGAAAUCAACCCAAAAAUACAAAGUCAAGAACAAAAAAAAAAAGCAGAGAAAACAAAGCAUAAAUUCAAAUACAGAGAGAAAGAGAGAACAAGAGGGGCAACACAUAGUGACGAGAAUUAUCCUUGAAAUUGUCCUCGUACCUGCAAACAAAGAAAAAAACCGGAUUUAGUCAAAGAACACUCACAGCAAACCGGCAUCUUCUUUGUAGUUUUAAAAGCUACGGAGAAAUCAAGAAGGAAAGCACAGACAAGUGAUCACAGAAGGAAGACCAGGGGAAGCAGUAGGCGAGAAUCAUCAUCAGCUCUGCAAGCAUCCUCGGUCUCCAAAAGCAGGUAUGACUUCAUUCCCUUUGAAUCUUCAUUUCAAAAAGUAAUUGUCAGUGUUACAAGAACACUAUGUGAAGGUAAUUUAAUUACCUUCACCAGUGUUCGUGCACGCGUGAAAUUUUUUUUUGUGUGUGUAGAAAAAUAAAUAUUAAUUUAUUGUUGUUUUUAUUUUUUCGUUGACGCAAUAAAAAUACCAAUUCAAAUUUAUUUUAUUAUCUUUUAUUUAGUUAUAUAAAAUGUGCAUGCCAAAAAAUAAAUAACAUAAGAUAAAAUAAAAUAAAUUUAUUGGUUUAUUCACUGACGCCAGAGUCGGGAAUAAAAAUACUAAAGUAAAUUUAUUUUAUUUUAUUUUAUUUUGCUUUUAUUUAGCUACAUAAAAAUAAAAAUAAAAAUAAUGUGUAUGCGUAUGUUUAUUUACUGACGUCAGAGUCAAAAAUAAAAAAGAAAUAAUGAUUUAAAUUUAUUCAUUUUUGAUACCUACGUAAUAAUUACCAACGCUAGAGUUAGAAAUAUCCGUAGUUGAAUAUUUACUGAUGCCAAAGUCAGGAAUAUUGCGAGUAAACCAUCAGAGCAUAAACCAAUAAAAAUUUAGUAAUUUAAGACAAAACCAGCAAUGCAGUCUGUCUCCGGCAGAACGUUUAAGGGAUGAUAAUAUCUUUCCUUUUACGUAAUCAGUCAAGUACCAUAGAAUCUAUGUUGACUAGUUAGAGUUCAAAGUGACCAUAAUACUAGGUGACGACUCCUUAAACAAGACCUUUUUCCUAAAACAACAAGAUGCCAGAAAUCUAUUCUUUUUUCAUGAUCGAUUGAUUUUUUUAAUUGAUCGUUGCGAUGUCCAGGUGUGACAACCUAGAUACUGUCUCUGUUUUUGGCCCAUAUAUCGAGUUCCAGAUGUCUAAAAAUUACAAGACCAAUCUUGUUGGAAAGAAACCUUGAUUCUUUACAAUUGUUCUAGAAAUGAUAAAGAAGAAGAAGAAGAAGAAGGAGGCAAAUAAUACACAUGCAUUAUGCAAAUGCCACUUAAAAAUAAGAUAAGGAUGAACAUCUAGUUAUUUGUCUAGGAUUCGAGAAAGCAGUUAUUUAGAGUAAUUUAUAAGGUUGUGUUUGUUUUUGUGGUUUUAAAAUAAUUUUUUUAGUAUUUUUAGAUCGUUUUUGAAAUAUUAACUUUCAGUCUCACUUUAAUUUCCAUUUAUCUAGUUAGUGAACCAUUUGAUUUACAAUCUCAUGCAUUUCCCACCUUGCCAAUCCUCAGGUAAACAGGAAACUUGACAACUUUUUGGUUGUGCGCAUCUUCAUUCCAAGCACGCUUGAAACUCUCAGUCAUAUCAUCCCUCAGUAGCUCCACACCCUUUGUCUUGGCCGUUUGAUACGCAGACCAUGACCUUAGGUACGUAAAUACUCAUUCUAAAUCCAUCAGUUUCUCUGCUACAAACUUGAUUGGUCCUGUAUGAUCAGCUCCUUCAACUGGCUCAAAGGGAAAAUCAAUGCUCAUAUACUUGUCGUCGAUCAAUUUAAGCUGCGGUUCCCAGUAGGGAUGAGAAUCAAUGGAGUAAAAUGGAUUGAGGACAGAGUCUACAGAGUCAUUGACUUCAGGAACUGUGUAGCACCAAGCAGCGAUGACUCCAUCAGGUUUUUUGAGUAUCCAUUUUACUUGUUGGUAAAAUGCAUGGAGAUCAAACCAAUGCAUGGCUUGAGCAAUAGUCACUAGAUCAACACUAGAAUGCCAUUCUUUAUUCGAAGGAAAAGUAAAAAAAAUUCCAAUGCUAGCAGAUGGGAAUUGGGAAAGUGGAAGGAACUAAAACAAUGGCAUUCUUUUCUGAACACAUAUUUCAUGCUUGACUGUCAUUGUUUGUGUUUUUAAUUAUUCCAAAGUGGAUUCCUGCACUUAAAGCUUGAGUAUUAAAUUCAUCUCAUAGCAAAAUUUUCUGAAACGAAAGUCUAAAGCCUCUGUGGGAGAACUAAACCUCUUAGUGGGGUUCCAAAUCCAAGGCAUUUGGUCCCAUUCUUAGGCUUUUAAGUGAACAAAAAUGUCUCCGCCAUGUAUCGACACCCCUUCAUUUUCAGUUCUACAGUACACUUGCUAGUUGAUAGCACAACCAGGAUCACAGCAUGGCAGAUUCCAGCCCUCUGUUGCCUCCAUUCCUUCUGGCGGAGCCAGAAACUUCGGAUGUCGAUGAACCUCAGGCGUCUCUUGAUUCGGUUGUUGAAAGGGUAAUUGGAGAUUUUGGAUGGACCCAAUUAGAUCAAUCCACCAUUGUAUUGUUAUCAAGGUUCUUUGAUGCUCAGCAGACAUUCAUUAGUGUCUACGCAGACUCGGAACCAGCGUGGCACUGCAUCAACAAUGGCAUUUGCAACUCAAGUGCUGACAUAUGUGACCUUUCCAAGUCUUCAUGGGCCUGGAAUGGACACACUUACAAGACAAUCAUAUCGGAUUGGGAUCUUGAAUGUGCAAGCUCCUCCAUAAAAGGCCUGCCACCGUCGUCUUUCUUUCUCGGCUGCUUGCUUGGUGGUUGCGUUCUAGGCACACUCGCUGACACUUCUCUUGGCAGAAAGAACUGGCUAACACCUGUCUAACAAUGUCCAUAGCUUCUCUCAUGACCAUUUUCUCCACUAAUGUAUGGAUCUGUUCUGCCUUCAGAUUCUUAAGUGGAUUUGGCCGUGCAGCAAUUGGAGCAACUGCUCUUGUGUUAGCCACUGAAAAGGUAGGAAGCAAAUGGCGUAGCCAAAUGGGAACUAUUGCUGGAGUCUCCUUUGCAUUAGGGCUAUUAUCUUUGCCAGGUAUAGCGUAUAUUAACAGAAAUUCUUCAUGGAGAACUAUCUAUGUAUUUACAUCCAUCUUGUAUUGUGUACUAGUUCAUCUUUCAGUACUCGAAUCUCCCCGCUGGCUUUUCUUGCAAGGCCGCAAAGAAGCUGCUAUGGCAAUAUUGAAAAGACUUGGUCCAACAAGCCUGGACUUGUGCUUACCCUACAUUUCCCUCAAAAAGGAAGCACCAAAAACUAACCUCUACUCACCAAUCAAGAUUUUACUCGUGAGAAAAUGGGCUCUUCAAAGGUUGUUAAUUGUGAUGCUAACAGGUUUUGGCAUUGGAAUUGUGUAUUACAGCAUGCCUCUAGCAGUGGGAAACCUGGGCUUCAACAUCUACUUGAGUGUUGCAUUCAAUGGUUUAGCUGAAAUACCAUCAUACAUCAUCUUUUCCUUUAUCGUAAGCAAAUGGAGCAGAAAGGGAUCUCUUCUUGCAUUCACUACAUUAGGUGGCAUUUGCAGCAUAAUGUGCAUCAUGAACUGGAAGGAAGUGGUGCUAAUUGGACUGGAGCUCGUAUCAUACUUCAGUGCCUGUACAGCUUUUAUUAUGCUAAUGAUUUACACACUGGAGUUGUUUCCAACACGUGUGAGGAACGGAGGCUCGUCGAUGGUAAGGCAAGCACCUGUAUUUGGAGCUGUGUUUAGCCCAAUUCUAAUUUCUGCUGGGAGAAGUAACAAGGUCUUGUCAUACGGGGUGUUUGGCUUGGUGAUCUUGUGCUCUAGUGUGUUUGUUUUCUGUUUGCCAGAGACAAGAGGUGUGGCGCUUAGUGAUACCAUGGAUGAACAAGAAGAGAAAGAACAGCUUGCUAUGUAAUGGCGAUACAGAAAAUUUACAUGUCGUUCAUUUCUGCCACUUAACACUACUUUUCUAAAUUAAAAUAUUUCUUUGCCAGCUUUGAUUCGGUUGCAUUAUCUAACCUGAUAAAGGAUCUGAUCAUUGCAUUAUCUAGUUUAGAUAUUUUUUUUUUAAUAAAACUUUUGUAAAAGUUAUUUAUAUAUUGAGUUUAAUCAUAUUAAACUAUACUAUUAAUUCAUUGGUUAGAUUAAUCAACUCACAACUUGAUGUAUUAAGUUAUUUUUAAUAUUUAAAAUAAUAUUAUUUUAAUAAAAAUAACAAAAAAAAAAUAAAAAUUAAUGGGUUUGUAACUGGGUUUUGAUCGAAUCAACCCACUUGAUUAUACCAUAUUUUUUUUUUAUUAUUGUUUUUUUUAACCCGGUUAAGUUCUAUACCAGAUUAACAUAUUCUAAAUUGACUAGCUAGGCCGGUUUUCAAACUUAUAGAUAGAAUUGUCGAAGGAAAAGCAAGAACUUAUAGAGGGCCCAUUUUAACAUUAAAGAUUAGUUUUUCACAUAAAAAAAAAAAAGCUUUAACAUGACAAUACCAAAAGCCAAGAGCCCACAAUAGUGACAGAUACUUUUUUCAUUUUAGUGAUAAGUGGCCCAACUUUAACUUUUAAAUAGCGUGGAAGUGUAAUAGUAAUUAUAUUUUAAAAUAAUUUUUAUUUUUAAAAUUCAAUAUUAAUAAAUUAAAAUAAUUUAAAAAUAUUAUAUUUUUUUAAAUUUAAGAUAAAAAAAUCAAAUUUUGUGAGCUUGUUUUGCUAUUGAAAAAUGGAUGUGAUUGGCUUAUCUUGCUCCUCUACCAUUUACAUGGCUUUCAUAUUUCAAGAUAUUGUCACAAGGGCAACGAAAAACAUAUUGGCAGGCUGGAGGGGACGCAUUAUCUAUUUUUCAUGCGUAGCCAAUUUUGAUGUUUCGCUCCCUGAGGAAACCACAUGUGCCACCAGAGCGCUGUGACUUUCAUCACUUGGAGGCACAUGCAUUACACACACGAUCGCAUUGUCACAUAUUUAAUAAUUUUUUAUAAUACUGUUUAACUCUAUUUUAAUAUCUAAAUAUUAAUUUUUGUACAAAAAAAAUAGUUUCACCCAUAGUUAUCAAACCCGAUCCGAGAAUUGAUCGGGCCAAAAAGUCGGGUCCCGGGUUUCAUGAGUGAACCCAUAAAAAUUAAAAAAAUAUAUUAAAAGUUUUAAUAUUUCGUAUAAAAAAAUUAAGAAACAAUUCAUGUGAAUAUAAACUAUACAUGUUGUAAAUAAUGAAGUUUAAAAGAAUACUUCUAAAAGUUUUUUAUCCCAUAUUGAAAAAAUACUAUGUCAUCUUUUUAAGUUGAAGUAUUUAAACUAAAAUGUAUUUUAUCCAACAUUGAAAAAGCAUAAUUUUUUCCUUGUGAAUAUAAAGUAUAUAUAUGAAAGGGCUUCAAAUCUCACAUUGAAAAAAUAAUUUUUUUUUCUUGGAAACAUGAAGUUUAUAUACUAAAGGGUUUCAAAUCUUACAUUGAAAAAACGUAACUUUUUUUUUUUGUGAACAUAGAGUAUAUAUACGAAACGACUUCAAAUACCACAUUUAAAAAAUAAUUUUUUUUCUUGAAAACAUAGAAUAUAUAUAUUAAAGGGUUUUAAAUCUCACAUUGAACAAACAACAUAUUUUUCUAAUAUUUAUAUAGUAAACUUUAAAAAGUGUUAAUAACCAACUAAAAAAAAAUAUAAAAAAGGGAUAUAAGUGAAAAACUAUAUUUGAAAAAAAAAAUUAGGUGUCGUCCGGGUUUGCCCGGGUCAUAGGUCGACUCACCAGGCCAGACUGAGUUUAAUAACAAUGGUCUUAAUUGCUCCAAACCAACAAAAAUUAGUUUUAUUUUAACAAAUUGAGCAUCAAUCAAGUGCUUUGGAACUUUUCUUUAAUAUUGUGAGAUUCUUAUAUUUAAGCAACAAAAAUAAAUCAUUAGAUAAAUUAAAAAAAAGGAUCAAAUUAAAAAAAAAUUUAAGUAAUAAAAAAAAUCAGCCUAAAUUUUUUUCUGGCCCAUGCAACCCAGUUUCUAAUAGAGAAAAUUAAAGGGGUUUAAUAGUUGUCAAAUCUUAAAAUUUAUCAAUAAUUUUUUUUUUUAUGCCAAACUAUGCAUCAACUAAGCAAUUAAAUAUUUCUUUAACAACUCAACAUCUUCAUUAAUAGGAAGACGAAAAAAGCUGGCAAGCCCCGAUCUAUAUUAUUGCAAUGUCAAAUAUACUAAAUAAAAAAAAAUUAGAAGAUGAAAAAGUUAAAAAAAACUCAAGAAAAAAGAAAUUAAAAUAUUAAAAUAUUAAACGUUGUAUGUUUUGCUAUGAUGCAACAUUUUGGUGUAUGAUAGUGACAUUUUCUUUGAUGCGUUUCAAAUCAGUCUUUGCAGAUUGUAUACAUAUCUCCCUUUCUUUUGUCAUUGUCCAUAAAAAUUAAGUUGAUAAAUUCUAUGAUGACACAUGUCGUAUGUGAUUUUGAUGUUUUCUUUGUUGUUUUUCAAAUUAGUCUUUGCUAGCUCUCUUGCAUAUUUCCCUUUCUCUUUUGUUAUUGUCCACAAAAUCUAAGUUGAGAUUUUCUCCAUGAUUUCACAUGCUGGUAUAUGAUUUUUUGUUGUCAUGUUCUAGUAGAGUGUUGAUGCGUUGCUAUCCUAUAAUACUUUUUUCUUGUUGAUGAUUGUUAUAUUUUUUUCUUAUAUAUGUAUGUAUGGAUGUAUGUGCAUGUAUGUAAGAGUGGAUGAUGAAUGUAAGUAUAGGAAUUGCUGAAUGCAAUAUAUAGAAACAACUAAGAUACAAUCUUUUUAGAUACAAGAAGCAAAAGGUGCUGAUUUUGUAAGACAACGGAGGAGAAUAAGGAGCCACCUUGAAAGAAGAGUUCAAAACUACUCUAGCACAGCUACUUAAUUGCAUAUUUAUGUGUUUUGUGGAUAUUUCGUUCUGAUAUUUGGUACUGUUUUUAAUGUUUCCUCUCAGCUACCAGUAUCUUUGAUCACGCCCCCAACAACGGAUGAUCGUAGCUGGUGCUUAGUAGUCUGUGUCAACAAUGUCUGAAACACAUCUAAGUGAAAUAAGGGUUGAUCCGUUGAUCAACAAAGAGGAAGGGAUUCAUAACAACCAACCUCAAGAGCUGAAGAUGGAUGAAACACUAGGAACUUGCCCACUGAAAAAGGAUGAGCGUUCUUCGUGGUUUAGUUCCAUAAUGGAAAGAGAGGACAAAGACACUAAGAACAACCAGCCACUUGGGCCAAAGAUUCCGAAAGUUGCAGACAAUCUUAGAAAUGAAAACAAGGAAUGCUACAGUCCUUCGAUGGUCUCAAUUGGGCCUUACCACUCUCCGGGUCCUCAUAACAUCAGAGAAAGAGGAGAGUUCAGUCAUCAUAAUCUCAGAGAAGCGGAGAUUCCAAAGUUUCGAUGGCUCGCCAAUUCAUCCUAGAUAGUGGAAAAAAUAGAACUCGUCUACAGAGAAGUAGAAAAGGGUAUCCAAAACGCAAGAGAAUUUUACAACGAGAUCGACAUGAAAGGCUAUGAUGACGAGCAAUUCACCCGGAUGAUGUUUCUUGAUGGAUGCUUUAUUCUCCAAUUCAUCCAUUGUGUGACACAUAAUUAUGAAAAUUUAGAGAUGACUGAUCGGCAAGUUGCUGGUGUGAAGCGGGAUUUGUUAUUACUGGAGAACCAGAUCCUUUUCCAGUCCUGAAAUCACUGACGAGUCUGAGGUACGAAAAAGAUGGAACUAAUCAUGGAAUGAAACAUGUGAAUGAUUUUCUUUUUUUCCAUAUUCUCAACCCGAAAGAUCAACCAUUGCGGACUCGAAAAUUACUUUGGUCUACCGUUCGUCUCCUGUUAAUGUUUCUUCCAAUUGCUCUUCCAUUUGUUUUAUCACGCACUUCUAGCCACAAUCAAGGCCACCUCGGUCAUAAUCAUGGCCUGGUUUUCUUGAGCAUGAUGCCAACAUUUGCCGUGAUGGAAUUAUGUGUCCUGAUACCAGCUUUGUGGUUACUACUAAGAAAGAGGAGGCAAGCCUCAGGAUAUGAUUCGCAAUGGCAGCCUGAUGAAGAACCUGCCCAUCUUCUUCAACUUCUAUAUUUUCUUUUCAUAGGUUCUCACAACAUAAAAGGCAAGUCGUCUUCACGAAGAUGCGGCCAUUGCUUGUCUUAUUUGGCCACUUGUCUUAAGAAAUUCAUUCCGACAAAGUACAAGCCAGUUGUUGCUCGAGGAAGGCGUGGCCAUUACCUGUAUUAUUCUGCCAAGGAACUUAAGAAGGUGGGAAUCCAUUUCAUGUCUAGUCAGACUAGUGCUUUGACGGAUGUCAAGUUCAAGUCAUCAUCUCUCUAUGGAACAUUGAAGCUUCCUUCAAUUACCAUAGAUGAGUCAACAAGGUCCAUGCUCUUGAACUUAGUGGCCUACGAAACAUCUGCUGCACUCAAUCCACUUUGGGUCACUUCUUACAUAUGUUUCAUGGAUUCGCUGAUUGACGAUGCUGAUGACGUGAAAGAGCUGCGAUCAAAGGGCAUAAUUAUUAAUUUCCAUGGAGCUGACCAGCAGGUUGCGGAUCUCUUCAACCAGAUGGGCAGUUUUCUUGAACCUGAUACUAGUGUUUAUAAUGAUGUUAAAAGAGAGAUAAAUGAGCAGUGUGAGAGCAUCGUGAAGAAAUGGGUAGCUCAGUGGCAGCAAACUUAUUUUCAGUCCCUGGGCCUUCAUUGCAUUUGCUGCCGCCGCUGUUGGUUUGGCUCUCACCGCCACUCAGACGUACUAUACAAUGCACCCACCCAAGAAAAUUCAACACGCUAAUGCUGUUGCGAUGAUGUAGAAACUAUAUAUAGUUCUUAUUCAACAGAAUGUGUAAUGUUUCAGGAAGGGAAUUAAAUUGUAAUGAAUUCUGUCAGCUUGUAAGACAUAAGAUGAUUUCAUUUAGGCUAAUGCUAUGAGAGCAAAGGGCAUUGUGUGCUAAAUCAAUCUGUUCAGGGUCGCUUUUUACUGAUGUUUUCUUGAGUGUAAUUUUUAGUUAGGGGCUUUGAAAUGAACUUUCAACACAAAUUUAGACUAAAUAAAACUUUAACAUACUACGCAAAAAAAAGUAUAUAAUUUUCAACAUGUAAAUUUCAAUACAAUGGACAAGAGAAAUUUAAUCUUGAAGCUUGAUUGUUUUUUUUCUAGAGUGAGCACAUGAUCAUUUAAGGCUCAUAUUUCAAAUAACUUUAAAGAUCAUAUUAAAUAAUAUGAAAUAAAAAUUUAGAUUAUAAUAAAAAAUUAAUAAAAAAGGAUCAAAAUUAAUUUUUUAAAUAAAAUUUUAAUUUUCACGGUUCAAAAGACAUGUUUAAAAAGAAAAAUCACAUUUAUUGAAUUUUUUUUUAAACGAACCAAUUGAGAUCGAAUUUUUUUUAAUGAUGACAAUCAAAACUUUUUUUUCUCUCUCUCUUUUUCAAUGAUUUCCUCUGUGCCCUUUCAAUUUUUCAGGCUUAAAUAUUCUAAAAAUAAAGUAUAAUGUAUGUAAAAUUCUAGACAAUAGGGAAAAUUGCAAUAAACUAGUAACUAAGUUGAAGUUUUUCAUGCCUUCAAUAUCGAAAAUGGAAAAGACUUGCUUUUUUUGUGUUGAUUUUAGUCUCUCUCUCUUUCUUUUUUUAAUCUCAACAACAACAUGAAAUUUAAUUUUAUAAUAAUGAUCUUUUAAGUUCAAUGGUUGAAAUGAGAAAACAACUAUAACAUCGUUCUUUGAAUAGUGACAUCCAUGAUAGUUUAUGUCUUGUGUUACAGUGAUCAACAAUAUAACAACAUAUUAUUUUAGUAUAUAUAAAAUGGAUGUAAUGUGCGAGGCAGCAACAAGUAUUUUUUUUUUUAUAACUCGGGGUGUCCGGAUCAGCUUACACGCACCACGAUUAAUCCUCGGAUCCACUGAACAUCCUGCAAGCCUAUUAGGCAGGUAAGACAUCGCGGGGGUAAUAAGCAUACACGCUAAGGCUUGAACCCAGAAUGCAGAGACAAAAAAAUAUGGGGGUGACAAGCAUACACGUUAAGGCUUUAACCUGAUAUUAGUGUUUAUAAUGAUGUUAAAAGAGAGAUAAAUGAGCAGUGGGAGAGCAUCGUGAAGAAAUGGGUAGCUCAGUGGCAGCAAACUUAUUUUCAUAGUCCCUGGGCCUUCAUUGCAUUUGCUGCCGCCGCUGUUGGUUUGGCUCUUACCGCCACUCAGACUUACUAUACAAUGCACCCACCCAAGCAGAAUUAACUAUUGCAAGCGAUGAUGUAGAAACUAUAUAUAGUUCUUAUUCAACAGAAUGUGUAAUGUUUCGGGAAGGGAAUUAAAUUGUAAUGAAUUCUGUCAGCUUGUAAAGACAUAAGUAUUAGCAACUUACAAUCUCUUGUUAGCAAUAAUCGUGUUAGUCUAUCCCACAAAUCAUGGAAUGACAAGAAAGAAUUAUGGAGUAAUAAGAAUGAUUAUACUCAUAAACAUAUCAAAGAAAAUAUGAUUGGUGAUAAAGAAUUCCUAAGAAUUCCUAAGGGAAUUAAAUUGUAAUGAAUUCUGUCAGCUUGUAAGACAUAAGAUGAUUUCAUUUAGGCUAAUGCUAUGAGAGCAAAUUAAGGGCAUUGUGUGCUAAAUCAAUCCGUUCAGGGUCACUUUUUACUGAUGUUUUCUUGAGUGUAAUUUUUAGUCAAGGGGCUUUGAAAUGAACUUUCAACACAAAUUUAGACUAAAUAAAACUUUAACAUACUACGCAAAAAGUAUAUAAUUUUCAACAUGUAAAUUUCAAUACAAUGGCCAAGAGAAAUUUAAUCUUGAAGCUUGAUUGUUUUUUCUUCUAGAGUGAGCACAUGAUCAUUUAAGGCUCAUAUUUCAAAGAACUUAUAUUAAAGAUCAAUAUUAUAAUAUUAUGAAAUAAAAAUUCACAUCGUAAAAACAAAUCGUAAAAUUAUUAAUUCAUAAGGAAUUUUUUUUACAAUACUUGCAAUGAAUGUUUUUUAAAUUCUUAUCAAUAUCUAUACCAUGUUGUCAUCCCAGGAAUUAUUUCUAGAUGCUAGGGGUGUUCACGGUUCAGUUCAGUUUAGACUAAAAAAACCAAUCGAACCGAAUUACAGUAUUUUUGUUUAAAAUUAACCGAACCAGACCGGAAACCGGUUCAAAUCGAACCGGUCCAGUUCGGUUAAAUCCGGUUUUUUAAGGAAAAAACUGGGAAAACUAAUCCCAUGGGUUUUUGUUUAAAUUGGUCCGGUUCGGUUAAAUUCAGUUUUUUAAGGAAAAAACUGGGAAAACUAACCCUAUGGGUUUUUGUUUUUAAAAUUGGCUUAGCCUUACAUUAAAGUAACCUUUCAAUUUUAAAGCAAAGUGAUGUUAAAAUUGUAAAUUUAAUAUGAAUAUAAAACCAAAACCACAACAUCUCCAUCCUCCACAUCAAUAUUGUAUUGAUGUGUCAAUGAGAUUGCCCGUGGAAGGCUGGUACUGCUACUGCUUUAUAUUCAUUCCCCUCUAUCAUCACCUUCUUGUAAUUUAUGGCGUCUGCUUGCAAAGAAGCAAUCAUAACAAGACCUAAGCAAACUGAUGCAGCGACUCCUGAAGAGAAACACAGAGAAGACCAAAGGAGAGCACAGAAACGAAGAAGAAGAGUGCAGACAAAAAUUCAACUUUUCAGUUAUUUGGAAUACAUACUCAAAACCAACGUAUAAAACUUACAUCAAUCAACAAAAUAAACUAGAAAAAACAGAUAAAAGUAAAAAUCAAACCCGAUCUAAUCAUUGAGGAACAUCUUAACUUUCAGUCGACUUUAUUUUCCAUUUAUCUAGUUAGUGAACCCUUUGAUUUACAAUCUCAUGCAUUUCCCACCUUGCUAAUCCUCAGGUAGACAGGAAACUUGACAACUUUUUGGUCGUGCCCAUCUUCAUUCCAAGCACGCUUGAAACUCUCAAUCAUAUCAUCCCUCAGUAGCUCCACACCCUUUGUCUUGGCCGUUUGAUACGCAGACCAUGACCUUAGGUACGUAAAAUACUCAUCUAAAUCCAUCAGUUUCUCUGCUACAAACUUGAAUGGUCCUGUAUGAUCAGCUCCUUCAACUGGCUCAAAGGGAAAAUCAAUGCUCAUAUACUUGUCGUCGAUCAAUUUACGCUGCGGUUAAUUCCCAGUAGGGAUCAGAAUCAAUGGAGUAAAAUGGAUUGAGGACAGAGUCUACAGAGUCAUUGACUUCAAGAACUGUGUAGCACCAAGCAGCGAUGACUCCAUCAGGUUUUUUGAGUAUUCAAAUAUAUAUUUUUAAUGAAUUUAUUAUCAUUUUUUUAAAAUAAAAAAUAUUAUUUUAAUAUAUUCUAGAGUAAAAAAUAUUUUUUUUAAAAUCGCUCCCAUACUUUUUUUUUUCUUUAAAUUGUUAUAAAGAAAAAAAAAAUACAGGGUAUCAUAAAUUUACCGAGAAAAAACUUUACAUGGAGAAUGAAAAAUGAUUCGAAAAUACACUGAAUGCUAAGAAACUAAUGUGGCUGACAUGUAUAUUUUGAUAGAAGAGCUUGGUCCAAUUUCGCUGGUGUGGUCGAUAAUUGGAUGAUAGGGUAAACGUCAUGGAUGAUGAGCAAUUUCUUGGAAGAAGUGACUCUUACCUGUUACAAUAUGGUCUAGUCUUUUGCCUCUGCCUACUCGGGCAAUUUCUUGGAAGAAGCCGCAGCAGCAGUAUGGUUCCAAACAAAAGUCUACAAAUGAGCUCCAUAAUUAGAACCAGUAUAGAAUCUAACCUGAUCAAGGAUCUGGAUCAUUGCAUUGACUUGACGGAGUCUCAUUCGGGUUUAAAACUUUAAUCAUAUUAGAAUUUGUUUAUUUCUUGAAAAAUAAUUUUUUAAACUUUUCUGUGUUUGUUUGUUAUUGGAAAAGUUGGUCAACAAAAAAUAUUUUUCAGUCAAUGAAAAAUACUUUCUAGUCAAAUAAAAAUUUGAUUUGGUUUCCAGAAAAGUGUUUUCUUUUUAUUUUGGGCAGAAAACAUUUUACGGAAGUUGUGAAAAAAUUAAAAAUGUCAUAUUAUUUGCUGAUUAUAUCAAUUUUGAUCCUCAAACUUUUGAUUGCUAUAUAUAUAUAUAUAUUUUUUGAAUAUUUGUUUUUCAAUUUCAUCCCUUAGAAUUUAAUUUUUAUAUUAACUUUGGUCCUUAUUUUUAUAAUUGCUAUUUGAUUUUCUCUUAUCAUUUUUUAAUUAAAGUUUUUUAUCUAUCAAAUUUGGUCCUCAUUCUUUUGAUUGUUACUUAUUUUAUUUGAGAUAAUUUAUGAAAUUAUAUUUUUUUCAAUUUUAUUCUCAUUCAACUUUUUAAUUUAUAAGAUUUGUUUCUUAUUAUUUUAAUAAAUUUAAAAAUAAAAUAUUAAUAAGUUAUUUUCAGUUCAUUUUCCAUGACAUAACCAAACACUAGUAAGUAUUUUCCAACUUAUUUUUCAUUACACUAUCAAAUAUUGAAAAAUACUUUCUCGGAAUUUAUUUUUCCUUAAAUUCCCUUUUCAAAACAAAACAAAAAAUACUUUUCAGUAAAUAAACGGGGUCUUAAUCAAAUUACUUGUUGAUUUGUUAGAACAAUCAACUCAUUACUUGAUCUACCAAGUCAUCCUUGAUGUCCAAAAGUACGUCUCCAUCUUUCUCCACAUGAAAGGAUAUUUGUGGACAAAAAUACACCAAGUCUUCUUGCUAAUAAAAAUAAUAUCCUAUCUAUAUAUACACGUAUUUAUCUCUUAACCCUAACUUUUCAUUCUCUUAUCCAUUGUUGCUGCUGCUGCUUCUGCCGGUCACAAGAGAGAUCUUCAAGGUAUGUCAAAUUCCUUUCUUUACUCUCUCUCCACUUCCCAGUCUUCCUCUCCAUUCCGCAUGCAUGGAUGGGCUUCAAUCAGGUGUGUUUUAGGAAAAAAAAUAAAAUAUAAUAUGGGGUUGACAAAAAUAGAAAGUUAUAAAUAUCUUAGGAGCUUAGAAUAAUAUUAUUUUAAUUAUUAAUAUUUGUUAUAGAAUAAUAUAAAUUAUAUUUUGGGAUCUCACCUAAUAGUUUAAGCUUUUAUAUUGAAUUAAUUAUUUAACAUGAUAUCAAAACUUUAAUAACCAUGUUAGCAUCCUUGUUAAUUAUCUGGAACACAACAAGUAGGUAUCAACAUCAUUACGUAAUUACUUGAUUCAUUAUAUCUUAAACUCAAUAUGUAGUGAAUCAAACAAUCACCUACGUAAUUAAUUAUCUAAUGGUUUAUAUAAUCAGUUGAUUUAUCUUAUUAAUCCGUCUCUCAUGGCAAUCGAAGAGAGUAAUGUAUUUUUUCUAUGAUGCCACAUGUUAGUAUAUGAUAUUCUCUGUGAUGACACAUGUUCCUAUGUGAUUUUGAUAUUUUUCUUUGUUGUUCUUCAAAUUAGUCUUUGCAGUCUCCAUGCAUAUUUUCCACAAAAUCUAAGUUGAUAUUUUCUAUGAUUUCACAUGCUGGUAUAUGAUUUUAUGUUGUAAUGUUCUAGUUGUGUGUUGAUGCGUUAGUAUCCUAUAUAUAUACUUAUUUAUAUGAUAUACAUGUAUGUAUGUAUGUAUGUAUGUAUGUAUGUAUGAGUGGAUGAUAAAUGUAAGUACAGGAAUUGCUGAAUGCAAUAUAUAGAAACAACUGAGAUAUUUUUUUUUUGAAGAUACAAGAAGUAAAAGGUGCUGAUUUUGCAAGACAACGGAGGAGAAUAACUCCGCCUUGAAAGAAGAGGCCUUUUCUUGUACCAAAUCCUGUCAUUUGUAAGUUCAAAACCACUCUAGCACAGCUACUUAUUUGCAUAUUUAUGUGUUCUGUGGAUAUUUUGCUCUGAUAUUUGGUAAUGUUUUUAAUGUUGUCUCUCAGAUAUUAGUAUCUUUGAUCAAGCCUCCAACAGCGGAUGAUCAUAGCUAGUGCUUAGUAGUCUGUGUCAACAAUGUCUGAAACACAUCUAAGUGAAAUAAGGGUUGAUCCAUUGAUCAACAAAGCGGAAGGGAUUCAUAACAACCAACCUCAAGAGCUGAAGAUGGAUGAAACACUAGGAAAUUACUCAAUGAAAAAGAAUGAGCGUUCUUCGUGGUUUAGUUUCAUAAUGAGAGAGGUCGAAGACACUAAAAUCCCUCAGACUCGUCAGGGAUCAGAAUCAAUGGAGUAAAAUGGAUUGAGGACAGAGUCUACAGAGUCACUGACUUCAGGAACUGUGUAGCACCAAGCAGCGAUGACUCCAUCAGGUUUUUUGAGUAUCCAUUUUACUUGUUGGUAAAAUGCAUGGAGAUCAAACCAAUGCAUGGCUUGAGCAAUAGUCACUAGAUCAACACUAGAUUGUGUUGACACAGUCUGUUCAAGUCCACCCAUUGACAUUACUGAAGGCGUAUGGUGGUAGCUCACAUUGGGAAGUUUUGGUGCAAAUUCCAGUUGUUUCAGGCUUGUGUCUGUUCCUGUUCCUGUUACAUGCUUGUAUAUCCUGUUACGGGAGUUUUUGAGGCAAUGAAUUGGAACAGUUCUUGAGGAUAACUUGGCCUUGUCUCUGCAUAUUGUUUUGCCUGAUUAACGAACAACUCCGCCAUUUCUUCCUCUUUGUGAGCUUGUUUUGCUAUUUAAAAAUGGAUGUGAUUGUCUUAUCUUCCUCCUCUACCAUUUAUAUGGCUUUCAUAUUUCAAGAUAUUGUCACAUGGGCAACGAAAAACAUAUUGGCAGGCUGGAGGGGAUGAAUAACAGGGGAUGCGUUAUCUAUUUUUCAUGGGUAGCCAAUUUUGAUGCUUCCAUUUGGUUUGACUAAUUAUUCUUUCUUAAUAAUUAUGAAAGACUUUUGACUUAAUUCAAAGUAUCUCAUGUGAUUUCUUCUUCUUGUAAUGGUCCCUCUUGUUAUUGGAUUUGAUAUUGGGUUUGAUUUAUCUGCGCAAUGCUAAAUGGGUAUCUUUUUAGAUCAUAGGAAAAGGUUGAGAGAAGAUAAUGCAUUAGAUUCUAUUGUUUUUUAUAUUUUAAAAUUGCUUUUAAAACAAUAAAUUUAUGUUUAUUUUUCUGUUGUUUUGAAUAAUUUUUUUAUUGGUGUUUUGAAAUUAUUUUAAUGUAGUAAUAUUAAAAAUAAUUUUUUAAAAAUAAAAAAUAAUUAUUUUAAUAUAUUUAUAAAUAAAAACAUUUUAAAAAAUAACUAUAAAAAUUCUUUUAUUUCCUUUAAAUUGUUAUAAAGAAAACAAAUAUAGGGUAUCAGAAAUUUACUGAGAAGAAACUUUACAUGGAAGAAUGAAAAAUGAUUCGAAAAUACACUGAAUUGUAAGACACUAAUGUGGCUGGCAUGCAUAUUUUGAGAGAAGAGGUUGGUCCCACUUUGCUGGUGUGGUCGAUAAUUGAGGUAGGACUAAGAUUUAACGUCAUGGAUGAUGAGGGCAAUAGAUCUUCAAUUUACAGUGCGUAGGCGCCAAGUUUGGAAUGGGAGUGAUGGCCAAGUUUUGAAUGAUUAUUUGUAAGUAUAUUUGUAGUUGUUUUUUAAAAUAUUUUUUUAUGUUGAAAUAUAUUAAUAAUGUGAGAGAAGAUAAUGCAUUAGAGUUUAUUUGUUUUUAUGAUUUAAAAAUAUUUUUUAAAAAAUAAAUUUUUAUUUACGUUUUUGUUUGUUUUAAAUUAUUUUUAUUGGUGCUUUUAGAUUGUUUUAAUACACUGAUGUUAAAAAUAACUUUUAAAAAAUUGAGGCAGGUAAGAUGAUAGGGUUAACGUCAUGGAUGAUGAGGGCAAUAGAUCUUCAAUGUUCAGUGUGUAGGCGCCAAGUUUUGUUCGAGAAGUGACUCUUGCCUGUUACAGCAUGGUCUGGUCUUUUGCCUCUGCCUGCUCGGGCAAUUUCUUGGAAGAAACCAUAAGAGCGGCAUGGUUCCAAAAAAAUUCUACAAAUGAGCUACAUUGGAAGACCCAGUAUAGAAUCUAACCCGAUCAAGGAUCUGGAUCAUUGCAUUGUCGAGGUUUUUUUUUUUUUUUUUUUUUUUAGAAAUUGCAUUGUAUAGUUAACCUGUCACUGGAUGAAGCCGGAUUAAUUAGAAAAUAAUAUUGUUAUGAAUAUGAUUUGUUUUAAAAAAUUCUUUAUAAUUAACCUAAUUAAGUUUCAUUUGAGUUUGAUUACUAAAUUAACUACUUCACCAGUUAAAUUACUAGAUCAAUUAACUUAAGACUUGAUUUAUCGAGUCAUCUUGAUAUUCAAAAUAAUGUUUUUUUAAAAAACUUAACUUUGAUGAAACUCUAAAUUGACAGUUUAUUAGAUUGAUUUAUUGGAUAAGAUGGAAUUUAAUAACUAUAAUUAGCUAUAUUAAUUUAAUAAGCUAAUGUUUUUGAAUGCAAAAUUGAUGCCCUUCAUAAUUUUUUUAUUCUUUUUAUCUAUAUUUUUCUUUUAGCAUAGCAAGGGUUGAAUCGUUUUGUAUUCAUGGUUUUGAACUUCACAACAAAUUUCUUCAAACAUAAAAUAAAUAAUUAGUGGAACAAAUCAAUUUCCUAUCUAAUCCAGUUAUUGGUUUAGUAACUUUCCCAAUCCCAAGAUAAAUAGAGAACUUGAAAACCUUUUAGGACGUUUUCAGAGUUUUACUCCAUCUUUUCAAGAAAAAUGAAAAAAGAAACAUGUAAAAAGAAAUUUAUGUUCAAAUGAUAUAUUUUUAUAAAUUUUAAAAAACCAUUUUGAUUUUUCCACAGUAAUUCCUAACUUAAAUAACAUCAAAAAUACAUAUUCCAACAAAUCAAAACAAAAGUAAAAAAAAAAAAAAAAAAAGUACGUCUCAUCUUUUUCCACAUGAAAGGAUUUGUUUGGACAAAACUACACUAAGACUUCUUGCUAAUACCAGUUAUAUAUAUAUACCAGUCUAUAUAUAUAUAAACACAUAUUCAUCUGAACCCUAGCUUUUCAUUCUCUCAUCCGUUCUUCUUCUUGUUCUUAUUGUUGCUUCUGCUGUUCACAAGAGAGAUCUUCAAGGUAUGUCAAACACUAUCAGAAAAUUAAUAAAUAUAAACAUAAAUAAUAAGAGAAUUACAAUAGAAAAAAAUUUAAACAAAGCAAAAAAAACCCGAUGAAGUGUUAUUUUUUACCAAUGGAAUUAUCGAUGACAUUUAUUUCAUCGGUAAAAUGUUAACACUUUUCAUCAUGUUAAUUACAGACGGAAUCACCAAUAGAAAAUUCUAUCAGUAUUUUUCAGAGAGCUCUAGAAUUGUUCAUUCCUUAAUUGCAUUGUUAAUUAUUGUUUAUUAAAGGCAAAAGCACCAACGGAUUAAAAAGUUGUCAGUGAUAUUUAGUGGUUUCUAAAAUUUUUUGAUUAAAUUAAAAAUUUAAAUUAAAUAUUACCGACAGAAUAUUUAAAAAUAUUAAUAUUUAAUUAUCAGUUGGUAAAACCGUCGAUUAAACACCCCAAUAAAAAGUUUGAAAUCCCCAAUUUCACAACAAAUAAGGCUCAUUUCUUCUUCUUCUUCUUCUUCUUCUUCUUCCUCAUAUAUAAAAAACAUCAAUAUCCAUUUUUUCCUUUUUGUGAGCUUGUUUGCUAUUGAAAAUUGGAUGUAAUUGGCUUAUCUUGCUCCUUUACGAUUUAUAUGGCUUUCAUUGUUUACAAUACUUGCAUAUGUUUUUUGAAUUCUUAUUAAUAUAUGUACCAUGUUGUCAUCCCACAUUAAGUCUAUUACCAGAGAAAUUGUUUCUAGAUGUCAUGUGUUUAAUAAUUCAAGAAUCAAUUUAAAUCAGUCUUGUAAUCAAUUCAAACAUGAUUAUUAAAACCAAAUUGUGAUCAAGACAAACACAACUUAGAUAUUCUAUAAACAUAUUUUAUUUUGGAAACAUCAUCAAUAAAUAGUCAAUAAAUCAAAUUACAUAUCAGCACACUAUAAAUAUUAUACCGUUUUAUUUUUUUAAAAUAUUUUUGAAACGAAAAAACAAACAGGGUUUAAAAAGACAUAGGUGCUAUAGAUGUUGGUCUAGAAUUCAAUAUAUGUACGGGAAUUUAUAUAUGAGUUUUAAUCAAGGUUGUUAAACUCGUGAGUUGACUCGUAAAAUCAUACAAUUUUACGAGUCAAUACAUACUUAACAUGCAAAAUGCUUUAAAAACUCGAAAAUGGAUAAAAUCGAAUAAAAUUGCGGGUUUGAAACCUGUUUUUACUAUUUUAACCAAAAAAAUAUCAUAUAAUGCAAUAUUCUUGAAUUUUAUUGUGUAUAUGCAACCGCCCUAUUUAUCCUUCCAAGCGACCAUUCAGGCAAAACAUUGUUGGCCACACGAAGCAACUCCAAGCAUAGACCACUAGAUCUAUGUUAGUGGUUAGAAUCAUAGUUUUAAGACCCGGUUUGGUGGCCGACCUGAGUUUUGACCAAGUCACCGGGUCAGUUUUUUUUUUAAUCAAAACGACUUUAUUUUAGUAAAAAAAAACAAAAAUCAACGGGUAUGUAACCGGAUCUUGAUUGAGUUAACCCGCUGGAUCAUAUCGGGUUUUUUCUUUCUCUAUUUUUUUAACUCAGCUAAAUUUUAGCUCUGAAUCCGUUGGAUUUUGGAUCGACCUGCUAGGCCGGAUUUCAAACUUAUAGUUAGAAUUGUCAAAGGAAAAGCAAGAAUCUUAUAGAGGGCCCAUUUUAACAUUCAAGAUUAGUUUUUGACAUGAAAAAGAGACUUUAACGUAACAAUACCAAAAGCCAAGAGCCCAUAAUAGUGACACAGAUGCUUUUUUCAAUUUAGUGAUAAGUGGCCCAACUUUAACUUUUAAAGUGCGUGGAAGUGCAAUAGUAGUUAUAUUUUAAAAUAAUUUUUAUUUUUAAAAUUUAAUAUUAAUAUAUUAAAAUAAUUUAAUUUUUUUUUUUUAAUUUAAGAUAAAAAAAAUCAAAUUUUGUGAGCUUGUUUUGCUAUUUAAAAAUGGAUGUGAUUGGCUUAUCUUGCUCCUCUACCAUUUACAUGGCUUUCAUAUUUCAAGAUAUUGCCACAAGGGCAACGAAAAACAUAUUGGCAGGCUGGAGGGGAUGAAUAACAGGGGAUGCAUUAUCUAUUUUUCAUGGGUAGCCAAUUUUGAUGUUUCGCUACCUGAGGAAACCACAUGUGCCACCAGAGCGCUGUGACUUUCAUCACUUGUAGGCACAUGCAUUACACACACGAUCGCAUUGUCACAUAUUUAAUAUUUUUUAUAAUACUGUUUAACUCUAUUUUAAUAUCUAAAUAUUAAUUUUUGUACAAAAAAUAGUUUGACCCACAGUUAUCAAACCUUAUCCGGGAGUUGAUUCAACCAAAGAGUCGGGUCCCGGGUUUUAUAAGUGAACUCAUAAGAAUUAAAAAAAUAUAUUAAAAGUUUUAAUAUUUUACAUAAAAAAAUUAAAAAACAAUUCAUGUAAAUAUAAACUAUACAUGUUGUAAAUAAUAAAGUUUAAAAGAAUACUUUUAAAUUUUUUUUAUCCCAUGUUAAAAAGAUACUAUGUUAUCCUCUUAAAUUGAAGUAUUUAAACCAAAAAGUUUUUUAUUCCAUAUUGAAAAAACAUAAUUUUUUUCUUGUGAACAUAGAGUAUAUAUAUAAAAAGGCUUAAAAUCCCACAUUGAAAAAAUAAUUUUUUUUCUUGGGAAUAUAGAAUUUAUAUAUUAAAGUGUUUCAAAUUUUACAUUGAAAAAACGUAGCUUUUUUCUUGUGAAUAUAGAGUAUGUAUACGAAACGACUUCAAAUUUCACAUUGAAAAAAUAAUUUUUUUCUUGGGAACAUAGAAUAUAUAUACUAAAGGGUUUCAAAUCUCACAUUGAAAAAACAACAUAUUUUUCUAAUAUUUAUAUACUGAACUUUAAAAAGUGUUAAUAAUCAACUAAAAAAAUAUGUAAAAAAAAGGGGUAUAAGAGAAAAACCAUAUUUGAAAAAAAAAAAAAACCAGGUCUAGUCCGGGUUCGUCUGGGUCAUGGGUCGACCCGUCGGGUUGUUGCACUAGCCGGUCUUUUAACAAACUCGGACCAGUCCAACCACAAGGUUGAUCUGCCGGGCUGAGUUUAAUAAAAAUGGUCUUAAUUGUUCCAAAUCAACAAAAUUUAGUUUUAUUUUAACAAAUUGAACAUCAACUAAGCAAUUAAAUAUUUCUUUAACAUCUCAACAUCUUCAACAUCUUCAUUAAUACGAAGACAAAAAAAGCUGAGCAAGCCCAAAUCUAUAUUACUGUAAUAUCAAAUAUACUAAAUAAAAAAGAAAUUAGAAGAUUAAGAAGUUAAAAAAAACUAAAGAAAAAAAAUUAAAAAAUUAAAAAAUUAAAUAGUAAAUAAAUAAAUCAACAUGUAGUGAAUCAAAUAAUUAAUCACCCACGUAAUUAGUUAUCUGAUGGUUUAUAUAAUUAGGUGAUUUAUCUUAUCAAUCCGUAGUAUCUCAUGGCAGUCGAAAGAGAGCGAUGUGGUAUGUUUUGCGAUGAUGCAACAUUUUGGUAUAUGAUAGUGACAUUUUGUUUGAUGCUUUUCAAAUCACUCUUUGCAGAUUAUAUACAUAAUUACAUAUUUCCCUUUCUUUUGUCAUUGUUCAUAAAAACUAAGUUGAUAAAUUCUAUGAUGACACAUGUCGUAUGUGAUUUUGAUGUUUUCUUUGUUGUUUUUCAAAUUAGUCUUUGCUAGCUGUCUCUAUGCAUAUUUCCCUUUCUCUUUUGAGAUUUUUCUCGAUGAUUUCACAUGCUGGUAUAUGAUUUUUUGUUGUCAUGUUCUAGUAGAGUGUUGAUGUGUUGCUAUCCUAUAAUACUUUUUCUCUUGUUGAUGAUUAUUAUAUUUUUUUAUUAUAUAUGUAUGGAUGGAUGUGCAUGUAUGUAUGAGUGUACGAUGAAUGCAAGUAUAGGAAUUGCUGAAUGCAAUAUAUAGAAACAACUAAGAUAUAAUCUUUUUAGAUACAAGAAGCAAAAGGUGCUGAUUUUGCAAGACAACGGAGGAGAAUAAGGAGCCACCUUGAAAGAAGAGGCCUUUUCUUGUACCAAAUCCGGUCAUUUCUAAGUUCAAAACAACUCUAGCACAGCUACUUAAUUGCAUAUUUAUGUGUUUUGUGGAUAUUUUGUUAUGAUAUUUGGUACCGUUUUUAAUGUUGUCUCUCAGCUACCAGUAUCUUUGAUCAAGCCCCCAACAACAGAUGAUCAUAGCUGGUGCUUAGUAGUCUGUGUCAACAAUGCCUGAAACAGAUCUAAGUGAAAUAAGGGUUGAUCCAUUGAUCAACAAAGAGGAAGGGAUUCAUAACAACCAACCUCAAGAGCUGAAGAUGGAUGAAACACUAGGAAAUUACCCACGGAAAAAGGAUGAGCGUUCUUCGUGGUUUAGUUCCAUAAUGGAAAGAGAGGACAAAGACACUAAGAACAACCAGACACUUGGGCCAAAGAUUCCGAAAGUUGCAGACAAGCUUAGAAAUGAAAACAAGGAAUGCUACAGUCCUUCGAUGGUCUCAAUUGGGCCUUACCACUCUCCGGGUCCUCAUGACGAUGACAGAGAAAAGGAGGUUCUAGAGUUUUCGAGUCAUCAUAAAAAUCUCAGAGAAGCGGAGAUUCUAAAGUUUUCGAUGGCUCGCCAAUUCAUCCGAGAUAGUGGAAAAGGAAUAGAACUCAUGUUCAGUGAAGUAGAAAAGGGUAUCCAAAACGCAAGAGAAUUUUACAACGAGAUCGACUUGGAAGGCUAUGAUGACGAGCAAUUCACCCGGAUGAUGUUUCUUGAUGGAUGCUUUAUUCUCCAAUUCAUCCAUUGUGUGACACAUAAAUAUGAAAAUUUAGAGAUGACUGAUCGGCAAGUUGCUGGUGUGAAGCGGGAUUUGUUAUUACUGGAGAACCAGAUUCCUUUUACAGUCUUGAAAUCACUGACGAGUCUGAGGUACGAAAAAGAUGGAACUAAUCAUGGAAUGAAACAUGUGAAUGAUUUUCUUUUUUUCCAUAUUCUCAACCCGAAAGAUCAACCAUUGCGGAGUCGAAAAUUACUUUGGUCUACCGUUAGUCUCCUGUUAUUGUUUCUUCCAAUUGCUCUUCCAUUUGUUUUACCACGCCGUUCUACCCGUUAUUCUCCUGACCCGGGUUUCUUGCGCACGGUGCCAGCGUUUGCCGUGAUGGAAUUAUGUGUCCUGAUUCCAGCUUGGCUUUUGUGGUUACUACUAAGAAAGGGGAGGCGAGCCUCAGGAUAUGAUUCGCAAUGGGAGCCUGAUAAAGACCCUGCCCAUCUUCUUCAACUUCUAUAUUUUCUUUUCGUAGGUUCUCACUACAUAAAAGGGAAGUAGUCUUCACGAAGAUGCUGCCAUUGCUUGUCUUAUUUGGCCACAUGUCUUAAGAAAUUCAUUCCUACAAAGUGCAAGCCAGUUGCUCGAGGAAGGUGUGGGCAAAUAAUCUGGUUGGAGUUGCUAGAUAGUGCGCAGUUUUGCUAUAAUCUCCAAAAAUCCUCGGCAACGGAAGCAAGUCUGUUUGAGCUAGUGUUGGGAGCUCAACCCCAAACUCCUGCGGAGAUUGCAGUGCAGAUAACGGGUGGGAAGAGUCCAGCAGCAUACAGGUUUGCAAUGGAGCGGCAGGAGCUAUUUGAGCAAGCACAAGAUAGCUUGCGUAAGGCAAGGAAAGGAAUGCUCAAAUACGCCAACCAAAAGCGGAGAUUGCUGGAAUUUAGUGUGGGUGACAAGGUGUUACUCAAGCUAACUCCGCAGAUUUGGAAGAAAAUCGUGGGAACAACAAAGCACCGAGGGUUGGUGCCAAGGUACGAUGGACCCUUCGAAGUCAUCGAAAAGGUAGGCGCCGUUGCCUAUAGGCUGAAGCUGCCCGAACGGCUGAAACUUCAUCCUACGUUUCACGUAAGCUACUUACGGCCUUUUCAUGAGGACACCGAAGAUCCAAAGAGAAGCAAGUCACACCAAGCUCCUCCUACCAUUCACAAGCAAUUUGAUGAUGGGAUCGUCAAGAUCAUGGAUCAUCGACGGCUUGGCCAACACAGAAAGAAUCGGCGGACAGAAUUCUUAGUAAAAUGGAGGAAAAAUGAGGAGGUUUCAUGGGAGAAAGAUACUGACUUGUGGCAAUUUGAAGAUCAAAUACAAGACUACCUCACAGCUAUUCCGACGAGGGCGUCAGACUCUUCUAGUGGGGGUGGUUUGUUAGAGGUCUAGGCGCGGGGCGCGCCAACGAAAGCACAUUGCCUAGGAUUCGGCAGCGAUGGACUGCGGCAGAAACGAAUUCGGCAGGCAGCGUGCAAGGGUCUGUGCAAGUCUUUGAGCUGGCGACUUGGCAUGGACGUGGGGCUUAGAUGAUGGACUUUCUAAGUCAGCAGCUGACAUAGCAAGGCAGACAAAUGGGACUGCCAUGAGGGCAAGCAGAACAUGGGUGGAGGGGCCGAAAGUUAGGUGAAGAAAGUGCUUCACCAACCCACUAAAGAUAAUGGUGGGGAUGAUACUCCAUUAGGCCAUGUGAAUGGGAAUAAUGGGGGAAGGUAGUGCUCCACUAGGCCAUGUAAGUGGGAAUGUUAGGUGAGAAUGGAAGCUAACAUUUGGCUAUAAAUAGGCUGCCAAGCCUCUGCUGUGUAGCAUGCGAAUUUGUGCAUAGCACACACCAAUUUUGUGUAUUUCCUUUGUUGACGAGAUAAAUAAAGGUUGAGAGGGAUUCUUGUAAAAGUCCGGUGUGUUUGCUUAUACUUGCUUGUGUUUGUUGAUUGUCUACGACGAGGCGAUUGUGAGAACCUCCUUGAGUGUGCGAAACACAUAGUCGUAGGAAAACACGAGUGAAAGGGUGAGGCAAGGCUGAGUCUAGCGGGACUAGGCUGCCGCACGGGUUAAUUUGCGAGGCGAAAAAUUAUCCCCGUGACAAUUGGUAUCAGAGCACGGUUGAGUUAACAACGUGCAACCCGAAUCCAUGGAAGCCAUUCGGGAACGGUUGACGCGUCUGGAGACAAUGAUAGGGCCAGACGACGAAGAGGAAGAACGCACUGUCAUGGAUCGCUUGAGGGAAGCUCUGGAGAGCGCUGAAAGGGCUGAGAGCCUAUACAUCUCGCUUGCGGCAGAUUCAAAUGAACGAUUGGCUGCUGCCGAAGAGAUGAUUGCUGUUCUGAAGAGGGCAGUCACGAACACGCCUAUUGGGGUAAGUUCAUCUAAACCCAAGUUGCCCGAACCGAAGUGCUUUGGUGGGGCAAGAAGUUCCAAAGAGCUGGAAAACUUCUUAUGGGACAUGGAGCAGUACUUCAGCGUUGCGAGGAUUGGCGCAACGGAACAAGUUGAUCUAACCGUGAUGUAUCUCACGGGUGACGCGAAGCUUUGGUGGAGGACGAGAACCAAAGACGAUCUAAGUGCGGGACGUCCAAAGAUUGAGACAUGGGAGCGUCUCAAGAAGGAGCUAAAGGAGCAGUUCCUACCGAACAAUACAUCGUGGAUUGCACGAGAUGAAUUGAAAAGACUAAAACAAGACAGGUCAGUCCGUGAAUAUGUAAAGUCUUUUAGUUCGUUAAUUCUCGACAUAGAGAAUAUGUCCGAGGAGGACAGGUUGUUCAAUUUUAUGUCCGGAUUGCAACCUUGGGCGCAAGCGGAGCUGCGACGACAGAAUGUGAAGGAUCUGCUUCGGCUAUUGCUGCUGCGGACAAUUUGGGACUAUAAAGCUCCUGCGAGAGAGAGCUACAAAACAGCCUCCUUCAAGUCAAAGGGGAAGAGCAAGGAGGAAAGGCCAAAGAAGAAGUUCGGUGGAUUUGGUGGGGGUGCUGGAAAGGCUACUGCCGCGGAGAAGGGCAAGGCCAAAUAUACGCACACACCAGGUAAUGGUACUAAACCGAACAUUACAUGCUUCAUUUGCGAGGGUCCUCACUUUGCGAGGGAAUGCCCAAAGAGGGAGAAGCUGAAUGCUAUUCGGGCUGGGAAUAGCGAUGAUGAAGAAGGCAUGAUUACGCGCGUCAAUCCCAUGCGUGUGUUAAAUUGCUUGGUAGCGGAAUCAGAGGAUGCGGCUGCCGAAAACUGCCAUGGUGAGACAGACUUGGCAAGGAUUGAAACCUUACGAAAAGGGAAGCCUGGGGCAACGGACAGCCUCAUGUAUGUGAAGAUUGAGAUAAACGGCAAGGGCGUAAUAGCUAUGCUGGAUUCAGGCGCAACCCACACGUUUGUGGCAGAUCGGAUGGCGAAGGAACUUGGCUUGCGGCUGAGUGACAGCCAGACAUCCAUGAAGGCAGUAAACUCGAAGGCGUAGAAGAUUGCUGGGAUGUCUUAUGAUGUGCCGAUAGUGCUGGAUCAGUGGAGAGGUAAGCAUGAUUUGCUUGUCAUAACUCUUGACGAUUAUGAUCUUAUUCUUGGCCUAGAUUUCUUACGAAAAGCCAAGAUUGCUUUAAUGCCGUAUCUCAAUGGGAUAAUGAUUGCGAGUGAGGGAUGCCCAUGUUUUGUUCCCUGCUGCAACGUCGCAGUUGCGAAUGUUGCGAAAGGAAAGAAGAGCUUAAUAUCGGCCAUCGCAAUCGAGAAAGCAUUGCGGAAAGGAGGGGAAGUAUUUCUAGCAACAAUAGCAGAGGAGAAAGCUGACUAUUGUGAGGAGGUACCGAACGAGAUUGCUAGCGUGCUGCAGCAAUUCGAGGAUGUUAUGCCGCCUCAGCUACCAAUGAAACUUCCGCCUAAGAGGGCUGUCGAUCACCGAAUUGAGCUGGUGCCGGGGACAAAGCCACCAUCUCAAGCCCCUUACCGAAUGUCGCCAAGAGAAUUGGCAGAAUUGCGGAAGCAGUUGGAAGAGUUGAUUGAGUCGGGAUUUGUUCGACCUUCCAAGGCUCCAUACGGUGCUCCGGUUUUGUUCCAAAAGAAGACGGAUGGGAGCCUUCGCAUGUGUGUGGACUACCGAGCGCUAAAUAAGGUAACCAUCAAACACAAAUAUCCUGUUCCUUUGAUUCAGGAUUUGAUGGACAGAUUGUGUGGCGCUUCGAUCUUUACGAAGUUAGACUUGCGAUCGAGGUAUUGGCAAGUGAGAGUUGCUGACGGAGAUGAGCAUAAGACUACUUGCGUGACGAGGUAUGGCUCGUACGAAUUUCUAGUUAUGCCAUUCGGCUUAACAAAUGCUCCAGCAACAUUCUGUAAUUUGAUGAAUGAUGUGUUAUAUGAUUUCCUAGAUAAUUUUAUUGUAGUCUACUUAGAUGACAUUGUAAUCUAUAGUAGAGGAAUCGAAGAACAUGUAAUGCAUCUUUCUAAAGUUCUAGCUAGAUUGAGAGAACAUGAACUGUAUGUAAAGAGGGAAAAAUGUGAGUUUGCAAAGGCUGAAAUUAUGUUCCUAGGCCAUUUAAUUGGAGAAGGACAGGUGAAGAUGGAUCCACGGAAGAUCCAAGCCAUCGUUGAAUGGACAACACCAAAAUCAGUCCCGGAAUUGAGAUCAUUCUUGGGGCUUGCAAACUACUAUCGACGGUUCAUUGAGGGAUAUAGCAAGAAGACAACUCCUCUCUCAGAUCUGCUCAAGAAGACCCGGAGUUGGGAAUGGACAGUUGACUGCCAACAAGCUUUCGAGAAGCUGAAGACAGCGGUAGCGUCAGCUCCAGUCUUGGGGCUGCCUGAUUUUGAGAAGCCGUUCGAAGUGCAUACUGAUGCUUCGGACAGGGCUAUUGGUGGAGUGCUCGUACAAGAGGGGCAUCCGAUUGCUUUCGAGAGUAGGAAGCUAAGCGAUGCGGAGCGGAAUUACUCGACGCAUGAGAAGGAGAUGACGGCAGUGGUGCACUGCCUUGGCAUAUGGAGAGUAUAUCUGCUGGGGCCGAAAUUUGUUGUCAAGACCGACAAUGUUGCUAAUACAUUCUUCAAGACGCAAAAGAAAUUGUCGCAACGACAAGCUCGGUGGCAGGAAUUCUUGGCCGAAUAUGACUUUGUAUGGGAGCACAAACCAGGGAGCCACAAUCAGGUUGCGGAUGCACUCAGCAGACGCGAGGUAAUGGCUACUAUCCUUGCUAUUGUUCAGGUGGAGUCGGACAUGCUGGAUCGACUUCGCAAGGCUGCUACGGAGGAUGCAGCGUACAAGAAAAUGGUUGAUCUUGUACGAGAAGGAACAAUACGGAGGUAUUGGUUAGAGCAGGACCUACUCUAUGCGAAGGGGGGUCGAAUCUUCAUGCCAAAGGGCGAGCUGCGAAAGUACUUGAUGACGGAAACUCAUGACCCGCAGUGGGUUGGACAUCCAGGACGGGAAAGGAUGGUUGCUCUCCUGUCGCAGACUUAUUACUGGCCGAAGAUGGAAGAUGAUGUGGAACUCUACGUAAGGACUUGUCUAGUGUGUCAACAAGACAAGACUUUGCGGCAGCGAGAGGCAGGGUUGUUACAGCCGCUGCCGAUUCCAGAGAAGCCUUGGGUGUCAGUUUCAAUGGACUUUAUUGUUGGUUUUCCAAAGGUGGAUGGCAUGAACACGAUCAUGGUCAUUGUGGACAGAUUCACGAAGUAUGCGAUGUUUGUCGCUGCCCCGACGGUGUGUACAGCCGAAGUGGCCGCUGAACUAUUCUACCGCAACGUGGUGAAAUACUUUGGAGUACCUUCAGAUAUUGUGAGCGAUCGCGAUGUGCGAUUCACUGGCCGAUUCUGGACAACAUUGUUCAACAUGAUGGGAACAAGGCUGAAGUUUUCAACUGCCAACCAUCCGCAAACUGAUGGGCAGACGGAAAGGAUAAAUGCUUUGCUUGAGGAGUAUUUGAGACACUACGUGACGGCGAUGCAACGAAACUGGUUGGAGUUGCUAGAUAGUGCGCAGUUUUGCUAUAAUCUCCAAAAAUCCUCGGCAACGGAAGCAAGUCCGUUUGAGCUAGUGUUGGGAGCUCAACCCCAAACUCCUGCGGAGAUUGCAGUGCAGAUAACGGGUGGGAAGAGUCCAGCAGCAUACAGGUUUGCGAUGGAGCGGCAGGAGCUAUUUGAGCAAGCACAAGAUAGCAAGGAAGGCGAAUGCUCAAAUAUGCCAACCAAAAGCGGAGAUUGCUGGAAUUCAGUGUGGGUGACAAGGUGUUACUCAAGCUAACUCCGCAGAUUUGGAAGAAAAUCGUGGGAACAACGAAGCACCGAGGGUUGGUGCCAAGAUACGAUGGACCUUUCGAAGUCAUCGAAAAGGUAGGCGCUGUUGCCUAUAGGCUGAAGCUGCCCGAACGGCUGAAACUUCAUCCUACGUUUCACGUAAGCUACUUACGGCCUUUUCAUGAGGACACCGAAGAUCCAAAGAGAAGCAAGUCACACCGAGCUCCUCCUACCAUUCACAAGCAAUUUGAUGAUGGGAUCGUCAAGAUCAUGGAUCAUCGUCGACUUGGCCAACAUAGAAAGAAUCGGCGGACAGAAUUCUUAGUAAAAUGGAGGAAAAAUGAGGAGGUUUCAUGGGAGAAAGAUACUGACUUGUGGCAAUUUGAAGAUCAAAUACAAGACUACCUCACAGCUAUUCCGACGAGGGCGUCGGACUCUUCUAGUGGGGGUGGUUUGUUAGAGGUCUAGGCGCGGGGCGCGCCAACGAAAGCACAUUGCCUAGAAUUCGGCAGCGAUGGAUGCGGCAGAAACGAAUUCGGCAGGCAGCGUGCAAGGGUCUGUGCAAGUCUUUGAGCUGGCGACUUGGCAUGGACGUGGGGCUUAGAUGAUGGACUUUCUAAGUCAGCAGCUGACAUAGCAAGGCAGACAAAUGGGACUGCCAUGAGGGCAAGCAGAACAUGGGUGGAGGGGCCGAAAGUUAGGUGAAGAAAGUGCUUCACCAACCCACUAAGAUAAUGGUGGGGAUGAUACUCCAUUAGGCCAUGUGAAUGGGAAUAAUGGGGGAAGGUAGUGCUCCACUAGGCCAUGUAAGUGGGAAUGUUAGGUGAGAAUGGAAGCUAACAUUUGGCUAUAAAUAGACUGCCAAGCCUCUGCUGUGUAGCAUGCGAAUUUGUGCAUAGCACACACCAAUUUUGUGUAUUUCCUUUGUUGACGAGAUAAAUAAAGGUUGAGAGGGAUUCUUGUAAAAGUCCGGUGUGUUUGCUUAUACUUGCUUGUGUUUGCUUAUUGUCUACGACGAGGUGAUUGGGAGAACCUCCUUGAGUGUGCGAAACACAUAGUCGUAGGAAAACACGAGUGAAAGGGUGAGGCAAGGUUGAGUCUAGCGGGACUAGGCUGCCGCACGGGUUAAUUUGCGAGGCGAAAAAUUAUCCCCGUGACAGUUCCAAACAAAAGUCUACAAAUGAGCUCCAUAAUUAGACCCAGCAUAGAAUCUAACCUGAUCAAGGAUCUGGAUCCUCGCAUUGACUUGACGGAGUCUCAUUCGGGUUUAAUCGUAUUAAUCAGAUUACUUGUUAAUUCUCACCUCAUGACUUGACCUGUUAGGAUACUUACAUACAAAUUUGACAACAUAAAAAAAAAAGAAUAAAAUAAAAAAAUUAGACACAAUCAUUUACAUAAUUUAUUUAAUUUACCAAUAAAUAUAAAAGAAUUUUAUUAAGUAAUGUAAAAAUUAUAAUAUCUUUUUACUAAUAAAAAAAUAACUAGAAUUUUUUUAUUAUUAAAAAAACAUUUGACUUACUUUUCUCAUAACUAUUUCAUAAUUUUAUAGGGUUACUUUUUCUUUUUACUUUUUUUUUCUUCUUUCUUGUUUUUUUUUAUAUUAUACAUAAAACAAAAAUACACUAUCUAUUUAUAAAUAAACUUCUUUGUCUUUAUCUUGAAAAAAACAAGAGUUGGUGUUGGAAGUGGCACCGAAGUGCUCACUUUGUUGACUUAGACAGCUACAAUUGGUUGUAGUGGGUAGAUUGAUGAUGGUGCCGGCUACUUCACAUGGUCCACCAAGUCAUCCUUGACGUCCAAAAAGUACUUCUCCAUCUUUUUCCACGUGGAAGGAUAUUUUUGGACAAAAAUACACCAAGUCUUCUUGCCAAUACAAAUAAUAUCCUAUCUAUAUAUACACGUAUUUAUCUCUUAACCCUAACUUUUCAUUCUCUUAUCCAUUGUUGCUGCUGCUGCUGCUUCUGUCGUUCACAAGAGAGAUCUUCAAGGUAUGUCAAAUUCCUUUCUUUACUCUCUCUCCACUUCCCAGUUUUUCUCUCCAUUCCGCAUGCAUGGAUGGGCUUCAAUCAGGUGUGUUUUAGGGAAAAAAAAUAUAAUAUGGGAUUGACAAAAAUAGAAAGUUAUAAAUCUCUUAGGAGCUUAGAAUAAUAUUUAUUUUAAUUAUUAAUGUUUAAGUUAGUUGUUUGGAAUGUUUUUAUCAAGUUGUGUUGGGAAUAUUUUAGUUUUAUGUUUAAUUAUGUGUUUGGUAAAUAAAUUUGGAUCUUAACUUAUCAUGCGUUUAAUUUACUUGUUAACAAUGUUUAUAUUAAGUUUGUAUUUGAAAUAUUUUACUUAUAUUUAAUUAUGUGCUUGUUAUAUAAGCUUGAUUUUUUUUUUUACUUGAGGUUAAUUUAUAUGUGGUGGCAUUUUUUAAGUCCCACGAGAUUUAUUGAUGGAAGAUUGAAGUAAAAUUGCUGGAAGAUUGGGUCUGCAGAGUAGUUAAUUUUAGGUUCUGAGUAGGUUGAGGCUGCAAUUGAUUCCUUGGGGUUAUUUUGAGUAGCCAAUCGAUCACUUCUUGGUAAAAUGUGGCAAAUGGAUUAAGAGUUAAUUGAUUUAUACAGAAAUCAAUGUCAAAAUAUUUAAUUUUAUAAAAUAUAAAAUUAAAUUGUUAGGUGCAACAUUAAAAUAUAAUUUAUAUUUUCAAUUAAAUAUUUUUUCAAAUAAAAACCUUUUAAAUUUGAAACUUAUAGUUAUUUUGUGUUAUAAAUUAAUUUUAAUUAAAAAAAGAAUUGCGUGAACAUUUGAUUAAUAAGUUUUAAUAUAUAAUUUAUUCUUUAACAAUAACUAAAUAUAUCAUCUUAUCUUAAGAAAUUAAAAAUAUUCAAUACUAUUUAUUUAUUGUUAUAUGACAAUACAAAGUACAUGCAUGUAGAUAGCAGAUAUUAUACAAGUUUAAAUUAAUCUAUCUCUAACUUAAAAAUAGAAUAAAAAAUUAAUAUAAUUCCAAAAAAAUAAAUUAAUCCUGUUUUUUCAACAUGUGACUAUUUAUACAUCACACAAACCCAUAAUAAUAUAAAAUAAUAUUCUUAAAUCAACUUUAACUAUACAGUAUUUCAUUAAAACUUUAUUUUGACUAUUAAAACUCUAAAAAUAAGUUAAUAAAAGCCAAAAAUUAAAAGUUAAAAGAUAAUAAAAUCAUAUUAAAUUGGGUCCUUGAUUAUUAUCUCAUAUUAUUUAAUAAUAUUAAAUUGUAUCAUACCAUACUGAUAAUUAUUUAAAUAGCUUAAAACAUAUCAUUGAUCUAUAUUUGUAGUGUAAAUCGUAUGUUCUUAUAUAUAAAAUUGCGGUCUAAAGCAAUGGUUUGGGCAUGACAUGCUAAAUAUGUUCUUGAUUCUAAGAUUUUUAUAUAUAGAAUUAAUAAAAAAUUAAAUAAGUAAAUAAUAUAUUUCUCAUUUUUUUAGUUCAUUAGAGGCUUUUGAGUCCUGGGAUAAGCUUUUCAUACUAUAUAUUAAUCAAUAUGGUGUGUAGUGAUUGAGACCAAAAUUUAAUUAUUUUAUUAAAAUAAACCAUCGAAUACACAAUCACUUAAUAGUAUAUUUAUCUUUAAAUAUGCAAAAUCUGUCUUAAUAAAUCUCAUGUUAUGCCGAGAAUGAGCCUGCACGGGCCCAAUUCACAUGCUAGCCCAAGUGACGCGCUGCCAAAACCCAUAAUGGGCCGAAUGGUGCAAACCGGCCCAACAUAUGACUAACUAUCCAUUAACUUUCAUGCAAAAGACAACUGGGGAUCUUUUGACCUUGUUAAAUUGUAAAAUCUUCGGAAAUCUUGUUUUUCAUUAGAAAACAUUUUUAAUCUUUAAUUUCUUAAUUAAUAUUUGAAUUUAGCAAUCACCAAACAUCAUGUUAUCAUGCGAGGGGCUCAGAUUUUGGUGCCCAAAUCCACGAAAGAGUGUUUUUAAGCAAUGAAUUAAAACAUAUCAUAAAAUAAUAUAAAAACAAUCAUGGAAUCUUAUUUAUCAAAUUGAGCCUUUUGAUUUAAAUAGUCUUGAUAUGGUAUUAAAAUUUUAAUAAUCAAAUAAGUAAGGGUAGAACUAUGCAAGUUUUACAUAGAGAGAGUUUUGAUUUUUAAAAAAUGUUUUGAAAAAUAAAAUAAAUUAUUAAUGAAAUCUAAUACAAGAGUUUAAUUUUUUUUUAAUUGAAAUAAUUCUUUAAUAAAACAGUUUUACAAGUAACCUAACCCUAGCCUUCUAAUAUUGCCUUUAUUCCUUGAUCAACUCUGCCAUUUAAUCCGAAAACACUAUCUAGUUCACUUUUUCCAAUAGUAUGCACUAUAUGCUGCGGGUUAGAACAAAUUUUUUCCUUAGUGUAAAAAAAUGCUUAAAUCAUGUAAAUGUGUUUUCAAGAAGUUUGAAUAAUUCGUUAUUCGGGUGUGAUUCGGGUCUAUUAGAUCAAAUAAGUUGGUAUUAUUUAAUUAGAUGAAAAAAAGCAACAAUAAUAAAUCUAUCAAAUUAAAUAAAAAAUGUGAAUGCUUGUCAAAAGAAAAAAAAUAAUAAAGUUCAAUUCAUAACCAGCACAAUGCAAAAAUAAAGAAAAUGAAAAAAAGAUCAAAAGAAACCAACUCACAUAGCCCAAUUUCUAACAAAUUCAAUUUAAAAUGGUGAAAUUAAAAAAAAAUCAAUUAACAAAAUAAAAAAAAAAACCUUGCAAACUCGAGUAAACUUACCAAACCCCGUCACCUAGAUUAUGCGAAUGAAAAAGCCAAAAAGAAGGUAAAAUGAGAAAAAAAAAUAUGAAACUCAAUUAUAAAACAAACCCAAUGUUGAUGGUCAAAACAAAAUAAAAUAAAUUAAAAUUGAAUGUCAAAUGAUAAAUUUGAAAAAGAAAAUCAGUGAAAAAAAUCAAACCUAAAAAAAAAUCAAUGUCAGCCUAGAUAAACCUUUUAAACCCAUGACCUAGAUCUUAAGAUUUAGAAUACCAUAUCGGGAAAAAAGAAGAAGCUCAAUUCUUAACCAACUCUAUAUUAAAGAAUGAAAUUGAAAAAUAAUCAAUUUUACAAAAGACCAAAAACAAAAUAUAGAAACUAAAACAAUGAGGAUAUGAUUUGGAAAAAAAAAGAGAGAACAACUUAAAAUUUUAGAUUAAAGGUUGAAAUUAAAAGAAACAAAUUAUAGAAAAAAAAAAAUAACAAUUAAAAGAACGAGGAUCAACUCUAAAUUAUAGAUAGAUCAUUAUGAGUUUUGAGGAGAAGAGAGAGAAUAAAAAAAAAAAAAAAAGUAUUGUUGGCGAUAAACUAUUGAUCUUCAUGUCACACACUCCGCCCAAGACAUAGAAGAUAUCAUUGUGAAUUUUCCCACGCAGCUGUAGAAGGUGAUGUUUCAUCACUAGAAAAGCUGCAUGUGUCGCUAGAGUGCUAUGACUUUCAUCAUAAAUCAUGUGCUAGCCAAUCUUCAACUACACGUUAACUUUAGUCCCCUGUAUUUGUUUUAGAGUAAAAUUUGGUCCCUCAAGUCUUAAUUGCUCUAAAUCAAAAGAACUCAGUUUUAUUUUGACGAACCAAGCAUCAAGCAAGUGUCAAAAUUUUAUUCGACAUUGCCAGAUCCUAAUAUCUAGGAAACUAAAAUAAAUUAUUAAGGUAAUUUUAAAAAAUAUAUAUCUCAAAGAAUCAAAUUAAAAAGAGAGUUAAGGAAUAAAAAAAAAACCAACGUAAUUUUUUUUCAAUCCCUAACAAGAGAAAAUUAAAGGGGCUUAAUAUUUACUAAAUCUUAAAAUUUAAUAUUUAAUUAUUUUAAAUCAAUAAAAUAAAAUUUUAUUUUACUAAAUCUUUACUCGUCAACAUCCUCAUUAGCAGACAUUGAGGCUGUUGUUAAUAUAAUAUUUGUUGUAAAGUUCGUAUGAAUACAAAUUAGUUUCCUGUUUUGACACAUGUUAGUAUACUUGUCAGUUAUUUGGAACACAAGAAGUAGGUAUCAACAUCAUUACGUAAUUACUUGAUUAAUUAUAUCUUAAACUCAAUAUGUAGUGAAUCAAUUCAUCCAUUGUGUGACACAUAAUUAUGAAAAUUUAGAGAUGACUGAUCGACAAGUUGCUGGUGUGAAGCGAGAUUUGUUAUUACUGGAGAACCAGAUUCCUUUUACAGUCCUGAAAUCACUGACGAGUCUGAGGUACGAAAAAGAUGGAACUAAUCAUGGAAUGAAACAUGUGAAUGAUUUUCUUUUUUUCCACAUUCUCAACCCGAAAGAUCAACCAUUGCGGACUCGAAAAUUACUUUGGUCUAUCGUUAGUCUCCUGUUAUUGUUUCUUCCAAUUGCUCUUCCAUUUGUUUUAUCAUACUUUAAUCAUGGCCUGGUUUACUUGAGCAUGGUGCCAGCGUUUGCCGUGCUGGAAUUAUGUGUCCUGAUACCAGCUCGGCUUUUGUGGUUACUACUAAGAAAGGGGAGGCGAGCCUCAGGAUAUGAUUCGCAAUGGCAGCCUGAUGAAGAACCUGCCCAUCUUCUUCAACUUCUAUAUUCUCUUUUCAUAGGUUCUCACUACAUAAAAGGCAAGUCGUCUUAUUUGGCCACAUGUCUUAAGAAAUUCAUUCCGACAAAGUCCAAGCCAGUUGAUGCUCGAGGAAGGCGUGGCCAUUACCUGUAUUAUUCUGCCAAGGAACUUAAGAAGGUGGGAAUCCAUUUCAUGUCUAGUCAGACUAGUGCUUUGACGGAUGUCAAGUUCAAGUCAUCAUCUCUCUAUGGAACAUUGAAGCUUCCUUCAAUUACCAUAGAUGAGUCGACAGAGUCCAUGCUCUUGAACUUAGUGGUCACUUUAACUAUGUUUCAUGGAUUCGCUGAUUGACGAUGCUGAUGACGUGAAAGAGCUGCGAUCAAAGGGCAUAAUUAUUAAUUUCCAUGGAGCUGACCAGCAGGUUGCGGAUCUCUUCAACCAUAUGGGCCGUUUUCUUGAACCUGAUAUUAGUGUGUAUAAUGAUGUUAAAAGAGAGAUAAAUGAGCAGUGUGAGAGCAUCGUGAAGAAAUGGGUAGCUCAGUGGCAGCAAACUUAUUUUCAGAGUCCUUGGGCCUUCAUUGCAUUUGCUGCCGCCGCUGUUGGUUUGGCUCUCACCGCCACUCAGACGUACUAUACAAUGCACCCACCCAAGAAUAAUUCAACACGCUAAUGCUGUUGCGAUGAUGUAGAAACUAUAUAUAGUUCUUAUUCAACAGAAUGUGUAAUGUUUCAGGAAGGGAAUUAAAUUGUAAGACAUAAGAUGAUUUCAUUUAGGCUAAUGCUAUGAGAGCAAAUUAAGGGCAUUGUGUGCUAAAUCAAUUUGUUCAGGGUCGCUUUUUACUGAUGUUUUCAUCUUGAGUGUAAUUUUUAGUUAAG
This 110529-nucleotide long non-coding RNA is filed under the name Populus tremula. Its description in RNAcentral is "long non-coding RNA (PTRE_LNC001163)". The stretch from base 45302 to 45460 matches the Rfam family "MIR2912 microRNA precursor family". Lineage: Eukaryota; Viridiplantae; Streptophyta; Magnoliopsida; Malpighiales; Salicaceae. The record is from RNAcentral.